This 118845-nucleotide long non-coding RNA is filed under the name Lactuca sativa (garden lettuce). The record is from RNAcentral. Lineage: Eukaryota; Viridiplantae; Streptophyta; Magnoliopsida; Asterales; Asteraceae.
CGCCAAGACCACCUGUACCACCACAUGCACCACCACAUGCACCACCACAUGCUCCACCACCUGCACCACCACCUGCACCACCACAUGCACCACCACCUGCACCACCUAGCCCACCACCUGCACCAUCGGCACCAUCAACUCCAGCGGUACCAAUAUCUUCACCUGAAUUAGUAGCGAGACCCACACCACUAAAUGGGAUGAAGUUGAUCUUCUCUUUUUUAAAACCAGCUCCUCCACUUCGUACGGUGGUAGCCACAUCCACUGUGGUCGGAGUCUUGUCGCUCAGGGUGGUUGUGGGCAUAUUUCUUGCAUUGCUUUGCACAAUAAACACAAGUGCACAAACUGCUACAAAGAACAACUUCAUCAUCUCUCUCUCUCUCUCUCUCUCUCUCUCUCUCUCUCUCUCAUACAAACUAAGACCAAGGGGAUGUUUGAGGUGAAGGGAGGUGGUGGUGGUGGAGGUGGCUAUUUAUGGAGAGCACAAACGAUGGUGGACAAUUGUAAUGGCUGAAAGUGUAAAUGAAGAAGGUGCAUGGAAUUAAUGUAUUUGGUUCUGAUUGUUGUACGAAUUGAGUAGUACUGUUGCAUUGAACUGACGGGAGAAGUGUUGCAUGGGGUGGGGUUUGAAGAGUGUGUUUGGUGGGUGUGUGCCUUGUGUCAUACAUCUUUCGCACUAAGUGUGGGUUUGGUGUGUGUUUUUGAAUUCUUACUUAUGGGUAAUUAAAAGUGUUAGUUAGUGAGCCAAAGUUCUAUACUUUUGUCCUGGUCGUUAUAUUUCGUGUGGGGUUUAAAAUGUGGCGCUUUAAUUGAUGUUGCGUUUCUUUCUUUUUAUGUGUUGAUUGUGACUAAUCGCAGUUCUUAAAGCAUUGUCAGAUGAAGAAGUUUGUUGGUGUCCCAAAGUAUUUUUCAUUUUUCAAUGGAUUUUUCAUUAGACCGAAACUUCCUUCAUUUUUUGUGGGCUAGAACACCCUUACUCUCACUUUUCUUUUCCUCACCUAAACCUAAGGAAUGGGUGAGAAGCUUCCCUCACUAUUUUUUUUAUAUAAAAUUAACUCAUUUUUAUAAUUUAUAAUUUUUAAAUUAAUAACAACCAAAAAAUUUAAUUAAAAAUAAAAUGCAUUUCAUUAAUUAAAAUAAAAAUUACAAUAAACCUAAAAUUUAAAAAGUAGAAAAUUAAAAAAAAAAACACAAACAAACCAAAAGCAACCUAUGGAAAAUAUUUUUUCAUAAUUAUUUUCUUCUUCUUCAUCACGAGCUCAAAAGCCGGUCCUGAGAGAUGGUCGGUGUUUUCCAUCAAGAACUUCAUAUUCUCCAUUUCUUGCCUCUCCGUGCGCUCCUUCUUCCUUGCUUCUUCUUUUUCUUUGUUGAAUGCCAAAUGUUCAGCAAAAUUAAGAUUAUAUCGAGCAAACGACGUUGUUAUUUUCCGCAUUUCAUCAACGUCCAUGCUGAAAUUCAAUGCACCUGAAGAAGUCCUUUUUCCCUUCCUCUUUGCUUUGUCCCUACCCAUCGGUCGGAUAAUUUAUUCUAGCUCGAGUUCGUCCUCCUGAUUUAAAUCUAGAUCGACCCAAGCAUCGGAGGAAGUUGUGUAACCACUAGAGCCCGUUUUUGUUCGCUUUGAUUGUUGUACUCCAAACAUAAAAUCUUGCUCGUUUUUUUCCACCUAGGACAUCUAACCAAUAAUUUCUAACAAUCGUGCCACUUGAAUGGUUGUCCGACUUCCUCAAGGUAAAAUUGCAAACCUUCUUGAAGUAUUUCUUCGUUGCCUUGGCUGCUUUUUCAUUAGGUUUUUAGGUUGUUGUACAACCUGUUUAUUUUUUACACCCCCUUUGCUAUUUCUCGAAACAUCGAAUUCAGUUGGUGUUUCGUACGGUAGUCAUCAUCUUUUUCUAGCUCCUCCUGAAACCGUUCUAAAAUGCGAAACCAAAAAUGAUCUCCUGGUUGUGCAUUUCCUGUCUUCGAAUCCUCAUAAAUGUCAACGCAAGAUUUUACCAAAACUAGCUCUUCUUGUGGAAGCCAUGUUGUCGACUUUUGUCUUCCCGGUUGUGCGACACCAUUGCACGCUUGUUAUUUUCCUUUGCGUCGUUGUGGGGGUGGUGUGGGUUGAGUUUCGAGAACCAUCUCUUCUUCUUCCGAGUCAUCCAACUCAUUGAAAAGUUGGAAUUGUUGUUGGCUUUGGGUUUGAGUUUGGGGUUGGGUUUGGGUUUGGGUUUGAGGUUGAUUUGGCAAACGUUGAUCGGGAAAAAUAACAAAGUUUGAAAUCAUUUGCGGAGUAACGUUUGGAACUUAGACCGAGUAAUAUUGUCUAACAUUUUAGUAUUGAAAUUAUAGUCGAGAUUGAAUGAGAGUAUCGAGUUGGGGACGAUAAAAUCCUUGUGAUGAUGAAUCGAUAGCAAAAAUGUUUCGAGUAGGGUGCUUAAACUCGAAACAUGAGUUUUUUUCCUUCUAUCGGAGGUUGGGGUUUGAUUGUCGGGAUUCAUUUUUUUUUGAAGAAAUUAGAGGUUGUAGAGGGUUUGUUUGAAGGUUUGAUUGAAGGUAAAUAAGUAUGAGUAUUUAUAGAGGUUGUAGAGGGUAAAAAAAAUUAUUUUUAAACCAAUUAGCCGUUAGAAAUUAAAAGAAAAGAAAAAAAAAACAAAAAAAUUUAACAUUUUACCGUUUUAAACGGUUAGUUUCAAAAAAAAAAAUCUACCCAAUCAGCAAAGGAGCGAGAACGCGACAACCGAUUCCCUCACUCCCUUCCCCGCGCAGCCUUCCCGCACCGCCGGUGCGGUGCUCAUUGGAGCGGGAACCUUCCUGCGGCUCCUCCCAUGCCCCAUUUCGUCCGACCUUACUAUGUGGUUAUUGCUUAAUUAAGUUGGAUGUUGUACUUGGAACUACAAUGCUAUUUUGGUCACUGAUUGGUGUUGUUUAUGAGGUUGUGUUCUUUUUAGGCUUUAUUUUUAGAGGUAUUUAUUUCCUUGGAGAAUACAUCAAAGGAAUUUUUACUCAAAGUACAUUGUAAUUGUGGGCAUAUCUAAUUCAGUUUUGAAUGGAUGGGGUGUUUGUGUUUUUUUUCUUUUGAACUGAAGGUUGCUUCAAUUGUUUCAACAUGUUAAUUAUCUACAUAAUGGUUGUGGGGAGUUUUGUUAUUUAUAUAUUUUUUUCCUAUUCGUGAGUUCCUUGAGCCCCUAGAGAUUCUUGUUGGUAUUGGAAUCAAGUAUAAAUUUAUAGGCAAGAUACAUGAUGAAUAAGAAGGAAAAUGAGUUCUUUAAAAAAUACUUAUUAAUAACUGGAGCAAUUACAAAGUUACAUGCACAGAUAAAUAUAAGUCAACCAUAUUGACUUUUCAUCCUACGAAUGCAUAUAAUAUGGAGCGUUAGUUGGAAGUCGAAGGACAAUGUCAAGAAUUGGUGUCAGUUUAGCUUUGAAUGAUUUCUCCAUAGAAGAGACCAUGGGAGUUAUUUGAUCUUGAGAAAAUGAAUUUGAUGAAGGCAUAUCAAACUUCGACAAUUUCUCAUGAAAGCUAGUAAGCAAAUUCUCAAUCUUCACAUACACUUGAUUAUCUUCCUGGUUUUUCUCUUGUAAACCCUUGGCAUAUUCCUUAUUAAAUUCUUAGACAUCUUCUAUCAUCGUACAAAUGACCCCAACCAAGGUUUCAAUACUACUUUUGACUUGUCCACAAAAGUUUUUUAUUUUGCAAUUUCUUUCUCAAGCGAAUUACGAAGUUCAGUAAGCUUAAACUCAAUUGACUUCUUUGAAGAGGUCACAAGCUUCUCAAAGAGUUCAUGUCUCUCUUUGGGAAUGCAAAGUCAACUUUUCAUCAAGCUUCCUAUCAGCACCUUCAAUUAAAGUCCUAGAGUAACACCCCGAAAAUCUUUACAUAAACGACAGUAGCCUUUUGUUACAUGAAUACUAGCGGUGGUAAAACUAUUUUGAUUCUAAGAGUAUGAAUUGAAAUAAAUUAAAAAAAAUGAUAUUUAACUAAUAUUUGAAAGAAGUAAUUUAUAUUUAAUGAGCAUAUAAUUUAUUUAAAUGAUUUUGUGGGAAUUGAGGUAAAUAAUUCAUUAAGAGGUUUAAAAAGAGUUGUGGGGCCAAGGUGUCGUUAAAAGAAACUUAUAUUAUCAAGUUAUUAGGGUUAGUAUUGUUAGUAAUUAAAUCUGGAAAGUAUAGGGAGUUGUUUUAAAAAAUCAAAUUGAAACUCCUAUAAUCCUAAUUAGCAUCGAGUUAAGAGGUUUUAAUGACGGAUUGGAACGUUUAUUUUUCUAUGGGUUACAUGUACGCAUCAAGAGGUUGCAGAAAAACUGAUUCUCGCUAUUCCUUGUGUAUGUCGACUUGCAAGAAAAAAGAGCCGAUCCUCUAGAAGAAAAUAGACGUUGAUCAACAAAGUGAAAAGAAACAAUCGACUUUUGGAGGGGAGAAGAAAUCAAAGAAUCGAGAAGGGAGGGGGAGAGACGAUUUUUCUUGUCAAUACUAGAGGAGGGUAGGGGCUAAGAAAAAUCAACCCAUUAUUGGUAAAGUUCUCUACUUCUUCUUAUUUUCAAGUUUAAAUCUCAAUGGAUUAUCAAUUGGGUGAAUUUUGGUGUUAAACUUCCUUUUAUUGGGUGUUAAUUGUCUCACUUUCAUUCUCCUAGGAAAAUUUGAAUGUUCAUAUGAUAAAUUUUAAUCUUAUUGAGUGUAUCUUGAUGACUUAUUUCUGUCAAAAUCUUGUUAUGAACACUCUGAAGAAUGUUAUUGUUCAUGUGCUUGAAAUACUCCAAGUUUUUGAGAACAUUGUAUACAUUGGUGAUUAAUAAACUCAUGUUAUUGCUAUCUUGAUUCAAGUGGGUAAUUUUAUGUAAAAAGACCAUGUUUUGAGACAUCAAAAUGUCUUCAAAAAAAUACCUAAAAGGUCUUAAUAGGAGGCUUAAGUGUGGGGGAAACUCAAGGCCUAAUGGUGUUUCCUCUUUUAGCAAUGAACUUUGUUUUUCCUAUAAAAGCAUUGCACUUUGAGUCAUGAUUUGAGGUUGUAUUUUCCAUUAUAAUUUUUUAACAUAUAAUUACUAUUAAGAACUCAAAUUUCAUCUUUAUAAAUGAUUUUGGUUAAGGCUUAAUGGGUUACGUUGUCAAUUAACCCUUAAAAAUGCAUUGCUAGGAAAUUCUGAAAAAUUACUAAUCUAUCCAUGUUUUGGAGAAAAAUAUAGAAGAAUCAUUAGGAGUUAUAUUGGGGAUCCGUAAACUCUCAAAGUUUUAAUUUUAAGUCUAGUUUGUUCAUGAUUUUUCCUAAGACCUUAUAUUCUCCCUAACCAAGAUGAAAAUCGUCUUUUCACUGAUUGGUCAGAAAUUAGCUGCACGGGCAUGCUGUCUUGUAAAAUUCAUAGAAAAUUCUAGAAACAUCGUAUGGACUUGCGCAAGCACUUUCUAAAAAGAUAAAAGUCUAAUCUACUAGAAUAUGAAAACAAAUUGCAAAUUAUUCAGGUAUAAGCGGGGAUAAAGUGGCCUUGAAUAGGUUGUUGUUUCAGGACAAAAUAUGAGAAUUUGACCUAAUGACUAUUUUGCAUCUUUGGGUAGUUAAUUGGCGUUAUUUGUUCAUGUGAACUUCUAGUAAUACAUUUUUUUGUGGUUUAAUAUGGAAAGGUUUGAUACCUUAGUUACUAAAAGAGUUGAAGUGUAGAUAGCACGUGUUUUUGAAAAAAAAUGAGUCAAUCUUUGUGGUUAUUUAGAGUACUUGUUAGGGAUUCCACAUCUUAGAGGGUUUGGAAUGAACCUAGGUUGUUUACGUUGCAUGUACCCCAAUUGUGAAUGAUAUUUUGAUAUAAAUAAUGUUUCCUUCAUCCUAUACUUUUUGGUUGCUAUUUUGAUGUGAGGGGUGUGAUAGGUCCAUGAUAGAAGGAGAGAUUUGUGUUGAUUGUGUGUGAAUAUAUGCAUGUAAUAGUUCAUUGGUAAUAUUUGUCUGUGUUGGUUAGGACAAUGCAUGGUAGAGAUAUAAUGUGACUUAAUGAUGAAGUGAUGCUAUGAGCAUGAUUAUAUAAAAGAUGUAAAAUGCCUUAACUUGUGAUACCUUGUUGUGUGUUUAAAUAAUUUGAAGUAUGGAAGUAAUAUCACAUCUAAUAUUAUUAAUUGAAAUUGAGCAUUAUUAAUUAAGGAGGUUUGUAGUGUAAUCCUUAUGUGAUGAUUAAUAAUUUAUUAAUUAAAAAGGGGAAUACACUUAGUGGGGAGUAAAGGGUAGCAACCUAGACUUAGGUGUGUGUAUUGUAUCCGGAUACUUUUGAGGGCCUUAUAGGUUGAAAGAUACCUAAAGGGAAAGAACAUAAGCCAAAUGGUGACGUCGAGUGGUUUUUCUAGACCAUCACUUAGGACAUGGUUCACGAACAUUAAGGUGUUCGAGGACUGGAGUGAUAUUUUCAUAAUGAUGGCGCAGGAUUAAAUAUCAUGUUUGAGUGGGAAGUUUGUAGUGAUAGGAAACAAUGACAAGUACCACUCUCGAACGACAAUGCAUAUACUUGUAUGUGCAACGUUGGAGUAGCGAACAUAGAGAACCGAGAGUAAUGUUACGAGUGAGAGUCGUGCCUUACUUAGUGCAUUGGGUUGAGCCGAUCUCGUUAGUAGUGAAUGAGGUUUUUACCUCUUGGGUUAGUGAUGGACCCAGUAGGGUAGGGUUGGGUCGGUCACUUAGUAGUGAAUGGAUUUUGCCUUCAGGUUAGUGAUGAACCUAUGUGUGGGGCGUCUACAUUACGGGUUAGUGAUGGAACCAUGUGUGGAGAGUCUUCCUUGAGGAUUAGUGGUGGACCCAGGGCUAGGAAUAAUUAAUAAUUAUCUCUUUUUAAAAGAUAAAUAAUAACGAUAGACCUUAAGGACACUCUAGUGAUGAACAUGCAAUGUAUGUGAUGUAUAUGAUGUGUGUGAUGUAUGUGAUGAUAUGCUAUGUGUGUUUUCCUAUCAUUAUACUUAUGGUUGAAUCACUUAAAGUUUUCUAACACUUGUUUCUUUGCUUUUUUUUUUUGCAUUGCAUUGGUACAAGUAGCAUAGUUUUUCGGCUUGGUGAGGAUGGGGAUUUUGGGUACUUACAUUCUAGUUUAUGUCAUAGUAUUGAUACUAUAUGGGCAUGUAGUUGAGUUUUCUUAAUACUUGUUUUUGAGAACUUGUUUUGAUUUGGUUUAUGAACUUUAUUUUGAUGAAUUAUGUGUUUGGUAAUAAAAGUAACAUGGUGAUGGUUUCAUAAAUUCAAAAUAAGACUUCCGCUAACGUAUUCUUUUUAAAAUAUGUUUAAAAAUAAAAAGAAAAAUUUGGGUGAAUAAUCUUGAUGUUACACCUAGUCCUCCACUCUUUUGAAUUUAACAUGUAUUCAACCUCAACCCCACUAACUGAUGACUUUCCAACACUAUCAUUUAGAAAUGAAAGAAUAGUAUUCAAUUUUGAAUUAAGGAUCUUGAACUAUUUACUAGAGAUGAUGGCAUUAUCAGGAACAUCAUCCUCAUCUGUAAAUCUGCAAAUAUAACCAUGAUAUCAUCUUCAUCUGCUUCUUCUUCAUUAACAAUUUUCUCAACCUCUAUGGAUUGAGAUAAGAAUAAAGAUGUAAUGUGUUCGUUCAUCACCACUUUAUAAGUUGGUGAAACAACUAUAGUGGAUGUAGGUGGAAUGGUAGAUGUUUGUGGUGGUGGUGGAACAAUUGUAGUAUUAAUGAUAAAUGUCAAACUCACAACACCCAUAGUAACAUUUACAUACUUGUUAUAUAAGUUCACAUUAAUGUUUGAAGUUUUGUCCUCCUCCAUAUUAGACUUGGAAUGUGAAACCUUGGGUGUUGUGACUUUUGUCUGCUUAGGGAGUGAUGUAAUGAGUUGUUCACUUUAAUUGAUGUUUGGGUCCUUAUCAAAUAUUUUCACAUUGACAUUAAGAGUACUUGUCUCUUCAAAAAUCAAUUUGACAAAGGUAUCCUUCCUGGGUGAAAUACGAAGCUAACCAUCCAAUGCAUCGCCAAUUUCUUUGCUAUCAUCAUCUGUUUCAACCUUAAGAUUCAUCAUAUGCAUGUCAUAAAAAAGGCUUAAACUUCUUCAACUUUUGAACAACCUCUAACUCUUUUCGCUUCUUUGAAGCUGGAGAAUCAAGAGUCGAAACUUUUCUAAUCAUAACACCACGCUUUCUUACCUUCAUCUAUGUCAUCUUUGACUUCUUUGGGAUGGCCAUUUGAGUAAUAGAUUCCCCCUCUUGAGUGGUGUUUUCAUCAAAUAGAGUAGGAACCUCCUCAGUAAAUUUCUCAGAUUUCUUCUUAGGGUGUUUAUCUGGUGGCUUCUUAGAUUGCUUCUCAAGAACAUAUUUAUUAGUCUUUUUAAGCACCCCUUUCCAGACUUAUGUGUUUAUGAUCCUAAAUCAUUUUUCCAUGAUGAAGGUGAGACCUAACAAGCCACAACUUAAUGAAUUGACAGUGAAGAUUUAUUGUUCAUGAUUCUAACAAAACUUUUUGUUUCACUACACCACUUUUGAUGUUCAAAAUCUCAUUUUUAUUUCUUUUGAGUGAUCUUGAUGAAAUGUACUCAUUCCAAGUCAUUUCUUCCCAAUAGAUCCAGAUCUUUAGUUUUUUUUUAUAUGAAAUGAGAUUUCCAUAUGAACAUUUGUCUAACUCCUUCGUUUCUCCAAAGCUUACUUGUUCUUGGCUAUACUGUACAAACAAGUAUCUUCGUAAAAUUAUUUUCACUUGUUUCAAGUUGCAAAUUUGUGAGAAAAUUAGUCUUUUUAAGCACCCCUUUCCAAACUUCACAGUAACUUUCUCAUAUUGCGUCUUAGGGUGUUUAUCUGGUUGCUUCUUAGAUUGCUUCUCAAGAAUAGAUUUAUUAGUCUUUUUAGGCACCCCUUUCCAGACUUCGUAGGCAUAAUCUGCUUCGAUGCUUCCUCCUUUAUUGCUUUAGGUUUUACAGUGUGCUUCCUUGUCUUCUUACCCUUAGAUACUUUGGAAGAUCCUUAUACACCUUCAAAAACUAGCCAUCUUAAUAAGAAUACCAGUAUGAUUUGGAUCUAUUGAAGCUUUUUAUGCAAUCAACUACUUAUUGAUCUUAGAUACCAAAUUAAGCAUUGAAUCUAGAAUUCAACCAACCACAAGAAAAAACAUAGGAUCAUCAACGGCAGACUUUAGAAUUGUCAUCGAAGCAAAUGUAGCAACAACAUCAUCAUCAGUAGGUACAGAAAUACCUUCUUAAGUAUACACUUUAUUCAAAAUCAAACUCUAAAAUGGAGUACUAGACACUUCUAUAGUCAUCUUCGAAUGAUUAAUGAAACUACCAAACUCAACCCAAAGCAAUGAGGCAUAAUCAAUACUCAGGCCAAAGUACAAUCCAACCAUAAUCGAAUAAAACUUGAGUUUUGCUUGAUCCAAUCCAAAACUUCUUCCUGUUAAACAAAGAAGAGUAAUACCAAAUAAAAGCCUCCAUACCCUAGGAAGACUCGAUUUUGUGAAAUGGAUAAUAACCAAAAGAGUUGGCUGAUUCCCCAUUUCAUUAAACAUAUGAAUAACUUGUUCACUGGUAACUUCAUCGAACUCACCUACAUAUGGUUACUUCAAGAUUUGGGCAAACUGCUUAUUUGUUAAUUGUUUGGUCUUGUUCAAUGUCAACUGAAACGUAAUAAGUCCGAUUGUUCUGUUGCACACAACAGUAGAAACAUCCAAUCAUAACCAUUUCAUACAAACUGCAGAUGAAUCAGUUAAUGCAUGAGUAAGAACGGAAUCAUUCAUCACUUAAACAAGCUUCAACUCGUCUGGAUAAUCCUUGAUCAAUGGGUUGAACCAAAGAUUAUUAUGUUGACUCUUCAUUGUUGGUUGAGAGAUUUCUUCAUUGUUGGUGUUGAAUUGAUCCACAACACUGGUUCCAGUAGCCAUGAUGAACAAUCGAGAGAAAAUUUGAAAUUUGAUUGCAAAGAAAACUCAGGGUUUUUACAUGAAUUCUAGGAACAUAAAAAGGAAACCGAAUGAUCAUGUCGUGCUUAAAUUAGCGACGUCAAAUUCAAAUUCAAACGUUACACCAAUAAAAGAAAGCCACGAGUAAAGUGGGUUAUGUAACCAUCAUCACAUUUCGUUAUAUAGCAAGAACCAUUCGCUGUUAUGGAGGAAAGGCUCAUUCAUUUAUGGGAAUGAUAAGUAAAAUCAUUUGCCAUACUUUGCAAAAUCUAGGUCUGAGUUGGUAAUACCCAUGACCUCGAGGAUUUCACUGCUUGUGUGUGCCAAAAGAAAAGAUAGAAUCAAAUUAAUAAAAUUUUGGACACCGUGAUAUCAAAAAAUCUUUGAUAUAAAAGCAGAUAGAUCCCGGGAAAAGAUACUCUUCAUUCGUCAUAAAGAGAGAUGUCGAAUUGGUUGUGUGGUUUCCCGUGAAUUACAAUAUAAUACUCAUUGAGGAGUAAUGUAGGGACUCUUUUAAGAAGCUUCGUAGGUGGCCUCAUUUUCUCACAAACUUGUAACUUGACAUAAGUGAAAAUAAUUGUAUGAAGAUACUUGUAUGUACAGUGCAGCCAAGAACAAGUAAGCUUUGGAAAAAUUAUAACUAACGAAGGAGUUAGACAAAUGUUCAUACCAAAAUCUCAUUUCAUAUCAAAAAAGCUAAUGAUCUGGAUCUAUUGGGAGGAAAUGAUUUGGAAUGAGUACAUUUCAUCAAGAUCACUCAAAAGAAAUGAAAAUGAGAUUUUGAACAUCGAAAGUUGUACAGUGAAACAAAAAAUUUUGUUAGAAUCUUGAAUAAUAAAUCUUCACUGUCAAUUCAUUAAAUUGUGGUUUGUUGGGUCUUAAAUUCAUCAUGGAAAAAUGAUUUAGUAUCAAAGACACAUAAGUGUAGCAUACCUAUAUCCUGGUUGUUUUUUACCAGAGAUGUCUUGGACAUGUGUCAUCGUGUGUGAUGUAUUAGAAAUUUUGGCUGAAAAGGAUUGGAUGCGAAAAAUCAUUGUACAUCUGCAAAUAAAUAUACCGUACAAAAAUCUCUUUACUCAAAAUGAGAAGAGAAAGGUAGCUCUUCGGCCAUUUGUGAAUACAUCGUAAUUGGGAAGAAUUUUUGUAUGAAAAAAUUCAUUAACGCUUCUUACACAAUGAAUCUAUGAGGCUUGUGGACAACUUGUUGCAACAUCUUUCUAGAGACUCUUAAUUAGUACAAGAAUUUUGUAUCAUACCAAUUCCCUAUUGAGUGUCUCUUUAGACAUGCGAAAGUGGAACACAUUGUUACAAUGAAUUUCUCCAAUCUCAAAAGAAAAUAAGGAAAAUAUUUUUGUAUUUUUGAUUUUUGAAAAUUACAAUUCAAAUAUAACAAUUUUUUUUUGGAUUGUUGAAUUUUAUAAAGAAAAGACAGAAAUAAGAAAAUCUUUUUGGAUUUCUUAAUUUUAUAAAGAAAAGACAAAAACAAAAAAAAUCCUUUUGAAUUUUUGAAUUUUAUAAAGAAAAGACAAAACUAAGAAUAUUUUUUUUUGGAUUUUUGAAUUUUAUAAAGAAAAGACAAAAAUAAGAAAAGGAUAUCACCAACAUUGGUUAUUCGUUAAUGAUAACAAAUAUUCCGCAUGCGAACCAAUGCUUCCCAUUAUAUAUGCAUCCCUCAAACAAAUAUAUUUCCCAUAAACGAGUGCUUCCCAUAAACAUGCACUUCCCAUUUAGAGACAAUUCCCAUUCGCUAGAUGUCAACAUGUGUUGAACGAAUCAGAGAUAAUGUCGAAAGAGAAGUGAGCCAAAUGCUGAAUGAGAACAGUAACAUCUGAACAAAAUUUUGACAAUUAAUGAAAGUUAGUCCAGAAAUUUCACGCAUCAAACUUAAGAGAAAAUUAGUUAGAAUUAGGAACAUAAGAACCUGCCAUCAUUCCUAAACCAUUUAAAAUUCUCAAAAAUGAUUUUUCAUCCAUUGGUUUUGUAAAAAUAUCUACAAGUUGGGCAGUUGGUUUAACGAAAUGAACUUCAAUAUUCCCAUCUUCAACAUGAUCUAUAAUGAAGUGGUAUGAAAGUGUAAUAUGCUUAGUUUAGGAAUGUUGAAAUGAAUUAUGGCAUAUGAGAAUUGCGCUUUGAGAAUCACAAUCUAAUCGAAUUUUCUUCAUGUUUAUCGCAUAGUCACGUAGUUAAAUUUGAAUCCAGAUCACUUGAGAAGUUUGAGCCAUAGUAGAAUGUAUCCAGCCUCAGCUAUCGAAAUUGAUACAUACAUCUUCUGUUUUGACUACCAACUCACAAGCUUCCCAUCGAAGAAUUGGCAUUUGCAUGCAGUGCUUUUUCGAUCUAACUGACAACUUCUUAGACCAACAUCUUAGAAAGCUUGAAUAAAUUAUCCUGUAUUCGAUGGAUACCACUAUCCAAGAGUUGAAGUGCCAUGCAGAUAACAAAAAAUAUUUUUCACCGCUGUAAGGUUGGGUUCUCUAGGAUUCGCUUGGUCCCCGACACAAUUGCACACAUAAAACAUUAUAUUAGACCGAUUUUCCGUUAAGUACAAUAUCGAAGCGAUGAUGCUUCUAUAUGUCUUGAGAUCAACAGAUGGCUUAUCCAACAAAGGACCUAAUGUAAGAUCCAUAAAAAUUCAUAAAAUUUAAACUUUUCAAAACAACCCUUUUUCUAAAGAAGUGUUUACAAAAACCAUUGUUUCCAAAACAUUAUUUAAAAUCAGAAUUGUUUUCAACAUAGUUUUCAAAACAUUCACAUUAUCAGAGUUUCACAGAAAUCAUAAGUCCAAGUAUGCGAGGAUGUGUACGGUCACGCCUUCACGUAACAUGAUCCACUGAAGUACUUGAAACCGUUAAACAAAACUGUAACCACGAAGCUUAGUGAGUUUCCCCCAGAAUACCAACACACAACAUAUAACAUAUACCACAAACAACAUGCAUACAGAGCCUUCAACAUGUCUGGAUUGCCUCACCGGGCCUUCAGCCUGUCCGGACAGUUCUCCAGGCCUUCGGCCUGACUAGUCCGCCUCACGGGCCUUCAGUCUAUCCGAACUGCCCUGAUUAUGUUGGCCUUUAACACAAAGCAGGACCGCCUCAACCCAACCACACACACAUACCACGUCGAUAUAUACAUAACAUAUAAGCGUACAUAUAAUAUAACGAUAUAAACAUUACCGGGUUUGUUGACUCGCAUCAUAAACCAGUACAAUCUCAUCCCAACCACACUACCUUAAAACAUGCGACCGGUAAACAUAUAGCCAAAAUAGAUAACAGGCAAAUCUAACAUAUCACUAAGUAGAACAUCAUCUUAUCUACCAGGAUACAGAUCUAACAGAUCACUACAACAUCGCAAGCAUACGAUACACCAAUAUAACAAUCCAAAGGGCCGACAUUGGUACCUUCGACCCGAGAGUAUAUUGAUGACAACUCACCUAACACUGCCGAAUCACACAGACGAUUCCUGGCUGCUAUUACCAAGCCAACACCCCAUCAAUACUUGAUCCCAUGAGAAACUCUAACCGCAGAUCCGCUAGAUCCCACACGCUAUCAAACACCACAAAUGACAAUCCAUUAAUAACUAGAUCGUGACUCACACUAUCAGUCCAAUUUAGGGUAAAAGACCUUUUUACCCUUCCAUAAACUUGGCCCAAGACUAAGGCCCAAACUAAAUGACCAAAAGCCCAACAAUCCAAAUAAUCUUCUACAACCCAAAUAUGGCCCAAUUUUCUAAAUUGGGCCCAAUCCCUUUCAUGGCCUUCACUCAAGAAAAUACAGCAAGAAAAAAACCCCAAACCAUAAAAUCUAGAUGGCCCAACAUGGUCCACUACAAUCCAAGUCCAAAAUCGAAGCCCAAAAUGACCGAGUACGCGGGGGUACUCCUAAGGUACGCUCAACAUACAUAAGGCUGUGCAGAAUCCACCAUUGGGGUGGCUCAUUGGGUAUGCUCGACAUACCCUCCCAAUUCCAUUUCCUUUCUUAAGUGCUUAAUGGCUUUAGAACUUGAGCUUAUACUUCAGAUCCAAGGUCCAAAUGCACUCUAGAGUCAUAAAAGUCUCCAACUUUAUGACUUACAUGUCAAAGAGUUCUUAAUACAACGUCUUAACCCAUUAAGACCCAUUUUUCCAAAUUCAUGAGACACUCUUGGCCAUUGGGACCUCAUUUUUAUGACUAAGGACCCUUCUUAGGGUCUAGAAGGACAACUCAAAACAUCCAAAAUCGAACAUGCACAACAAAGGGACUUUUGGGACAAAAAGAGCACCAUAAAGCUACCAAGCUAAGAUCCAAACUAAUCAAGCAUAAAGGUGGCAACUUUUUACCUUCUAAAGCUUCUUAAUGAAGUGAUGAUCCAAUAUCUACUAGCUUGCUUCAAUCUCUAAUCACCUUGAUGCAAAUCCUUUUUCUUCAAACACACAAGGAACACACUCUUAGCUCAAAACACACACUUAUGGAGUUAGGAUUUGCCGAAAACGACUCAAGAACUUUGAGGCUGGAAUGAUGGGAGUAAAUUGUCCAUAAAGAUGCUUAAAUACUCCACAAACCCUUAAAAUUAGGGUUUUCACCCAGACACAUGUACACCCAGCGUACAUAUGUUUAUGCCGAACGUACUAGGGCAUGCCCUAGUACGCUUAGUGUACACACAUGUACGCCUAGCGUACAACGCAUGCUCCCAAAAUUACCGUUUUGCCACUAGGGAUUCCCAUGGCCACUUCUUUCCAAUCCAUGGACAAAAAAAUGACAUAAUUAAAACCCAAGGGAUGAAUUCGAAACUACCCGAAAACUGGGGUGUUACAACUCUCCCCCACUUAAAUUCGAUUUCGUCCUCGAAAUCAUUCCUUACCAUCCCCGACAAGUCCGACAUUCUGAGGGGAACACCCAUAACCAUGGACAUACAACGACCUUCAUAAGGUGACUAAACCUAAAAGAAAUCUUUUCAACCCGAAGAGGAUGAAUCCAUAAUCCCAUGUAGCAUACCAACCCUACUUUAUCUGAAACCUCAAGAAUCAAACUGGGUCUGAUUCCCUGACAAACCACCAUUCCUGAACUAAUGCUAAAUCCAUAGCGUUUAUCCAUCAAACUACCUAUUCAACUCUUGAUGAUAACAAAUCCAUGAAAACAAUGAGAUAGAAGAUAUGGAUUUCCUUAACUGUUAGAACGAUACGCAACUACUAAAAUUAUGAAAACCCCAUGACCUGCCCGACCUUCUUACCGAUACAACCAUCCUAGAGCACAAACACAUGAACUAAGCCCUGACCAUAAACAACUGCAGAGCACCUAUACUUGACAGACGUCUCAGAUAAUCCUUCGAGUAGAAGAUUCAUCCCUAUGACGGUUAGACUCAAAUGAGAGCUGCGCAACAGGGUCAAAUCAAUUACUCUGAGAUUAUUUAAUGAAAAUUGCAAGUGACUUAGCACUUUCGAUCAACAAGAUACUCCACACACACGAAUCCCUAAAUCACUACUACUGCCCGAACCGUCACGCUGCCUCCUAUCUGCUUCCCAAAGGUAACCAAGACCUCCCUGGUCCCAACUUAACUGCUAACUAUCUGAAGUACUGGAUUCCUGCCCGGUUGUUAAGCCCAAGAAUACCCACACAAUCGCCCCACACUACUUUCGAAAGAAAUCCACGACCAUAAAUAAUUAUCCGAACCAUCUCGACACCAAACCCGAUGCUAAGCCGAAUGCUACAGGACCAACUAUAGUCUUACCUCAUACCCGGUCUCCCACAACCUACAAUUUCCUGAUUCUAAACAUGCGGUGACCCUCCUACAUCCUUACAACACUCCCACACUAACUGACCACUAGUGAAUGCUAUGGGCCACACCACAGUCUUACAUCACUUCCACCUUGCCACAACCACCGCCCAAUUCCUUAUCGUUAAUUUAUCCAUGCGAACACAUCCAAAGUCGAGCAUGCGCUUGACCAAACACCCAAGCCAAAUUUGGGUCAUGACUGGAACCCCAACCUGGGUCCCCCAAAGCCUGCUAUCUGAAACCUAGAAGGCAUGAACCAAAUAUUGGGAAGUUUCCUAAACUCCCAUACCACACCAUCCUCAAUCCAAACGGUUACUUGGGUCGCCUUCCUCCCCGAUGAGCAUGUGUAACUCAUCCUAGUUUCACACCUUCUUCUGUUCCUGAAUACCUGAAUGAUUUUCCCCCAUGUUGAUUCGACUAAGCUCUUAAGAUUGGAAGGAUUCCCAAUCCUUCUUACCCUCCAACGAUCGAAAUGCUAACAACCUGUUCUUAGCAAUGCUAGUGAUCCAUUACUAGCCAAACCGAAAAGAUCACACAAACCCUGAAGACCAGAUGAACGCUUUCCGAAUCCCUGAAAAACUGAUAACCCUAAAUGCUUUAAAAUGAUAUCACCCUCAAAUCUUGAAGUUCAAAGAACAGAUGCUUUAACCAAAUCCUCAGCAAUAGAUGAACUCAAUGACCAAAGAGGUAACGACACCCCGAAGCCAAAGGAACAUAAACACACUGGAUUGGAUGGUAGUUGGCACGUUAACACUAAAACCAGAGAACCACAAACCCACCUGGAACUAACCAUACACGAUUUUGGAAAUGGGUCACUGGUCAUCAUCUUCCUAAACUAAUAUGAAAACAAAAAUCCAAACAGCGAACUGACGAAUUCCUCAAAGACUGCUACUCAACCCAAGAAUCCUAGUUCUCCCCCACUUAGAACCCGAACCACCGCCCACUGGUGGUGAAACCGAAACAUAACCCAACCGGCUCAACCAGGUACAACCAUAGCUAAUCAUGGAAUGAAUACCAUAUGCAUAAUGGUCCUCCAAAUAUUGAUCAAAGAAUCCUAAGAGAACCUGAAUUUCAACUAAAGACCUCUUAAUUUCCAAUUAUAACCACUUACAAAGCAUAGGAAACUACCGAUUAGUGAUCCAAACAUACACCCCUUACUUGCAAUCCCAAUCGACAAUCCGACAACUGGCUUUCCCAUCUCCCAAGAAUACGGGCCCUUGCUAGCAUCGCUAAGGUACUCAUGCCACAUCAAUCCACCUGCGCACACCAACGCUGACAUACUGUCGCCAACCACUGCGACCAACAUAUCCCAAGAUGAGAAUACAUCUAACUAUUGAGGUCAUAAUCCUGCUCACUCCUUCGAUCUCGAAAAACUGCAGGACAAGAUCCUUGCUACAGAUAGCGACAAUCACAACCGACAAUCCGCCACUUAAAUCCCAUAUGUGAUUCCCAAGCCGAUCAUAUCAACCACUUCCUCCCUGUGUCUCGAGUCCAGAUGCAUGACCUAUAGCAAAACCAUUGAGACCUCGAACCAACAUACUUAUUUGGGUUUGAACCAAUCAACCCACAUUGACACUGCCAUUGGGUCCUAAACACACAAAACCCAUCCUUGUGGCUGAGCAAUCUAAGCCAAAAGAUCGACAGCUACAGAAGCACCAUCACGGAUCAUGGUAUCCAACCAUGCUAUCUUCCCCGACCAGUCCUUAGAAUCCCCGAAACCUUCCUUGAUUCGAGUAUAGAUCCUGUGCUUCCAGUAGUAUGGGCCCAAUACUACCUUCCACACCUAUCCAUACUCUCCUCAAGAAUCAUCUCGGGUCCUCCAAGACCUAGUCACGAAAUACCCCUGAACCCUGCUCAACAACGAAAAAACUGCAUGAAAAAUACUCCUUAGGCUAUCAUAGGGUUCCACACUUCUUUGCCAUUAGUUGCUGAAGAACUUCUCACAAUGUCAAUUAGCAAUUCCAUGAAUACAAUCACAUGCAACAAGUCUUAGAUAAUCCUUUCAGUAACAGACUCAUCUCUACCACGGUUGGACUCAAACGAGAGUUGCGCAAUAGAGUCAAAUCCGUCACUCUGACAUUGUCCAACCUUUUUCACAUGUGACUUGACAUAUUCACGUAAUGUCUAACUCACAUCACUCAUGAGUUCCACAAAGCACAAAGCAAGCAGCAUUCCUGCAGAGGAGCCGAUUGGCACUAAAACACAAUAAAAUCAUAUAGAUCCUCCAACUAAAUCCUCGAUCUCAAACUCUCCAUGGGUGCACCUUUGCCCUGCUCUCACUCUCUCAAGAGUGGUUGAUCAUUCCUCACACUGACCUGCUAGGAACCGAACCCAUUCUAAGGAAACCACUUCCUCCUCGUCCAAUAACACAACUGGUCGGCUGACCCCACACGACUCACCAUACCACUAAUUGCCACACGACUCUCCAUUGGUGUCAGAUGACUAUCGCAUGAAUACAAUCACAUGCCUCAGAGUUUAAACAAUCUUAGGCUAAAAGAUUCAAUCCUACAAUGUUUGGACUCAGACAAGAGCUGUGCAACAGGACCAAACCCAUCAACCUAAGAUCCUUUAAACCAUGUAGCAUGUGACUUAAUGUAUCUACUCAAUAGCCAGUUCACACGUGAAAGAUUCACACAACAGGAAAACAACGGAACUCUAUAGGAAAUAAGGCAUCAUAUAAUCGGGAAAUUCUAUCAUGCAAUUCCUGAAGAUCCCUAGGCUAUUACUAGCAUGCUAUUCUAACAUACCAUAACAUAAUCUCGAAUAAUUGUGUGGUAAUUUGAGGUCAACUUACUGGCUGCAGCUAAUCGUACACAUCGCAUCCUCCUUAAUUUUUUUGAAAACCAAUUGAAAAUUGUUUUAAAAACCUUUUCCUUAGUUUGAGACUGGAUUCACACGAGUGUUCCUCUAAUUCACUCAAACCAAGGCUUUGAUACCAACUUGUAACAUCCAUAAAAAUUCAUAAAUUUGAACUUUUCAAAACAACCCUUUUUCUAAAGAAGUGUUUACCAAAACCAUUAUUUCCGAAACAAUAUUUAAAAUUAGAAUCAUUUUCAACAUAGUUUUCAAAACAUUCACAUUAUCAGAGUUUCUCGGAAAUCAUAAGUCCAAAAAUGCGAGGACAUGUACGGUCACGCCUUCACCUAACACGAUCCAUUGAAGUACCUAAAACCAUAAACCAAAACUGUAACCAUGAAGCUUAGUGAGUUUUCCCCAGAAUACCAACACACAAAAUAUAACAUACACCACAAACAACAUGCAUAAAGAGCCUUCAACAUGUCUGUACCGCCUCACCAUGCCUUCAUGCAAUCUGGACCGCUCACAGAACCUUCAACAUGUCUGGACCGCCUCACCGGGCCUUCAGCUUGUCUGGACCAAUCUUCGGGCCUUCGGUCUGAAUGGUCCGCCUCACAGACCUUCAGUCUAUCAGGGCUGUCCUAGGUCAGUUGGCCUUGAACACAAAGUAGGACCACCUCAACCCAACCAUACACACAAACCAUGUCGACAUAUACAUAACAAAUAAGCAUACAUAUAAUAUAGCAAUAUAAAUAUUACCGAGUUUGUUGACUGGCAGCACAAAGCAGUACAGUCUCAACCCAACCACACUACCUCAAAACCUGCGAUCGGUAAACAUAUAGCCAGAACAGAUAAUAGGAUGAUCUAACAUAUCACUAAGUACAACGUCAUCCUAUCUACCAGGAUACAGAUCUAAUAGAUCACUACAACACUACAAGCAUACAAUAAACCAGGAUAACAAUCCAAAGGGCCAACAUUGGUGCCUUUGACCCGAAAGUAUAUUAAGGACAACUCACCUCACACUGCGGAAUCACACAGACGAUCCCUGGUUAUUAUUACCAAGCCAACACCCCAUUACAGCUGAUCCCAUGAGAAAUCUCUAACUGCAGACCCGCUAGAGCCCGCAUGCUAUCCAACACCACAAAUGGAAAUCCGUUAUGAACUAUAUCUUGACUCACACCAUGAGUCCAAUUUAGGGUAAAAGACCUUUUUACCCUUCCUUAAACGUGGCCCAAGACUAAGGCCCAAACAAAAUGACCAAAAGCCCAAAAAUCCAAAUAAGCUUCUAAGGCCAAAAUAUUGCCCAAUUUUCCAAAUUGGGCCCAAUCCCUUUCAUGGACUUCACUCAAGAAAAUACAGUUAGACAAAAAGCCCAAACCAUAAAAUCUAGAUGACCGAACAUGGCCCGCGACAAUCCAAGUCCAAAACCCAAGCCCAAAACAAAGAAGCCCAACAUGACCGAGUAUGUGGGGUGUACUCCUAAGGUACGCUCAGCGUACGGGAGGCUGCGUAAAAUCUACCAUCGGGGUGGCUCAUUGGGUAUGUGGAGCAUACCCUCGGAGUUCCAUUUACUUUCUUAAGUGCUUAAAGGCUUUAGAACUUGAGCUUAUACUUCAGAUCCAAGGUCCAAAUGCACCAUAGAGUCAUAAAGUCUCCAUCUUUAUGACUUACAUGUCCAAGAGUUCUUAAUACAAGGUGUUAACCCAUUAAGAACCUUUUUUCCAAAUGCAUGAGAUAGUAUUGGCCAUUGAGAUCUCAUUUUUAUGACUAAGGACCCUUCUUAGGGUCUAGAAGGACAGUUCAAAAGAUCCAAAACCGAACAUGCACAAGAAGUGGACUUUUGGGAGAAAACGAGCACCAUAAAGCUACCUAGAUGAGAUCCAAACUAAUAAAGCAUAAAGGUGGAAACUUUUUUUUUACCAUCUGGAGCUUCUUAAUGAAGUGAUGAUCCAAGAUCUACUAGCUUGCUUCAAUCUCUAAUCACCUUGAUGCAAGUCCUUCUUCUUCUUCAAACACAUAAUGAACACCCUCUUAGUUCAAAACACACACUUAUAGGGGUAGGGUUUGCCAAAACGACUCAAGAACUUGGAGGCUAGAAUGAUGUGAGUAAAUGGUCCAUAUAGCUGCAUAAAUACUCCACAAAACCUAAAAAUUAGAGUUUUCACUCGGACACAUGUACGCCCAGUGUACAUAUAUGUACGCCGAGCGUACUAGGGCGCGCCAUAAUACGUUUAGCGUACACACAUGUACACCCAACGUACAACUCAUGCUCCCAAAAUUACCUUUUUGCCACUAGGGCUUCGCAUGGCCACUUCCAUCCAAUCCAAGGAUCAAAAAUGACAUAAUUAAAACCCAAGGUAUGAGUUUGAAAUUACCCAAAAACUGGGGUGUUACAACUACGGUGGGUUGCACUUGAUCUCAUAUCGGCUUGGAAGGAGAACGAAACAUUUCCUUAUAAGGGGUGUGAAUACCUUCCUUGUCACAACACGUUUUAAAGCCGUGAGGGCAGCAGAUCUCAUAAGAACUCUGCAGUUAAGCAUGAUCGGGCGAGAGUAGUACCGGGAUGGGUGAGCCACUGGGAAUUCCUUGUGUCGAGUGGCCCUAAGCGGACAAUAUUGUGAUAUGUGCCGGAGAGGGAUGUUACAAGUUGUAUCAGAGCUGGGACAUGGGUCUAUGUUUUCGACGGGGACAUCGAAUCAUAUAAUGGGAGGUGAAGGUGGGUUGCACCUGAUCCCACAUCGUCUUGGAAGGAUAAUGAAACAUUUCCUUAUAAGGGGUGUGGAUACCUUCCUUGUCACAACGUGUUUUAAAGCCAUGAGGGCAGCAAAUCCCAUAAGAACUUUGCAGUUAAGCAUGCUCGGGUGAGAGUAGUACCGGGAUGGGUGACCCCCUAGGAAUUCCUCGUGUCAAGUGGAACAAAGUGGACAAUAUUGUGAUACGUUCAGGAGGGGAUGUUACACCUAUGCGAGUAUCGAAUGCCAUGGGAACCACAGGUUUCGAGCAAUUUGUCAUUCCAAAUCUUUCAUGCAGGUUUCGUGUGUAGUUCUAUUAACUAAUGAAGAUUCCACCCUUGCUUUGAUGAAUGUGAAAACCUAAGAAAUUAUUGAUUUUCCCCAUCAUGCUCGUUUCAAAUUGACUCUUCAUAAGCUCCUUAAACUCCUUUGCCAACGAAGGGUUAGUAAAACCAAAUAGUAUGUCAUCAACAUAAAUUUGAACAAGCAUCACGUGGACUUUCUUUCAAAAUAGAGUGGGAUCAACUGGCCAUUGAUUAAAUUUAACAAUUUUCAAAAAAUUGGUUAGCUUCGCAUAACAAGCAUGCGGUGCUUGUUUUAACCCGUAAAUGGCCUUCUUAGGAAUAUAAUAGUGAUCAUGAUACUUAUUAUUUACGAAUCCAGGUGUUUGUUAGGCAUAUACUAUCUCUUCAAGAAAACCAUUAAGAAAUGUGUACUUAACAUCCAUAUAAUAGACUUCGAAAUUCUUAUGAGCUAUAUAGGCAAGAAAAGUUCGUACAACCUCGAGUCUUACAACAGGUGCCAUGGUUUCUUCAUAAUCAAUACCCUAUUGUUGAGAAUAACCUUUUACGACUAAUCUAGCUUUGUUAUAAACUAUAUUUCCUUAUUUUUUCCAUUUCAUUUUUAAAAACCCGUUUAAGUCAAACAACAACAGCAUCAUCAGAUUUAGAAAUUAAUCUCCAAACUUUGUUCCUUUCAAAUUCAGCCAACUCAGACUGCAUCGCAACAACACAAUCAGAAUGUUCUAAUGCAUUGUUGACUGUUUGCGGUUCAAUUUUUGAAAUAAAGACAUUUGACAUACAAUAUUCUUGAUGAACAUUUGUUUCAUACCUCGCUAAAGCGGAAAGACGAGACGCGACAAUACAAAGGGUCUCACAGGAAAAGUUAAAAGACAAUACCAACCAUAGUAUUAAAUGCAUUACAGUUUACAAUGAGUUUGAAUUUUUUUUAAAAAAAUUACAAUGUAUUUGAAAAAAACAACCCAUGUGAAUGCUCCUACAAGUGAUGUGUCCCUAAGUGCCAUCUUAUAGACGAGCUCCUAAAAAAACAUAUAAAAUGAGCGGUAAACUACCGAAAUAGUUGAUAAGUUCACAAGUUUACUAGAUAAAAGAUUUAUAAGUCAAGAACUUCAAUUUUUGGAAAUAAGUGACAUAAUUAAAAGUUUGUUUCUAAGAUGAGUAAAUAAUUUCCACUGUUAUCAUGAGAAAUAAACUUCAUUACUAUCAUAAGAAAUAAAGUUCGAUGCUAACAUAAGAAACAAAGUUCAUUGUUAUCAUGAGAAAUAAAAUUUGUUAUUAUCAUGAGAAAUAAAGUUUGAUGCUAACAUAAGAAACAAAGUUCAUUCUUAUCAUGAGAAACAAAGUUCGUUAUUAUCAUGAAAAAUAAAGUUCGAUGCUAACAUAAGAAACAAAUUUCAUUGUUAUCAUGAGAAAUAGAUUAGGGACAAUUUUCUCGCUUCCGGGUUGGCUACUAAAUCUGGAAAAUAUAUAUUCUGAAAUGGAAAGAGGUAGCACGAAUGAUGCUUUUUGGUACCAAAAAUGUUAGAUCUUAAGCAUGGCAUGUUCUUGACCGUUAAGUUGUCCUUUCAGACCCUAGGAUGGGUCUUAAAUCAUACAAAUGGAGUUCCAAUGGUUGGUUUUGUCCCAUGCAUGUUAUGAAGAGUCUUAACGCAUUAAGACGUUGGGUUUUUUAAGAAUUAAUCACUUAUUGAGCAUGCAAGGUCAGAAAGUUGGAAACUUUAUGACUCCUAAUGACAUUUUGACAUUUGAUCUACAUUUGGAUGUGUUAAGACGUUGUACUAAGAACUUAAUGGAGAAAAAGGAAAGUUUGGGGUUACGCCUAACGUACACGGUCAACAGCCCCGUUUUUGGUCAGCGGAGGAAUACGCCCAACAUACCUCCAGAGUAUGCCCUGCAUACGCUUGCUGAGUUGACUCGAUUGGGCAGACUUAGUUGAUUUAUGGAGUUUGACCUCGUCUUUGACCCAUUUUGACAUUCAGGGUAAUUUGGUUAUUUUGGGAUUUAACGGAGAUUGGUCAUUUGGUUGGAAUAGGUGUCAGUUAGAGAGCUGAAAUCCGGAGUCGGGGCCUCAUCAACUUUUUUCCGAUUGUGAGGUGGGUUUUCCUCACUGUACUUGCGGGACGAAGGAACCAAGGCCAGGCCUUUGAAUUUGAUAUCCAAUUAUGUGAUAGUAUGGUAUCGUGUCGUAGUGAUCUGUUAGAUCGAUAUCCUGGUAUGUAGGAUGAUGCUAUGCUUAGUGAUCUGUAGAUCUGCCUGACUGUUUGUAGACUUUGUAUAUUAUUAUCUAUUAUAUGUGCACAUAUUUGGUUGGUGGUUGAGGCUUCACUGCUUUGUGCGUAAGCUAACAGGUCGGGGGCAUAACAACCCGAUGAUUGAUUGGGCUCGAGGAUAUUCCAUCCCGACGAUGACAUGACCCGUUAUAGAUUGACAUUCCAACCCGAUGGUUGAUUGGGCCUGGGGUAUUCCAACUCGAUGGUUGACUGGACCCGUAGUAUAUUGGAAUUCCAACCCGAUGGUUGACUAGGCCUGGGGAUAUUCCAACCUGAUGUUUGAUUGGACCCGAUAUUCUAUUAUUGUAUAUGUUAUAUGUUUAUGUAUUGGUACUUUAGGGGAUCUCAUUAAGUGCUGGCUUACAGUCUUGGGUUAUGUUUCAGGUACUUCGGAUGACCGCGGGAAGGCGAAGGCGUGACUGUACACAUCCUCUUUUUUAUGACUUAUGAUUUUGGGAGACUUUGAUGUUCGAAAUGUUUUGAAAACUAUUUUUGUAAACAUUAUGUGAAUUUGGGUUGGUUUUAAAAAGUUUAAAUUUGUUGUGAUUUUUUAUGGGUGUUACAUGUUGGUAUCAAAGCCUUUGUUUGAGUGAAUUGGAGGAACUCUCAUGUGAAUCUAGUCUCAAACUAAGGAAAAAGAUUUUUAAAAUGAUUCUUGAAAUUGUUUUCAAAAUAAUCAAAGAGGAUGCUAUGUGUACGAUCAGCCGGAGCCAGUAAAUAGACCCCGAAUUACCACACUGUUAUUUGAUUUUAUGAUAUGUUAUAAUAGCAUGCUAGUGAUAGGCUAGGGAUAUUCAGGAAUUGCACGAUAGAAUUGUCUGAUUAUAUGAUGCCUGGUAGCCUAGGGUUUUGCCUUAUAUGAAAUUGACAUGAUUAUUGUAGUUGCUUUGUGUAUACAUUAUAGUUGUACAUAAGUAAGAUUCUGUAGCCUGAGAAUUUUUUGUUUGGCCUUAUUUCUUGUUCUUUUUUUUAUGAAGGGCUUAGGGUAGAAUCAGGUAUUGGACUGUCUAUAGGGUCCCGUGUUAUGUAUGAUUAGUAUACACAAGUGGUGUAGGGUUGGUGAGAGUUUCAUGGAACAGUUGUGUGGGGUCAUUCGGCCAAUUUCGUAAUGUUUAGCCUUCCUCUAGGAAGUGAGGAUUGAGUGAAUGCUUUUGCUAGUGUGUAUUGUUAGGUUUGUUGUGAAGAUCCUCUGAGACAAAUACGGGUAGGUGCGGAAGGUAGUAUGGGCCAUACUACUGGAAGCACAGGACCACUACUGUAACACCGUAAAAUUCAAAAUAAUUUUUCAUUUAAAAAUAAUCGUUUAUUCUUAAAAACACUUUUCUUAAAAUUCUAGUCACAAUCGAAUUACAAAAAAAUAACUCCAUUUUCACUUGCUUAAUAAACCAGGAUCCUCAAAACAUGACUCUUUCUCUGGUGUACAAUCGAGCCGGUGCCGUCCCAUGAUCUUGAGAGAAACCUGAAACACAUAACACAAAACACUUUAAGCACAAAGCUUAGUGAGUCCCCCAAAAUACCGCACAUAACACAUAUUAGCCACUCGAGGCUAUAACUCUGUGGGUCCGUGGACCCUACUCUAUGAACCCUCUGGUUCUAACUCUGUGAAUCUUCCGGUUCUAACUCUGGGAACCUUUCCGGUUCUAACUCUGUAAACAUGCACAGCAUAGAUCACAUAGAAACAAUGCAGUACAACACAUAACAUACAUAGCAUACCAAUACUAUGUCACAUAACUCUGGUUACCUACUCAAGGUAAAGUAUAGUGAGAAGACUCACCUGGCAAGCAGAAAGCAGAUAUCCCCACACUUGAAUCUCGAACUCGCCACCGCCUAACACAUAAGGCAAAUACUCUCAUCAAUAUAACUCUCGAGACUAGAAUCAACCCUCUCUUGGCACCCUCUUAAGGAUAAAAGACCGUUUUACCCCUCUCUUGGCCCAAAGGCCACAUCGCUGACCAAAUCCUAAAAGUCAACAAAAGUCAACGGUCAACUUUGACCGGACUCGGCGAGUGCACUAGGGCGACUCGGCGAGUCUACACGUGUCCACUGACUCCCUUGGAUCCUCUCUUGACACGUCGAGUAUUUCUCUGACUCGACGAGUUUCACCUGGCAUAAAUCGCGGGGCCACCACGACUCAACUCGGCGAGUUCCAGCUUGACACAGUCCCACCCUGACUCUCCCUGACUCACUGAGUCGACCCCUCAACUCGACAAGACCACUCGCUGAGUGGUUAUGGGCAAAAUUCAUGCUACUCGCCGAGUAUGUUCUUCAGACUCGGCGAAUCCAUGCCAUGCAUAACUCAAACUCACUUCUGAGGUCAGAUCUGUUCCAUACAAUCAUAGAUCUGGCCUCCCCAGGCAUGAUAAUCACGUAAAGUCCAAACCUUGGUGCCCAACGAACAACUAUUUGCUCCUAGAUGAUGUUUUAGCCCCAUAUCUCAUAACUCUAGGUCAAAACUCCCAUGAAUCCUCAUAAAGCUUAAGGAAUAAAGCUUCUCUGGACCUCUAUGGAUCUCAUCCCAAGCCUCAUCACAAAUAGGGACGAAAUGGACAUCAAAUCUAACCAACAAAGGGGUCAAGAAACCCUAACCCCCAUGUUUAUCAUGACAACAGAAAAGGAAGCCAAAAUAUACCUCCAAGAUGAUGCUCUGAGCUCCAAAAUCGAAGGAUGUCCACCUCCCUUGCCUCCUCUUAGCUAGAAUCUCCUUUGCCUUGCCAAACAAAGCUUCAAAGGUCAACAAUGGCCUCUUCUCUCUCCCAAAACGCUCAAAAUCUCUUUAGGGUUUCUCUCUGGGGUUGGUGGCCGCAAAUGACGGCCAUAAGCCCCUUUAAAUAGGUCUCAAACCCUGGAAAUUAGGGUUUCAUUAAACAGCGUGGACUCGCCGAGUCCAGACGCGAACCCGCGCACAAAACCAUGAUCCUACUCGGCGAGUUUGGACUCCAACUCGCCGAGUCUCCUCACACUCACCCAAAAAUAAAAGAAUAAAAUAAUACUUGGGAAUCCGGGGUGUUACAAUCCUCCCCCACUAGAAUUAGACUUCGCCCUCGAAGUCUCGCUCUGUAAAUAACUCUGGAUGCUGCUCACGCAUCUCACGCUCCGGCUCCCAAGUUAACUCUGACCCUUUCCGAUGCUGCCACUGGAUCUGCACCAGUGGCACCUCUUUAUUCCUCAGAACCUUAGUCCUUCGAUCUCUGACCGCCGCUGGUCUCUCAGCAUAAUUUAGGCUCGCAUCCACCUGAAUAUCCUCUAGUGGCACUAUUGCUGACUCGUCGGCUAUGCACUUUCGCAACUGCGACACGAGGAAAGUGUCGUGAAUCUGACCCAACUCUGCUGGCAACUCCAAACGAUAGGCUACGCUGCCUACCCUCGCGACCACCCUGAAUUGACCAAUAUAUCGGGGUCCCAACUUGCCCCUCUUCCUGAAUCGAAUCACUCCUUUCCAAGGAGAUACCUUCAGGAGCACAAGGUCGCUGAUCUGGAACUCGAGCUCGGACCGGCGCGUGUCCGCAUAACUCUUCUAACGACUCUGAGCGGUCAAUAACCUCCGCCUGACCUGUUGAAUCUGCGCAGUCAUCUGCAACCCAAUCUCCGUACUACUCAUAACACGUUACCCGACCUCUCCCCAGCAAAUGGGGGUCCGACACCUCCUCCCAUACAACAACUCAAAGGGUGGCAUACCAAUGCUCGAAUAAUGGCUGUCGAUAUGGGAAAACUCAACCAAGGGUAAAUACGUGCCGCAACUCCCUCCGAAAUCUAAUACACAUGCCCGAAGCAUGUCUUCGAGCGUCUGAAUCUUUCGCUCGCUCUAAAGUGUCCUCAGACAUCACCAUGAUAAGCUCUAGCUCAUUUCUCAUAUCCCUCUUCGAGACUGAGCACCAGGUCAGCUUUUGACUCCACAGCUGAGCCUCCAAAGGUCACCCAUAUCAUGAUCCAAAUAUCCACUAACUUCCUCCCCGUGACCACUAUCCCGACCCAGUGACACACAAGUCACGAAAUUCUCUUUUUCUUAUGCGAGAAAAAUACAAUCCAACCGAGGAUCGUCUCAACUCUGAUCUCUGGUGUCUGCUGCGCAUAUCCCUUGCGCAUCUCGCCGCAUCUCCCGACAGAGACGGAGACCCAGUCUCGCCCCCGGUUCAACACCCAGGCUCCAAAAAACUCAAUACUAGGGCUACUCAAGCCCAAAACUCUUCCACAUCAUACACUGAUCGGAGAACACUCCAUCAUCACAUUCUCUUGCCAUCUAGUGAGUACUACGGCUCCCCGCAGUAUCACAACACUCUCUGACUAGUGAGUACUACGGCUCCCUGCAGUAUCACAACACCCUCUACCUCCACUAACUCAUGCUCCGUAGACUAUCAUAGGUAGCUGCCUAUACUCGACUCGAAUAUGCAUCACAGACUCUGGAGGCAAUCGACAUAACAAAAUGCCUACCCUUGCGGAGAUCCACUCUCUUAAAUAAACCCUCUGGAUGCCAAUACUCGAAGGGCUCCCACUAGAUCCAUAGAUACUUGAUAUACCACAAGUCAUCUCAACUCAAGAUUCACGAAUAACUCCGAAAUCAAGAUAUCAUACCCGGAUACCUCGGAACACCCCAACAGAACAUCACAAGAUCCUGCCACAACCACUGAUCUCCUGCCCCAAGCAUCAUAUAGAUACAAUAAUACAUUUCCUCUAAACCCCAUAAUUAGAUCUUCAUUUUUCCCAAAUUGCAACUUCAGUGUAUCCAAUUACUCAAUUGGAAUACGAGAAAAUGCUAACUCUACGGAAUACGCUGAUAAUUCUCCGAAACCCUUUUUCCUACCGCUCAAAAUCCAAGCAAGAAUACACAUACCGACCCGGGAGUUGGCUGCCCAAUCAUUCUCUACCUACUUGCAAUUACACUGACCACCACCAAGUUCCUGACCAUUAACCACCUGCCGUGGAGCCAUUCAUCCUUCUCAAACAAGUACUUCCCGCAUUAACUCACUCUGACCCCUUUCCUCGAUCACCAACAUCUCUGGUCUCAUGAAUUCUUACCGCAGAUCUCUAUACUCCACUUAUAACCGCUCUUGAAAAAUCUCUGGUUUCUUCCAUACGGUACCUGGUUCUCCCCCACUCAGGGUUUGAACCAUCACCAAUUGGCACACAACCAUCCCCAAUCUAUUUUCACCAGCAAAAUCGCACCUGCCCUUGGAAAGUGCUACACAACGCCCGAUAAUCCCCUUUAAGGAAAUCAAUCGACCUCAUAUACUCUGAACCUCAGAUGAAAUCCUCAAGAACUUCUCGUCACGACUGCCUCUAGUCGUUCCAAGUCUCGUACCAAUCCAAUACCAAACAACUCAACUGUCCAAUAACAUCACUGACUCAUAGACUGGACCACGAAAUCAUCAUACUCCCCCACCUCGACUCAUCAACCGACGUUCCAACACAUGCAUCAUCCCAAGAACAGGGACCCACUCCCAUAUUCAAUACUCAACAUAGAUAGAAAACCCACUGCACUGCUAAACUCGACUGAAUUCCCCACUGAUACCACUACAAUACACCCUACUAUACUCAAAUAGGUGUAAUGUGGUCCUCGACUAUCUCAGUCCCAACUGACUAUCUGCUCAUGGUAAAUCACUGCCUCGCGGCACACAUGCUACCUGAUACUCUGAUGGAAAAUCAUCAUCAAUGACAACCUGCAGGGUUUACCCCCAAACCCAAAACUUAAACAUCAUGCCUCUCAUGUUUCGCACACGAACAUAAAUAGCACCACCCAGGUCAUAGAAGGUGACAUCUCCUCUAUCGACUGAUUGCUCAACUCAGACCGAAAUUCUCCCCUCUCUUUGACUCCUUACUAAAAUACUCUGAGAGGCUCUCAAUCUCCCUCUCAAGGGACGCCUCUUCGAGCUCAAUCAUGACCGGAUAACCAGAGAACCACAAGCAUCAUUCACUACGAACCAUGGUACUCAUUCCAUGACAUCUCUUCUCAAUAUGCUCCGGUGUAUGGUACCUGAACCACAACAUCACUCCUCAAUUCGCUCCGAUGUAUGGUAUUCAAACCAUAACAUCACUCCGCAAUACGCUUCGAUGUAUGGUACCCGAACCAUAACAUCACUCCUCAAUCUGCUACGAUGUACGGUACUCGAACCAUAACAUCACUCCUCAAUCCGCUCCGAUGUAUGGUACUCGAACCAUAACAUCACUCCUCAAUCCGCUCCGAUGUAUGGUACUCGAACCAUAACAUCACUCCUCAAUCCGCUCCGAUGUAUGGUACUCGAACCAUAACAUCACUCCUCAAUCCGCUCCGAUGUAUGGUACUCGAACCAUAACAUCACUCCUCAAUCCGCUCCGAUGUAUGGUACUCGAACCAUAACAUCACUCCUCAAUCCGCUCCGAUGUAUGGUACUCGAACCAUAACAUCACUCCUCAAUCCGCUCCUUAGAACCUUCAGAAUACUCCCUGUAUCAAGUAUGGGUCCUCUGCUUUCAGUAGUACGGGCCCAUACUACCUGCCACAUCUACCCAUACUUUCCACACGGACUAUCCCGGAGCUCCUAAGUAGCUGCUCGACCUGCUCUUUCACCAAUCCCAUCGCGCGUGCUCGCUCCCCAGCGAAAUUCUCUACCCUGCCAGCGCACUCAUCUGGCUAAGGUUACUCCCUAGGCUCUUCCUAGAUUCCCACACUUCUCUGCCAUCAGCUGCUGAAGAGCUCCUAAUGAUGCCAGCCAUCUACCUCCUGAAUAUCGUCAUAUUCACUUAGUAGCUGACUCCCAUCAUCAAGAGUUCCACAAAGCACGAAGCAAGCAGCAUUCGGGCAUUGAAGCGUCCCCUUCAGCACGAAAAACCUCCUUAGGUUAUUAUCCACUCACCUUCCUCAUUCGUGAUGGAUAUCACUGAACUCUAACAACUCCCCCCCACGUGGGCAUCUGGCUACCCUCUCGGCAAGCUCCUCAUAUGCUCAUAUAGAUACCUCUUCCAUAUUACUUCCCUACACAAAUCCGCUGAAAAUUUCCUGCAGGACACUCUCGCUCAGCACAUACUCAAAAGCACAUCACAUAUAUUAGCAACCCUAAGCUAAGGCAUCACAAAUCAGGCCACUCUAGUCCUAAAAUAUGAAUUUCCUAGCCUGCCUCUAGCAUGCACACUAUCUCAUAAAAUAUAUCAUAAAUAUCUCAUAACACAAAAUAAGGGUGUUUUGAAAAAUCACCGUUCGGGCUCUGACUGAUUGUACACACUGCUCUUUUUGCUUUGUCCUUGAAACUCUUAUUCUCUUUAUAAAAACACAUUUCUUUUUGAAAAUUUUUCUUAAAUCCUCAGUUUGAGUCCAGAUUUACCCGAAGGUGCAUCCGAAUCCCUCAAACCAAGGCUCUGAUACCAACUUCUAACACUGUAAAUUUCAAAACAAAUUUUCAUUUAAAAAUAAUCGUUAAUUCUUAAAAACACUUUUCUUAAAAUUCCAGUCAUAAUCGAAUUACAAAAACAUAACUCCAUUUUCACUUGCUUAAUAAACCAGGAUCCUCAAAACAUGACUCUUUCUCUGGUGUGUACAAUCGAGCCGGUGCCGUCCCGUGAUCCUGAGAGAAACCUGAAACACAUAACACAAAACACUAUAAGCACGAAGCUUAGUGAGUCCCCCAAAAUACCACACAUAACACAUAUUAGCCACUCGAGGCUAUAACUCUGUGGGUCCGUGGACCCUACUCUAUGAACCCUCUGGUUCUAACUCUGUGAACCUUCCGGUUCUAACUCUGGGAACCUUUCCGGUUCUAACUCUAUAAACAUGCACAUCAUAGAUCACAUAGAAACAAUGCAGUAUAACACAUAACAUACAUAGCAUACCAAUACUCUGUCACAUAACUCUGGUUACCUACUCAAGGUAAAGUAUAGUGAGAAGACUCACCUGGCAAGCAGAAAGCAGAUAUCCCCGCACUUGAAUCUCGAACUCGCCACCGCCUAACACAUAAGGCAAAUACUCUCAUGAAUAUAACUCUUGAGACUAGAAUCAACCCUCUCUUGGCACCCUCUAAAGAAUAAAAGACCAUUUUACCCAUCUCUUGGCCCAAAGGCCACAUCGCUGACCAAACCCUAAAAGUCAACAAAAGUCAAAGAUCAACUUUGACCGGACUCGGCUAGUGCACUAGGGCGACUCGGCGAGUCUAUACGUGUCCACUGACUCCCUUGGAUCCUCUCUUGACACGUCGAGUAUUUCUCUGACUCGACGAGUUUCACCUGGCAUAAAUCGCGGGGCCACCACGACUCAACUCGCCGAGUCUCAAGAACAACUCGGCGAGUUCCGGCUUGACUCAGUCCCCCCUGACUCUCCCUGACUCACUGAGUCGACCCCUCAACUCGACAAGACCACUCGCUGAGUGGUUACGGGCAAACUUCAUGCUACAAGCCAAGUUUGUUCUUCAGACUCGGCGAGUCCAUGCCAUGCAUAAGUCAAACUCACUUCUGAGGUCAGAUCUGUUCCAUACAAUCAUAGAUCUGGCCUCCCCAGGCAUGAUAAUCACGUAAAGUCCAAACCUUGGUGCUCAAACAACAACUAUUUGCUCCUAGAUGAUGUUUUAUCCCCAUAUCUCAUAACUCUAGGUCAAAACUCCCAUGAAUCCUCAUAAAGCUUAAGGAAUAAAGCUUCUCUGGACCUCUAUGUAUCUCAUCCCAAGCCUCAUCACAAAUAGGGACGAAAUGGACAUCAAAUCUAACCAACAAAUGGGUCAAGAAACCCUAACCCCCAUGUUUAUCAUGACAACAGAAAAGGAAGCCAAAAUAUACCUCCAAGAUGAUGCUCUGAGCUCCAAAAUCGAAGGAUGUCCACCUCCCUUGCCUCCUCUUAGCUAGAAUCUCCUUUGCCUUGCCAAACAAAGCUUCAAAGGUCAACAAUGGCCUCUUCUCUCUCCAAAAACGCUCAAAAUCUCUUUAGGGUUUCUCUCUGGGGUUGGUGGCCGCAAUUGACGGCCAUAAGCCCCUUUAAAUAGGUCUCAAACCCUGGAAAUUAGGGUUUCAUUAAACAGCGUGGACUCGCCGAGUCCACUUUUGGACUCGCCGAGUCUAGACGUGAACCCGCACACAAAACCGUGAUCCUACUCGGCGAGUUUGGACUCCAACUCACUGAGUCUUCUCACACUCACCCAACAAUAAAAGAAUAAAAUAAUACUUGGGAAUCCGGUGUGUUACAACUACGCGUAGCAGGGAAGUCACAACCACUAGAGCUUUGUUGGGAGUUGAUUCCCCUAGAAUGAUUUGCAUUUUAUCUAAUAUCUCACUGGUUUAAUUCUAGUAUGGUGAUGACAAGACGAUUUGAGGCAGGAUCUGGAUCGGGAUUGGGUGCUGGUGGCCAGUAUAGGCCAUCUUUGACUGAGGAGCGGGUAAGGAAGAUCAUGCAAGAGGAAGUUGUUUCCUUCUUUCGUGCAUAAUUACCAGAGAUGUUAGGGUCUAUUAGACUGCCAUGGUGGAGUACUUUGAUGAGAAUUAUGUUGCAUUGUCUGAGGUUGUUGCUACUGCAGUCACCGCAGCUAUUGCUACUUCCGAGAUUUGUGAUGGGAGAGUCUUCCAGUAUCAGGACUUCGACAAUAUGAAGCCCCUGGCAUUUGUUGGAGUUCAGGAUCCGAUCAUAUCCAUGAGGUGGAUGUCUGACAUCGAGGGAUGCUUCUUCACUUACUCUUUCCCAGUUGACCAAAAGGUCUGGUGCGCUCUGAACCUUCUUAGGUCCGGAGUGAAGGAUUGGUGGAGACUUGUUACCAGCUCGUAUUCUCCAGAGUAGAGGACUGAAUUGACUUGGGAGAAGUUCUUGGAGAUGCUCUGUUCUAGAUAUGUUCUACUGGUGGAGCGUGAGAGGUUCACCCAGGAGUACUUGGGUUUGAGACAGGGUACUGAGUCGGUAAUAGAGAUCACCAAGAUGUUCAUGGAGAGGGCCAUGUUUUGUCCUGAGUUUGUUGCUUCUGAGAAAGAUUAGAUGACCCAUUCCUUAAGCAUGCUCAAGAGGGACAUCAAAUAGUUUGUAUCCACUCAGCGUUAUGGUUCAUUAUUGGAGUUACAGGAGGCCGCCAUGCGACGUGGGAUUGAGAUGGAGCUCCAGUCCAGGGAGCAGAGACUGGACCCGAUGCAGUCGCAGCAUGUUCCAACGCGGUUAAGGGUCGCUGAUACUAGAUAUGGGAUUUAGAAGGGCCACACUUGUGGAAAGUACGACAAGGUUCAUGAUGGAGCUUGUAUAUCUUAUACGGGAUGCCAAAAAUGUGGUAAGCAACACCACAUUGCGAGGGACUACCAGCAGUAGGCUCCAGUAUCCGACAUCAAGAUUUGUUAUCAUUGUGAUCAUGUGGGCCAUAUGAAUGCCCAGUCCCCCUUGCUUGCUGCUAAGGCGACACAGGCUUCAACGCCGGCUACUAUGAGGAUCGUGGAUGGGAGUCAAGGUAGGAUGGAGCCCCUGAGGGCUUGGGGUCGUGCUUUUUAGCUCACGGUAUACAAGGCCAGGUUGGCACCAGACGCCGUGACCGGUAUGUUUGUAUUUAUUAUUUUGUCGAUUAUGUUUUGUGUUAUGCUCAUGUUAUGCUCUUAAUAGGUACGAUAUUAGUGAACUCUUUUCCUGCCCUUGUACUAUUUGACUCGGGUGCGAGUUAGUCCUUUGUAUCUCGAUCAUUCAGUAGGGAGUUUGAUAUCCUUAUUGGGGAGUUAGAUUGUCAGGGUUGUAUAUUGAAGAUCUUCAGAGUGUCUUAUCUAAUUGAUAUGAUCCCUAUCCCCAUGGGGAUGUAUGCAUGAUAGUGGGUAUGGACUGGUUGAACAGGUUUGGUGCAAUGAUUGAUUGUGAGGGCCACCGAGUGGUAGUUUGAACCCCAUGUAGGGGAGAACUGGUUAUCUAUGGAGAAGGAACCAGGGUUGGUUCAGGGUUUUGUUCGGCAACCAUAGCUCGAUUGUAUAUUCAGCACAGGUAUGCAGGUAAUUUGGCUUAUGUGGUUGAUAAUCAGGUUGGGGAGCAGACUUCAGUCUUAGAGGUUCCAUUUGUCAGGGGGUUUGUUGAUGUUUUCCUAGAGGAGUUUCCCAGUGCAGCCUUGAUUCCCAAGGUGCCAUACCACUUGGCACUGCCUGAGAUGCAUGAGUUGUCAUCUCAGCAUUAGGAGCUGCUAGGCAAGCAGUUCAUAAGUCCAAUCAAUUCUCCGUAGGGAGCGCCGAUACCAUUCAUCAAGAAGAGGGAUGGUUUACACCGGAUGUACAUUGAUUACUAGGAGUUGAAUAAGUUAACGAUGAAGAACCGUUAUCCACUUCCGCGGAUUGAUGACCUCUUUGAUCAGUUGCAGGGUGCAUUUGUUGGAUUAGGUGUCUAAGCCCAUAACUAUAAUUGAUAUGUACUUGACCAGAGAGUAGCAUGGUCCAUUUGGGUUGCCUUCACCAGGACAAUUUGAUGGAUUUUUGAGAAGAGCUUAUUAUGAUGUGUUAAUAUAUUAUAAGUUAUAAUAUAUUAAUAAUCAUAUAAUUUUAUUAGUAUUGAUCAAUAAUUAAUUUGGAAUUAAUUUUGUGAUCAAAAGAGACUAAUUAGAUAUAUGGGGAUUGAUUUGGUAAAUCAAUAAUUCUUAUAGUGUGGGCUGAUUGUUAUGGGCUAAACCAAUAUGGUGGUCCAUGGAUAGUCUAUGGAGGUUUAACCCAUGGAGCCUAAGGAAAUCAAAGGUCAUGGGGAUUAGGGUUUUGCAUGGAUGAAACCCUAGACCUUGUCACACUAUAAAAGGGACCCAUAGUCACCAAAAUCGGCACCUAUGCAUUCUAAGGAAGAGAUAGCCGAUUUUGUGUGACAAGAAGCUUCUCUCAAAAGUCAUCUUAUGUUCAUAGUGUUUAUGAACCAUUUGAGGUGCAAAACUUGGGGCGAUAAGUUCUUAAAGCCCAAAGUCUUUCAAGCAACACCAAAUACAUCAAGACUUCAAGCCACAUAAAAGGUAUGUUACUCUAUCUAGUAUGUUGUAUUUUUUAUGACAAAUUGCAUGCUAGUUAUAGGUUUAAUGCCUUGGAAACCAUUUGCAUGUAUAAUUAGUGAAAACAUAGAUCCAAGGUAUUUAAGGUUGUAUGUGCACCAUAGGAUGUUGUAGUAUACCAAAACCCAUCAAUGGUAUUAGAGCCAAGGCUUGUUUUCAAUUAUACUUGAUGCAAAAGGCUGCAAAACGAAGUUUUUGUGCUGUUUGAACAGGGGACACGACAAGUCCAUUAAAGGGCUCGACGGGUCCAUGUACAAACUCAUCCAACUCGUCGAGUUUGUUCCUGCACUCGGCGAGUUGGACCCCCUGACAACAUAUUUUCGAGUUUUUUGGCUGGAAUUGGACUAGGAACAUUACCCUAAGCUGUUUUUGAACUUAUAAACUUGUUUUUGAUGUGGUAAUGUUCAUGCUAAUCCAAUUUCUAAUAUAAUUGUCAUAAUUUCAAUAUUUUUAUUAGUUUAUGUGUUCAUGCUAAUUUCUUGAAGAUUGUUGAUUUGAAUUAUCUUGUUCUUAUGAGUUAGUUUAGAUUAAUAGAAAAGUUAUGUGAUAAUUUGUUUUUGAUCCAAAUUAAUCUAAAAGUUGUUCAUCAAUUGUGUUUUUGUAACUUGUCCUCAAGUUAUAUGAAAAGUCACAUUUAUGACUUUUAAAACUCAUAAAAUUUCCAUAAGUUAUAAAAAAUGAAGAGUCUCAUUUUUAAAUGUUAUAAAGUCUUCCAUAACUUGUCCUCAAGUUAUGGAACUUGAAGAGUUUUUCCUUUAAAACUACUUUAAACUUAUAAGUUAUGGAAUUGAAAAGUUUUUUGAACUGUUCAAAACUUGCCCUCAAGUUUUGGAAUUUGUAAUGUUUCCUGCAUGAAUACUUUAAUUCCAAGUUAAACCCUUAGAAUUUUAAAAGUUAAAACUCAACCCUUAUACUAUUAUAAUAUUAUAGGUUUAAUAUUUAUAUAUAUAUAUAUAUAUAUAUANAUAAUGUUACCGCCUAUAAAAUGGCAGUUUAAUGGGUGUCUAAUCUCACCCACCGCUUCCUUGAUUGGUGGAGGGUCGUUAGCCGAACGGGUUUGACAUGACUCUAAUUCUCCCUUCAUUAAAAGUAUAAUGAUAAAUACUAAGUAACUAAACACUUUUAAAUUCCCAAUCUUAGUUACUUAGAAAAAUGUGAAUUUGGUGCUAACCCAUGAAAUUGCACUUUGUACCUUACCAAGUCGUUGGUGGAGCGUGUGUGGGUAACCGGCACACUAACAUGGACUAGUAAGAGUGGAAAAGGGUAACUUAAUGCUUAUCAUAGAUAGGUGGAGCGCGUAUGGGUAACCGACACAUCGAUUAGGUGAUAAAGUUAAGGGUACUGAGUUAAUUUGCAUGGUGGAAAUUGGUGAAUCGUCAUUCGCCUACCUUCAAAGAUUUUAUAGCUUGGAUUACGACAUCCCUCUUCCAAGUUAUAAAAUAUUGUGUUGGGUCCUAGCAUUAAUAUUCCAUAUUGGGUGUUAUAUUAAGGACUUAAAUCAACUAACAUGAAUAUCUCUCAUAUUAGAUGUCUGGUUCAGAAAACUAUGAUCAUCCCAAAUCCCUUGAAACAAGCUUUCCUAAUGAAGAUGAUGUCCCAUGGUUGGAUCAUGGAAAUCAUACUUCAAUUCCUCCACCUCCUCCAAUAAUUUUGCUUAACCCACAAGUUUAAAGACUCGAAUAGUUCAAGGUCACUCAAGCCCUAUUAGCAAGCAAAGUCUAUGUGUGCUCACAUAUUGGAGAUGAAGUCACAUAUUGACAAGCUGAGAGAGUUGGGUGUCAAAGUCUUGAGGAAGUUGGUUGUUGACUAGGUUCUUCAAUCACUUCCUAAGUCACGUAGUGAGUUCCUUUAGGACUACUAUAUAACAGACUAUGACAUGACCCUUAAUGAUCUUACCUAUUUGCUUAUUGUUGCUGAAUGAGCAAUGAUUUAGGGCACUGGUAAAACAAAUUUGAUUGGAAGAUCUACUUCCCAAAACUUUCAUGGACAUUGACAAUGGUAAAAUUGGAAAUCCAGAAAAGCUUUCUCUUCCCAAUGGAAAGGGAUCGGCCAUAGUCAACUCGGUUGACCAAAUGGUAAAGAGAAAGGCUAAGUCUGAUAUAGUCUCGUGUACCAUUCCCAAAGCGUCCAUAUGUUUCUAUUGCCAAAGGAUGGGGCAUUGGUCGCGAAGCUGCCCUAUUUACCUGAAAUAUUAUGAGGAUGGUAAAGUCAAAAGUUUGACACUACUUCAGGUAAAGUCCACUAUCUGACUCUAUUAAGUUCCUAUUUGGAGAUUCUUAUACAUGAUGUGACUAGGUCACAUGUCGAUGUUUUAAGAAUCAAAGGAAAGAGGAAUCUUAAAGGAAGAAUAUGUUGAUUCUGAUCGCGAAGAUGGAUUUCGAUCGCAUGGUUCGGUGAUCAGAAUUUUGAGCUAUUGCUUAAGAGUUAUGAUAUUUUGCUUAGGAAUAGAUAACAACAAGUUUUCAUAUGCAUUUGCAUUGUAAGGAUAAGUUUUCCGCAAAUUUUUAAAAUAAAAUAUAUAUUUUUUUUUAUUUUAAAAUUCCUUACAAUGGCAUUUGGGAAAAAAAUGUUGUUUAUAAGAUUCCAUUGAUAGCAAUAUUGGAAAAUGGAUUUGAUUCUUUCGUUUGUAGUAGUGUUGUAAUUUACCAAAUAAUGAAAGAUUCUCAUCGCCCAAGUUUCAGUUGGAUAGAAACUUGGAAUCAUACAACCUGAAUUGUAUAAUGAAUGAGAAUUUUUCAUCUUUGGGAAACUAAGACUAAUUCCUUGUUCACAUGUAAAUGUGAGUCAAGUGAAGGACUAGGAGAUCGGGUACACUUGGUUGUGUGCUGUUUAGCUCCACCACAAAGAACAAUAAGGCUAGUCAUCAUGAUUUACUAAAGUUUAGUAAAUAUGGUUCUGCUUACAAGUUUAGGUGUAAUUCUGAAACAUUGGAAAAGUUUCAAUCUAUGGCAGGACGAAUGAAAAGAAUCAAAUUAGGCAGAACCAUAAAAGUUUCUCCAAUCUGAAAAGAUAGGAGAGUAUUUUAGUAUCGUGUUUUAUGAUUAUCUUAGUGAUUAUGAAACCAUAUCAUAAUUGAUCCUCUAAGAACAUCUUAGUGCAUUCGUAUGACUGAAAAGAGGAAUCGUGAAUUGUUGAAAUGGUUAAAUCAAAAGAUGAAUCAUAGUUCGUUCCAAAAUUGAGUCUUAUAGUAAUACUCCAAGAUUGUCACUUGAGUGGCAUAAUCUUAAGAAGGUCUAUAACACUUGUCAAAAUGUAGAGUAAAAUUUUUUCUUACUUUUGUACAUUUGAAAUUGGUAAGUUGUGAUGUUUUGGAUAAAACAAAGACCAACAGAGGCCAAUUGUUUUAAGUGUNAAGACCAACUUAGGCCAAUUGUGUGAAGUGUUUGUCUUGGUUAGAAUCCAUACUAUCUCUUGGAUGUUUGACAAGGGAGUCAUAUAGGUCAAGAGGACAAUGGGAGUCUUAAAGGUCUUGAAAGUUUCAAGAACUAAUCAAGGUUGAAACCCAUUGUUUAUCACUAGCGCACGACUUGAGGUUUGUAACCUAUCGUGUUGACAUAUUCUUGUUAUUGUGCCCAUUCCAGUUAAAAUUGACUAUGCGUGUGAGUUCUAUGAGUUCUCAGUUGUUUGCAUAACAACUUGGAAGAAAUGGUAGGCCCUUGUGCUGCCAAGUGGCAAGAAGUUAAAAUUGCACAAGUUCAGUGCAUAUGAGUUUAGAUUUGUCACUAACCUUAUCUUGUGAUUAUGGUUAUGACAAAUUCACAUGGAUAGGAACACAUACACCAUAAAAUCUAAGUGUCACAAGGUUUCUCUCCAAUUCAUGAAAAUGAUGGUGAGGAAACGCUUUCGCUAAAUAGAUUUUAAGUAGAUAGCAAUUGUGAUGUUUGCAUUCUCAAAGUCGGUAGUGGAGCAUGUGUGGUUAACCGAAACACUAACAUGGACUUGUGAGAAAUGGCAAAGGUCUAAAAAAUUGAGACUAUGAUUACGACAUCCCUUAAUAUAGUUCGACAAAUUGUUUAGACACACAUGUGAGCUAUCUAAGGAAAGGUGUAUGAUUUUGAUAAAGUUUUAUCAAAGCAUCUCGUAUCAGAAAUCUGAGCUUUGGUAAGAAAGUCAAUAAAGCAUUGAUUUCUAGAAGUCCAGCUGAUUUCUGAGUACAUGUCAAAGAUAGUGGGAGAAUAAGUGUUAUGAUAAUAAUUAUCAUGUUAGUGGGAGCGUAAUCAAUUAUGAUAAGUGUUGCAAGUUAGCAAUGUUAAUUAUAGAAAACAAAAGUUUCAAUUGGGAAAAUUGUUAUGCUAUAAUUAAGGGAGAUGAAAUUAUACUUUAUUUCAAUUCUAAAAGCUUAGAUUGAGAUUUUAAUCAUCUUUAGUCAAGGAUAUAUAUAUAUAUANNNNNNNNNNNNNNNNNNNNNNNNNNNNNNNNNNNNNNNNNNNNNNNNNNNNNNNNNNNNNNNNNNNNNNNNNNNNNNNNNNNNAUAUAUAUAUAUAUAUAUAUAUAUAUAUAUAUAUAUAUAUGUGUGUGUGUGUGUGUGUGUGAAUUUUAUGUUGGAAUGGCUCAACAUAAGGAAAUUCUAUAUAUAUUGCAUUCUCAAAAUUUGAUUGUGAUUACGACAUCCCUCUUCAUAGUCAAAUUAUGAAAACAUGGCAAAUAAAAAAAUAUUGUAGCAAAAGACUGGUCUAGGAUCAUGUCUUUAUGUGAGACAUCAUGAAUCGUGUCCCAUAUGCUUCGGGUAUAUGAUCGAUUACAUGUGCUAUUAUAUUUGUCCUUUCUAAAUUUUCCAAAUGCCUAGGGCAUUAAGAUGUGAAAAGGUCUAGAAUUGGAUAUGACUAAAAGGAUUAAGCAAUUGUCGAGGACAAUCUGAGGUUUUCCAAAGAUUGGUUGCCCAUGGACAGUUGGAAGUAUGGUGUAAAUUUUUGAAAGGACCAUACUGACAUAUUCUCAAAAGAGGCAACUCUUGUUUAGAUGUGAUAGUGAAAAUGGGAAUGUGGAAAUGUUUCCGUAGGAGGAAGAUAUUCAUUAAAUCUAUGUAUUUUUAGAAAACUUAAUGCAAGAAGGAUGUUCAAAGGAAUGUACUUUGAAUUUGAGACUUCGUUUUCAUAGAAUUGAUCUCUAUUGGAAUACUUUGUAAUGUCAGUUGACAAGUCUUUGUGACUUUGUGCAUAGUUAUUACAAGUGGAUCAAUGCAUAUAAGUUUAGAAUCUAAUAGAUUUUGGUAAAUGGUAGGAAUUUGGAAUUCUUACAUUUACAAUAAGGAUUUGGAUUGUGGAAUGAGCAUCAUUGAAAUUAUGUUCAAUUGGUCUAUUUCACAAAGUAAGGAUCAUAGACAAGCAUAGUGUGCAUACUUGGAGUAUGACAUAGCUAUUGUUUGGACACACAUAGUGUGCAUGUUUGGAGCAUGGUAUGACUAUUGUUUUAAUUCAAGUAUUAGGUUGAUAAAUCGAAACAUUAUACAAUGAAUAAUGUGUAAUCAAUAUGGUGAUAAAUAAAAUGUGUUUUAUUUAUAUUCAUAAGUUCUAAGACCAUAUUGGAUUCGAUUAUUUUUGUGUUUCACUUUGCAUGUUUUGACUUCCAGAACAACUAGGUCAUUCUUCCCGAAUGACUAAGUUAUUCAAACCGUCCACAUUCGAUAAUACGUUGGACGUAUGUAUUAAGUUAAGACUGUCAUGAAUUGGGUUUGUAGAUGUCUAAAGUGUUUAGACAUAGCAAAAGUUGCUGCAACAUUUAUGAGUGCUCCUGGAAUGAGAUUCGAGUAUUAGAUUAAACCCAUGCUCAUUUGAUUCACUUCAUGGAUUUUUACACGAGUGAUCAUGAGACGAUAAUAUCUUAUAUUCUUCAAACCUAGAGAUAUGAGUUGUUGACUAUGAGUUGGUUAUACAUUGAUUGUAUGAAAACGCAUUGGUAACUUGAUGUUAUAAAACGUGCCUUUGUGUAUGAUUCAACAAGUAGUAUAACAAGCAUAUGAGUCGAAGUUUAUCCAUUCCUUUUACCCUUGGAGGGAUAAAAGUGAUAUAUGUGGGCCCCUCGAUGAUUUAGUGAUGACAAACGUAAGUGCUCGUCCGGGCCUGGACUGAUUUGAUUUGUUCAAUUAGUCAAUCGUCAUAAAUCGGAAAUUAGGAAACAACAAAUAGACAGAGAGAAUGAUUAUAAUCCAUGUAUCAGUCCAUAUGAUAUCUAUAUUGGAGGAAUAUAUGAUCCCUUAUCUAAUGGACGCGUCAUUGAUUUCUUUAGAGUUCGACAACAGCUUUUAGGAGCUACGAUUGCGAGUCGGGUUGUACUUGCAAUAAUAGUUAUUAGACUUAUCCAAGUGGGAGACUGUUGGAUUAGGUGUCUAAGCCCAUAAUUAUAAUUGUUAUGUACUUGACCUGAGAGUAGCAUGGUUCAUUUGGGUUGCCUUCACCAGGACAAUUUGAUAGAUUUUUGAGAAGAGCUUAUUAUGAUGUGUUAAUAUAUUAUAUGUUAUAAUAUAUUAAUAAUCAUAUAAUUUAAUUAGUAUUGAUCCAGAAUUAAUUUGGAAUUAAUUUUGUGAUCAAAAGAGACUAAUUAGAUAUAUGGGGAUUGAUUUGGUAAAUCAAUAAUUCUUAUAGUGUGGGCCAAUUGUUAUGGGCUAAACCAAUAUGGUGCUCCAUGGAUAGUCCAUGGAGGUUUAACCCAUGGAGCCUAAGGAAAUGAAAGGUCAUGGGCAUUAGGGUUUUGCAUGGAUGAAACCCCAGACCUUGUCACACUAUAAAAGGGACCCAUAGUCACCAAAAUUGGCACCUAUGCAUUCUAAGGAUGAGAUAGUCGAUUUUAUGUGACAAGAAGCUUCUGUCAAAAGUGAUAUUUUGUUCAUGGUGUUUGUGAACCAUUUGAGGUGAAACACUUGGGCCACUAAGUGCUUAAAGCCCAAAGUCUUUCAAGCAACACCAAAUACAUCAAGACUUCAAGCCACAAAAAAAUGUAUGUUACUCUAUCUAGUAUCUUGUAUUGUUUAUGACAAAUUGCAUGCUAGUUAUAGGUUUAAUGCCAUGGAAAACAUUUGCAUGUAUAAUUAGUGAAAACAUAGAUCCAAGGUAUUUAGGUUUGUAUGUGCACCAUAGGAUGUUGUAGUAUACCAAAACCCAUCAGUAUCUUGGUUCUCCAAGAUAGAUAUGAGGUCUGGGUAUCAUCAGGUGAGAGUGAGAGAGGAGGACGUGGAAAAGACCGCAUUUCGGACUCGUUAUGGGCAUUACGAGUUCGUAGUGAUCCCAUUUGGGUUCACCAAUGUGCCUGCUGUGUCUAUGAAUUUGAUGAUUCGGGUACGCAGGCUGAUUCUCGACUUAUCUGUCAUUGUGUUUAUUGAUGAUAUCUUGGUGUAUUCCAACACCAAAGAGAAGCAUGAGGAGCACCUUCUAGAGCUUCUGGGGGUUCUGAGGUGAGAAUGGAUUUAUGCCAAAAUCUCAAAGUGCGAGUUUUGGUUACGAGAAGUCCAGUUCCUGCGGACCUCAUUAAACAUGAUGGGAUUUUGGUCGAUCUGGCCAAGAUCGAGGCUAUGAUGCAGUGGGACGUUAUGAAAUCUCCCUCAGAUAUCAGGAGUUUCUUGGGUUUAGAAGGGUACUAUCGAAGAUUUAUUCAGGACUUCUCCAAGAUUGUUGUUGAGAAAAAAACUUGAGACACACUUGAACAAACGUUAGAACAAGUAUAGUUGCGGAAUUAGUUAAUCUCAAAGUAUCUAAAAGCUCAACAAUAAUAAGAUAAUAUAUUAGAUAGUUAGAUAGUUAGUUUCGGAAAUGUAAAGAAACAUAAAUGAUAGCAGGUGAUAUAUCAAGUAAACACAUAAGUUGAUUCAUAACAUGGAAUGCAUUCAAACCAAGUUAGUAAGUAAGAUCAGUCUUAGUGAUAGAGUCACGAGUGACUUGCUCCGAAGAGAAGUAUUAAUCAGUUGUGUUCGAGAGGAUUUUUAGAGAGUAAGAAAGAUAUGAGAUGCGUAAGGAUAACUUGAAGAUAAUUUAGAUUUAGAGAUGAGUGAAGUAAGAUCUGUAUAGAUUGAUAAAGAGUGAGCUCUAUUUAUAGAGACUCAAGAAAUACAAGUGAUUCAUUCCCUAAGAGUAGCCAUGCAAGGCAUACUGGACAAUAGAGAGUAUUACAGAGAUAGAUAAAAAUAGACUAAGUACAGAAAGAAGAUUGCGGUAUCUUAGACGACUUCGGAUGUGGCUGCUAAGGAAGCUUGACUGCGGAUGCUAGUAGACUGCGGUAGGCAAAAUUAAGAGGGUCACUUCAUGUAUCAACAAUUUCCCCUAAGUGACCUCUAAAUUUCUUCACUUAUCAAGUUUAAGGAACUUGAUCAGGGUCUACCAAAAAUUCCUGACAUUUUCCAACCAAGUGAUCCUCCUUAAAAUCUUGAACUUGACUUCGACAAUUGUAUGUUUCGAUUUUUCCAUUGCGGUUCGACAAAUUUCAAGUUGUUUCUUCGUGAGGCGGUUCAUGGAGGCGAUGGAAAUGAAGUACUUAACUUGAUCAGUUUUCCUUUUGAAGAUGACUCCAAGUUCAGGAAAGUUUGUUGCACCAAGGGAUCUUUCUUCAUAACCUUCGGUUGGCAUCGGUACGGGAUCAAGAGGAGGUAGAUCAAACUUUCUGGCCAUGAUUGGGUGUAUAUCCGCAUCGAUCUUUGCGAAGUCACAAACAAUUUCUUUAAGAUAAGUGCAUGCCCUUUCAUGUGCUAUCUUCAUCUUUGUAUGCUUUUCACACUUGUUCUAGAACACCUUUUCUAUAAGAAAAACUACUUAUGGGUUCAUGCAGGGGAAGUCAGCUUGGGUGCGGACAUAGUCCUGAUUCCUUCUAGUGAGUGUGUAUUGCACAAAGUCAGCCUUCAUAAAUUUGUGAGGUUUGUAGUUCUUGACUGCUGAUGGUCUGUCGUUGGACCAGAUCUUCUCAAUGGGAGAGGCAUGCUUGGCAUAGAAUCGGUUAAGUCUCUCGAACUCCAUUGGCAGUCUCUUGUGAUCAGGAAGGUUGCGGUCAAACUGCUCAAAUACUGUGAAGUAUUUAGCAUUUGGGGAGAUGGGAACAUCCCAGUAGCCAUCCGAAGGUGGUUCAACAUACGUUAGGUAUGUUUUAUAGUCAUCAUAUAGAAGUCUGCAGUGGGGAUUAAUCCAAGAAUUUAUCAAGGAUUCAUCCACCACAGUGUCAAAACCGCACUCUCUCCAUAUGAGCUCUACAAGUUUAGCUGAUUUCCAGUCAACUUUCUUCUGUUUAGUUACAGGGGAGUCAUUUGAGCUUGGAGAGGACAUGUGAUCCGCCGGAUUCUUGAAGUGUGGGGGAGUUUCAGGUAUUUCAGGGGAGGGAAUGAUUUUAUGUUGCGGUGGUGGAUAUUGAUGUGGAGGAGAUUGAUGAUACGGUGAGGGUUGCGGUGAAGGGAUUUUCUGAGAAGCACUGUUUGAAUGAUGAUCUUCUUCAUAGUCUUCUUCUCGAUGGUCUUCUUCACUUCCCCCUCUUGAGGAGUUUAGACUCGGAGACUCCUCAAGCCAUUGUUUGAGGCCAUCGACUUUAGCACACACCUCCUGGAAAUGGGCUUUGAGAACCUCAACCAGUUGCUAAUUGUCAGGAAUGGUGGUGCUGAAGAGCAGUCGAUGAAUCUCCUUUGUUAGUUGGAGAAUUUCGGGGCCAUGCAAGUUUGAUGAUAAUGACCGUUGGAUUUUGUUGAUGGUUGCAUGGAGGACUGAGAUAGUGGACUCAUAUGUAGUGUGAGUCUCAACUACCAGUUUCUGAGACAGAGUAGAUUGAUCCGCAAUGGCUGCCUGCAGGUUGUCUUUUAUUGCGGAUACCUCAGAUAUGAGGCGCUCCGCAGCAGCCAUAAAUUCCUUGUGAUCUGCUUGAUGGUUGUUAUCAAGGGAGCUAAUUCCCAUUUGAACCUUGAGAGAAAUUCUCUCAGCAGCCAGUCGUUCCCUAGUUUCAAUCAUUCAAUCCUUUCGAUCAAGGACUGCGGCACCGGAUUGUGUUCAGACUGUGGUUGUGUAGACUUGACUGCGGCCAGAAUUUGGUCAACCUUGGAUUGAAGAUUGAGAAAUUCUUUUCUUGAGACGACCAUCUUUUUCUUCUUUUUCUUCUCCUUUUUCUUAGAGGUUGAGUGCUGAGAGCCACUCGAUUCCUCUUCUUCAACGUACAUCAUAAGGUCAUCAUCCGAAGGAUUGGGCUGAUUGACCUCUUGAAGAUCAACAUCAUCAAAACCGAAGGUGGGAGCGGAGCUAUUCGGUGCUUGCAUCUUGGGAGUCUUUGGCAGUUGGAGAUGGAGGAGGCUUUGAAGGAGUCUGAUCAGCAGUCGCCUCUUGAGCCUUAUGGAUGGGAUCAGCCAUGUUAUCCAUCAGGGCAUGGACCUUGCAGAAAGUAGCUAUGGUAUUGGCAUUGUUGAUUGCGUCUGCCCAAUACCUAGCCACAGAUUAAAUUUCUUGUUGUUUCUGCUGAAGCUGCUUUGUUUGUCUUGCCUUUCUUGCUUGGAAUGCCCUAUGGAAAGCGGCAUUUUUUUGGCUUCGGAUUCAUUGGAUGGCUGAUACCUACUCCAUGAUUCAUUUAGAUCUAUAUCGUCAAUUCCAUAGUAUCGCACCGAGGUGUCCCUCAGGUUCACGGAUCCUUGCACAUUUGUGCUCACCGUGCCUAAACCACUUGUUACUGAUGUGAGCAGAGUAGGAUUUCCUGAGCUUCCUUGGUUUCCUUGACCUAAAGUCAAGUCUCGCCUCGGUUCAGUUCUGGCAAAGCCUGAAGAAUCGCCUUACGGUUGGGUUGGUGUUUGAAGUGUUUGGCUGACAGACAAAAGAAUGGAGUGCAACUCCUCAGGGGGAAAGAAAAGAAGACGGGAAGCCCUGGAGACCUUAGGGCGGGAGCCUGAUCCAUCCUAUUGGGAUUGACCUAGGGGGAGUCUCCACAUUACGGUGAAUCAGACUCACUGCUUGCGCCUGAGUGGUAUAGGAUGGUUGUUUCGAAUGGAUGUGCGGCCAUCCCAAGGACUACCAGAGCCUGUUGAGAGGCUGAGGUAUCAGUUCGGUCACACAUAUGGCUAGUGGGAUCGGUUUUGCGUUUCUUGAGGAUUGCAAUAGGUUGAUCAUCCUCAUCAGAGUCACUACCGGAGGGACGUUUGCUUGGUUCGACUAUAGUUACCACGGGUGGAGUGGUUUUUCUUUUCUUGGAGGGAUUGGUUUGCUUGGAAGCAUCCUUUUUGGGAGUUACUGGUUUCUUGGUGUUACGGGGACCUUGACGAGCAGAGACUAGUUGCUUGCGUCUUUGGGAUGAUGAAAUGUUUGAAAGAGUUAUGGAAGAUGGGACUGCGAUACUAACUGGGUCAAUGUUUGCAGAUGGGGUUAGAAGAGGCAGGGUAGAAAGGUAUGGGGCAAUACCUUCCGUAGCCUCAAUGUGAUCUGAGACAUCAAUAGUCUCAAGACCGAGGAUAAAAAGAAUGUGAGUUGGUAGUCUUCUAAUUGGUCCAAAAAUAAUCUGAUCAGAUGAGGGAUUAUACCUUUUAAGAUCCUUGGUGAUAAAGAAGUUGAUGUCGUUGCCCAUGCUGAUUCCUGCAUCCGCAUGGAGGUCUGAGAUGCAGAGAGACCAAAACCUUGCAAAGGUGAGUUCGGUAGGGUUCUCUCUUGGGCUUUCUUUUGGAAUGUACUGCAGAAAAUCACCCCAUAGGAACUGACCGUAGUUGACGUCAUGACCUGUGAAGAUGCUCCAUACGAGUUCUAAGAGCUUAAGUCCCAUGUUGUCUGUGUCUCCGGUUCUGCCGGAUAGACUACGGAUAUUGAAAUGACAAACGGAUUGCCGACCACAGGUAAUUGGUUUUUCUUGAAUUCCCCAAUUCCUUUGAUUUUCUUCCAGUAUCCCAUUUGGUAGAACACAGAAAGUAUUUCCACCAUUGAUGGUGUAAAAAUCUUGAUGGAUGGUUGAACAAGGAGGUUAAUGGCAGUGAGAAAUUUCUCCUUGGUGAAAAUGACCAAAGAAUCAUUGACUAGGUUAAGAUGCACUUCUUGAAGAUUCUCGAGUGGUCGAUAGGCUGAAAAAGCACACUUGAAGAGGGUUAAGAGAGGAACAACAUCUGUGAACGAAUCGAAGGGUCCAAACAAUGGGUGAUUGGACAGGAACUUGAUCAUCAGUUUUGUCAGGGCAUUGUAGAAGGAAUGUUCUUCGGACACUACUCUGAAAUUGCUUGAUGCAAUCAUCGGUGUGGGAUGUCUUGAGGCAGAGUCUGAACCAUUGGGGUUCACUGAUCCAGAUGCCUUGGAAGGUUUCUUGGAUACACCGGAUUUCACCAUUGUUGAGUUUUUGAAGAAGCUUUGAAGGAGAGAAAACAGAGUGCAAGAGAAAGGUUUAUGGUUUAGAAAGCUUAAACUUUUCUUUGGGAAGAAGAAAGGGGUUUUAUAGUGGCUUAAGGGAGCGGGAAACGUUUUUGCCCUAAGUGAAUUUGGGUAAAACGUUUGGGUGUUUAUUUUGAAUUAAAGGCAUUAAUCUCGGCCACAUAUUAAGAAAAAAAGGAUUAAAUCUGAAUUUUGGGAUUUACCAAAAAAGGUUUGCAUUUAAUGAAAUGUCAGAUUUAUGACCACGUCUGAAAAAUAUGUGGUGAGGGUGAGAUCAAUCCGUUGUGUAAAGGGAAGUUGUAACGGAUUUGAUGUUUUAGGGUAAUAGGAAGAGACAGAUUAAAAGGAUUUGAUUUUCGAAAAUCUUUCUUUUUGUCAUCAUACCUAAAAUAGGUCUGACACGAGGUUUAUUCAAAAGAAUGAGACAUAUGCACAAAGAAUGUUUUUUUUUUUUUAAAUAUUUUCUCUAUUUAAUGAAGGAUCAUUAAAUAGCACACCAUGUUUUUUUAUGGUUUUCAAAAGAAUGUAAUAGUCUAAAAAUCAAUUAAAGUGACUGCGGAUUGAAACUUCAUUGCGGAUGGAUCAAAUGCUGUCGGAUGGAUGACUGCGGUAGAUGAACUGAGAUGAACACUUGAACAAAGAUUAGAGUAACAAACAAUAAGGACCAUUGAAGUAUAAUUAUGAUAUAUGGUUACGGUACAUGGUAUAUAUCAAAACCAUCUAACAUAAAUAACUUCAACUAGGAACGCAAUGGAGACCAUGGAUGGUCUACGGUACCUAUCAAUUCAAAAAGAAUUGUGGGUCCGGAUUCAUCAUUCCUAACAUUUGUAAGAAAGUGUUGAGUUUUGUAGAGUCAAGUGCCUUUGUGAAUACAUCAGAAAUCUCUUCAUGAGUAUGGACAAAAAUUAGUUCAAUGUUACCUUUCAGGAUGUGGUCUUUGAUGAAGUGAUACUGUAGUUCAACAUGCUUGGUUUUGGAGUGAUGAAUAGGAUUGUGAGAAAUCGCUAUGGCACUUUCAGAGUCACAAUAGAUUGGUAUCCAUAGCAUUCUGUAUCCGUAGUCUAGUAGUUGUGUUUUCAUCCAUAAGACUUGAGAACAACAGCUGGCUGCGGCCCCAUAUUCAUCUUCUGCGGUAGACAAUGAUACACAAUUUUGUUUCCUUGAGGACCAGCUGACUAGUCUUCCACCCAGAAAUUGACAUCCACCUGAGGUGCUUUUGCAAUCAAGUUUGCAUCCGGCAUGAUCUGCAUCUGUAAAUGCUUGAAGACUGAAAUCAUUUCCUGCGAGGUACCAUAAUCCAUGAGUUUUGCUUCCUUUUAAGUACCGUAGACUUUGUUUGGCUGCGUUCAUAUGAGACACUUUUGGGUCAGCCUGGUACCUUGCGCAUAUACCCGUUGCAAAGACUAUAUUCGGUCGGCUUGAAGUGAGGUACAUUAGAGAACCAAUAAUACCUCUAUAAGACUUGUAAUCAACAAAUUCACCUGAGGGGUCAGCAGAUAUCUUAUAACCGAAGACCAUGGAGACCUUAGCCGAAGAACAAUUGUCCAUGGAACAUUUCUUCAACAGUUCUGAGGUGUAUUUUUCUUGAUGAAUGAAUAUCCCUUGAGGGACUUGUUUCACUUGAUGUCCUAGAAAGAAGUUAAUCUCUCUAUUCAUGCUUAUUUGGAACUUGUUGGUCAUGAGCUUAGCAAAUUCAUCCACCAUCUUUUGAUAAGUUGAGCCAAAAAUGAUAUCAUCCACAUAUAUUUGUAUAAGCAUUAGAUGAUCACCUUUUGCUUUUCGAAAUAAAGUGGGAUCACUCACUCCUCGUUUGUAACCGGAAGAGGCAAGAAAUUCAGAUAGAGUCUCAUACCAUGCUCUAGGGGCUUGUUUUAGACCGUAGACUACUUUUUCAAGUUUGUAGCAGUGGUCUGGGAAUUCAAUGCUUUCAAAACCGGGAGGUUGUUGAAGAUAAACCUCUUCUUUUAAUUCCCCAUUGAGAAAAAGCGCUUUUCACAUCCAUUUGACGAACUCUGAUGUUUUUGUGCGUUGCGUAUGCUAAGAAGAUCCGGACGGCUUCCAUUCGUGCUACCGGAGCAUACGUUUCAUCAUACUCAAUGCCUUCAAGUUGACUAUAUCCCUUGGCAACUAGUAUUGCCUUGUUUCUGACGACCGCACCAGACUCAUCUAACUUAUUCUUGUACACCCAUCUUGUGCCAACAAUGGUGUGGCCUUGCGGUUUAGGAACGAGUUGCCAUACCUUGUUCCUUUUGAAUUCUUCUAUUUCUUCUUGCAUUGUGGAAAUCCAGUCUAGUUAAAGUAAUGCUUCUUUGAUCGAUCGAGGUUCAACUGAGGACAAGAACGCUGCGUAGUGGCAGUGAUCAGAUAAGUCCUUGGAUGAUCGAGUCUAGAUUCCUGCAGAUGGGUUGCCAAUUAUUUCACCUGGUGGGUAAUCUCUCGUCCAUACGUGUAGACGAGGUUGCAUAUGAUCAACAACUGCGGUGGAGGGAAUAUCUUCAAUAUCAGAAAGCUCUGCGGUUGGAGAAGGCAGUUCCCAUGGACUUGAGAACAUCUUGCUGAAGUGUCUUAAACUGGGAAGGUAGGAUUAUAUUUGUCUUGGGCAGAUGGUGAAGGUUCCCCCUGGAGUUUAUAAGGGAGUUCGCCUUGAAUAUGUGAAGGUUCCCCCUGGAUUUGAGAACAUCCUGCUGAAGUGUCUUGAACUGGGAAGGCAGGAUUAGAUUUGUCUUGGGCAGAUGGCGAAGGUUCCCCCUAGAGUGUAGAAGGGAGUUCGCCUUGAACCUGCAAAGGUUCCCCCUGGAUUGCGGAUGGGAGAGAGAUAACCCGUGAGUCUGUUCUAGUGUCAAUGUGUUCUAUGUUUUCAUCAUCCGAAUCCGUAGAAACGUUUGAUGGUUGAAAUUCUCUGCGGAUUGGAACUUCGUCUUAUGGUACUGGAACCUCGAUGGUUGUUGUGUGGUCCAGAGUGGAGUUUUCCCCCCUCAACCGGCGAAGUGGAAGUAUUUAGCGAUACUUCUUCGGACGCUUUUGGACCAGAUACAUCUACAUGUUGUUGCUGAGCUUCUAAAGACACGAGAACUUCAGAUAACAACAAGAUCAAAGAGAUCAUCAUAGUUUACUUCAACUAGAUUUAAUGGACCCGAAGAGGCAGGGAUAUCACUUUCUAGAACUGUUGUGGUUUCAGUUGAUAGAGCGGAGUUGUGGUGUGAUAAUCAUCAAACUUCCCAUCGAAGCUUUCAAUUAUCAACCUUGUGCGUCUAAUGAGAACUCGAUAAGCAACCUUGUUAGUGGAGUAGCCAAGGAAGAUACCUUUAUCAGACUUAGGUGCGAAUUUAUUGAGGUGAUCACUAUUGUUGAUUACGAAGCAUCUACACCUAAAGAUAUGAAAGAAUCGAACAUUUGGCUUGCGGUUGUUAAGACCUUCAUAUGGUGUUUUGGUGAGACGUUUGCACAUAAUGCUUCAAUUUUGUACAAAACAAGCCGUGGCUAUUGCUUCGGCCUAGAAGUAGAGAGGAAGGUUUGUAUAAUUGAGCAUGGAUUUGGCAGCUUCUACUAGAGUGCGGUUCCUUCGUUCUACUACCCCAUUUUGUUGUGGUGUGUAAGGAGCUUAGAAGUUGUGUGAGAUCCCUUUAGAAACCAAGAAACUAUUUAGAAGAUGGUUAGUAAACUCAGUUCCAUUGUCACUUCGGAUACGUUUGACUGGUAACUUGAUCUGAAGUUCGAUUUCCUUGAUGAAGUUGAACAACACCUGCGGUGUUUUUGACUUGAGUCGAAGAAAGAAGACCCAUGUGAAACGAGUGAAGUCAUCCACAAUAACCAGUAUGUAUUUUUUGUGAUGAAGACUGGCAAUGGUAAAUGGACCGCAGAGAUCAAUGUGUAAAAGUUCUAAUGGUUUGGAGAUUGAGGAAUCAAUCACCGUGAGAUGAAUUGCCUUGAACUGCUUUCCACACUCACAUGCAGGACAGAGAGUAUCAUUGCUGAACUUGAGGAUUGGAACACCUCUGACUCAUUCUCCGGUGACCAAGUAGUUGAUGUAUCUGAAGUUAAGAUGAGCGAGCUUGCGGUGCCAUAGCCAGAUGACUUCGGAUACGACUUUGGAAAGAAAGCAUAAUUGCGGUUUACCUAUGAUCAAAGAUACAUCCAGAGGGUACAUGGUACCUUCGGAUCUGGACUUGAUCAGACAAUUGAUCCUAUCACUUGUCAUUACAUAGCAAAACUGGUCAUCAAAUUCAACAAGAUGGCCUGCUUUACAUAGUUGACCAACACUGAUGAGAUUGUGUUUAAGGCCUUCUACAUAAGCAACCUUUUGAAUGGAGAAGUUUCCUAUAGUGAGAACAUCGUAACCUCAGAUUAUCCCAUUAACAUUGUUCCCAAAAGUGACAUUUCCACCAUUACAAAUUGGCCUGAAAUCUCGAAGGUAUUCUAACCUUCCCGUCAUGUGCAAGGAGUAGGUACUAUCGAUUAAACAUUCUUCUUCUUGUUCCUACUUGCACAAGGCCUGAAAAUUACAUGGUUAGUUUAGGCAUCCAAACUACUAUGGAGCCUGGGACAAUAGAUGAGGUUCUGAUUGAUGCAUGAAAAGAGGUUGUAGGGACUGGUUUCAUGUCAACUUUUAAUCCUAGUCCUGGGUGUUUGUGAGUUUUUGGAACGUAGUCCCUUUUUGAAAAGGUACGAGGUUUCUGAAAAGUAUAUGUUUUGACAUGAGAAAACUUUUUCUGACAACUACAUUCACAUUGACCUGCUGAAAUUUAGUCUUUUGUUUUGGCACUUUGUUUGGUCAGCGGUCGGAAGGGUGUGGUUGAUUUGUGACUGGUCCGAGGUUGGUAAGAUUUGACAUGUGAACUGUUGGAUUUAGAAAAAGUUUGUCUCGAAGAAGAUGUUGCACGUGUAGACACCUUGGACCUUUUCUUGGGAUUUGGUAAAAUGCCUUUCCAUUUGUUGAAAUUUUGAUGUGAUUUUAAAAGUUUAGGAGUGGGUAAGAUACCCUUCCAUUUUGGGUCAUCCGAGGAAUAGAUUUGAAAACCAUUGUUUUGAAAAGACCUUUCUUUCUUUUGGGUUUUGUUGGAUGAGUUAGGAAUGGAUGUUGAAACGGCACAUUCCUUUUUGCAUGGCUUCUUGAUGGGAGAGUUUUUUGAAAAAUAUUGAGCAAAAACAAACUUUUCUGGACUCUUAGAUUUUGGAAAUCUGAUAUGUCUUUGGUUUUUAGAAAAAGUUUGUCGAUUUGUGCCUUGAGAAUGAAUAUCCUCUUUGAAAGCCUUUUUUGCUAAAGUUUUUGGAGAUCUACAGUCAUUAGUGUUUAACUGCGGUUUCCUGGAAGCCUUUGAAACAUUUUGACACCGAGGGCUUGACUCAUCAGAAUUUGAAAAUUCAGGAUUUUGAGAGCAUUGACCUACUUCAAAAUUUUCUAAGGGUAGUUCAUGGUGAAUGGCUUGAAGAGUCACAGAACCUUUGAUUGUGGAUUUUAGUAAGGAAAACUUAGCUACCGUAGCGUAAGUCUGGAUUGUGACUGGGAUGGAUUUUUUCUGAGAGUCAUGACUGCAGUGAGAGGCACUGCGGUCUGAGAACAAGGGUGGAAAGUCCUGUGAGACUUUGGGACUUUCUAUGACAAUUUAUUCAUUAACAACAGAUGAGGUCUGAGAAUUUGGAUUGAUUGUGCCACAGAUAAGAGGUAGAUCACAUUUUUGAUCCGAAGCCUCAAAUACAAUAUCCAUUGGACCAACCCCAAUUGUAUGUAUUGUCCACAGUUCCAUUAUUAACUAAAUUUUCAAUAGCUUCACUUUCAUUGAAUAAUUUUUCUAUUCAAAGAUUUAAACGUACAAUCUCACUAUGAGUUAAAUCUCUUUGGUUCAAAGCUAUUUCUAGUUGUGUUUCACUCAACAUUCUUGCAUCUUUUUCUAACUCUAAAUCUCUUUCUAACAUGGCUAUUUUGAGUCUUUUGUUGUCCAGUCGUCCUCUCACAUGGAACAUCUCUAAGGAUGCUAUGUUCUUCUCAUCUAAGGCAUUGUUGUAGUCUGAAAGGACGGUAGCACAUGUGUCAUUAAGAUUAUCUAUGAAAGGUUGACAGUCAUGCAUGUUAUAAUUCAUAGUUCAGAUCAUGAGUUUUACCUGUUCGACGAUGCUUAGAGUUCCAUCCUUUGCCAUGUAGCAGUAGUUCCUUUCCAGCUUUGUAGAUCCAUCGUCAUCAGCAGUUGCUAGCAUGCAGAUCUUGCCUUUUCCUUUGAUGUUGCUGAUGUUUUCUUCUUCGUCUCUGGAUGACCAAACUUGAUGGAAUCUUUUGACAUGAGUCACAUAUGCCCUAGCCUUUUCCUUUUCCUCCAGUUCUUGAGCCAUUCUAAGGUAGAAUGCUCUGUCUUUCACUACGUUGGCUUUGCAAUCCUUUGCAAAAUUAUUUUCUUUGUUGCACUUGUGGCAUAGUACAACAUCACUUUUGUCUUCUGAAGGGGUACCAAAGUCAGGUGUUUGAAUGGACUGCUAUGUCUCCUUUGGUUGAGUGUUUUGAGAUUGCAAUUGUGAUUUUGAACUUUUAGGAUAAUGAGAGUGAUUGUUUUGUGGAUUGAAGCUACGAUUGAAAGAUGGUUUGUUGAAUUGUUGAUUUUAUCGAAAAGAGUGAGGUGGUAGUCGGUUGAACUGUUUACUAACUAGAGCAAUAGCCUUCUGAAAUUCUUCAUCAUCAUCAUACUUUGAGUCAGCUUCAUAUGAUUGCGGUGUAGUGUCAUAUGAGGAAGAGUAAGACUGGUUGUUAGGAGAUUGUGCUACAAGAGCAAGUGGUCCUCCGAAGUCAAGACAGUCUUUGAGUACGGUGGAUUCUUGUGCCUGCAAUUCCCCAUAUAGCUUGUAGAGAGACAGGGAAUGAAUCUUUCUAUCUCCUUGAACUAUCAUCUUAGCAGUAGUCCAAUGUCUUCCUAACCCGUUGAGAAAUUGAAGGUUUGUUUCAUGGUUACUGCGGAUGGUUCCAGCAUUUGAUAGCUUAGUAACUAUCAGCUUGAACCUUUUGAAGGAGUCUUCUAAACUUUCACCAACAUGAGCUUUGAAGUUGUUGAAUUCAUUGAGUGCAGUUGUGAGCUUCUUAUCUUGAGCUUGUUCAGAGCCCUGAUACAAGUUCUUGAGAACAUCCCAGAUCUCUUUUGCUGAUUUACAGUUUAUGAUAAUGUCGAAGUUGUCAGGAGCAACUCCACAAGAGAUUUCAUAAAAAGCAACAACAUAAUUUUCAAUUUUAUCAAGAUCAUCCUUGGUGGGAUGGUUCAAGACUGGUUGUCCUCCUCAUAGUCUGGUUGUGGCACCAUCAGUUUGAACAGGUGUAAAAACAGGGACAUGUGGUCAUUCUUCAACAGAUCGCCAUUCAUCUCUACCAAGUCUCCUUAAGUAUCUUUCCACUCUUUGAGACCAGUGAUGGUAUUCAUUUGCAACCAGUAUUGGAGCUCGAUUUGAACCACCAACACUGUUGGAAACGUUUAGAGAAAAUGCUUGUGCCAUUUUUGUUUUUUUUUUUUAAAUGAGCUUCAGUGGUAUAGAAUGCCCUUUGAAAAAUCAGAGUUCCGUUUUUCAAAAAGCAACCACUAUGGCUCUGAUACCAAUUAUUGAGAGAAAAACUUGAGACACACUUGAACAAACGUUAGAACAAGUAUAGUUGCGGAAUUAGUUAAUCUCAAAGUAUCUAAAAGCUCAACAAUAAUAAGUUAAUAUAUUAGAUAGUUAGAUAGUUAAAUGCAGAAAUGUAAAGAAACAUAAAUGACAGCAGGUGAUAAAUCAAGUAAACACAUAAGUUGAUUCAUAACAUGGAAUGCAUUCAAACCAAGUUAGUAAGUAAGAUCAGUCUUAGUGAUGGAGUCACGAGUGACUUGCUCCGAAGAGAAGUAUUAAUUAGUUGUGUUCGACAGGAUUUUUAGAGAGUAAGAAAGAUAUGAGAUGCCUAAGGAUAACUUGAAGAUAAUUCAGAUUUAGAGAUGAGUGAAGUAAGAUCUGUAUAGAUUGAUAAAGAGUGAGCUCUAUUUAUAGAUACUCAAGAAAUACAAGCGAAUCAUUCUCUAAGAGUAGCCAUGCAAGGCAUACUGGACAAUAGAGAGUAUUACAUAGAUAGAUAAAAAUAGACUAAGUACAAAAAGAAGACUGCGGUAGCUUAGACGACUUCGGAUGUGGCUGCUGAGGAAGCUUGACUGCAGUAGGAAGAAUUAAGAGGGUCACUUCAUGUAUCAACAAUUGUGGUACCCCUCACUCGUAUGAAGAGGAAUGGGUGGAUUUCCGAUGGGGCCUUGAGCAACAGUCGGCGUUUGAGACUCUUCGGUAGAGGUUAUGUGAGGCACCGAUAUUGACCCACCCGGAGGGGGUUGAGGAUUUUGUAGUAUUCUGUGAUGUAUCCAUCAAUGGUUUCGGGGUGGUCCUUAUGUAGAGAGGACGAGUGCUUGUUUAUGCUUCGUGGCAGCUGAAGAUACAAGAGACAUGAUAUCUCUCACAUGACCUGGAUUUAAGGGAAUGGUGUUUUCCCUAAAGAUUUGGAGACAUUUAUAUGUAUGAGGUUCGUUGUACUUUCUACAUGGAUCACAAGAGUUUGAGAUAUCUGAUGGAUCAGCUUAACCUGAACUUGAGGCAACGUAGGUGGUUGGACGUGGUCAUGGAUUAUGACUGCAAGAUCCUUUAUCAUCCAGAUAAAGCGACUGUAGUAGCGGAUGCUUUGAGGCACAAGUCAGAUGGGUCUUCGGAUGGGGAGAUGUGUAUGAGGAUAUUCGUUUAUUCUUUGCUUUUGGGAUUGAUAAGAGAGGAUUAGGUAGAGGGAGUUUAGAAAGAAAACUGAAAAAGGAAAGGAUCAUGGGUGAGAUUGACAUAUUUUUCAUGGAUAGUCGAGGGUUAUUGACCGGUGUAGUUGGGUUUGGGUUACAGUUUCUAGUGGGAUCAGGCAGAUUGUGUUAGAGGAGGCUCAUAAGUCUCGUUUUUUCUAUACACCCAGGAACCACUAAGAUGUAUUGGGAUUUGAGAUUGAGUUAGUGGUGGCCAUGUAUUAAGAAGGAGAUAGCCUGGUAUAUCUAGAGAUGCUUGACUUGCUGGAUGGUCAAGUCUGAGCAUCAGAGACCGCAUGGCAAGCUGCAGCCUCUGGAGGUUCCAAUGUAGAAAUGGAAGCAGAUCAUCAUGGACUUUAUCACCAAGUUGCCAAAGAAGGCAAAGGCUUUUGAUGGUAUAUGGGUCAUCGUGGAUCGAUUGACCAAGAGUGCCCACUUUUUGGCUAUUUAGUAGAGUUCCUUGUCCGAAACAUUGGUCGAUGUUUAUGUCUAGGAGAUAGCUACUCAUCAUGGGGUUCCGGUUUCCGUUGUUUUUCACCGAGAUGUUCGGUUCACCUCCCGUUUCUGGCAGAAGUUCAACGAGGAACUGGGCACGAGGUUACCUUUUAGCACUACAUAUCAUCCGCAGACUGACGACUAGAGUGAGCGGAUUAUAUAGACCCUUGAGGAUAUAUCGCGGGCCUGUGUUAUUUAUUUUGGUUGGAGUUGGGAUUCCUCCCUACCUCUUGCAGAGUUUUCCUAUAACAAUAGUUAUCACUCCAGCAUUGGUGCUCUACCUUUUGAGCUCUUGUAUGGUUAGAGAUGUCGUACCCUGGUUUGUUAGGGAGAGGUUGGUCAUAGGUUUAUGGGAAUGACUGAAGUAGUAAUUCAGACCAUGGAGCUUAUUCAGCUGAUCAGGAAGAGACUGCAGACUGCUUAGAGUCAAAAAAAGAGCUAUGUCGACCAAUGUCGAUCAAAGUUGGAGUUUCAGGUUGGCGAUAUGGUACUCCUGAAGGUCUCACCUUGGAAGUGUGUGAUACGCUUUAGGAAGAGGGGGAAACUAGGUCCCCGAUUCAUUGGACCUUUCUGGGUGAUUGCCAAGGUUGGCCAGGUAGCUUACAUGUUGGAAUUGUUGAGCGAGCUUAGUCAGAUCCACAACACUUUCCAUGUCUCUUAGUUGCGGAAGUGUGUGUUGGAUAAUGAGGCAGUGAUUCCUUUGGAUGAUAUUCAAGUCGAUGAGCGCCUAGGUUAUGUUGAGAGGCCGUGGAUAUUCUAGAAAGGAAGAUGAAGGUUGUGCACAACAAGGAGAUACCUUUGGUAAAGGUACAUUGGCAGCAUCAGAGAGGCUCUGAGUGGACCUGGGAGCCGGAGGCUGAGAUGUGGGAACAUUAUCUUGAGUUAUUUAUCGCAAUAGACUUUGAGGACGAAUUCUAGUUCAAAUGGAGAGAAUUGUAACAUCCCGAUGAUAAGGUACUUCUAAUUUUAAUCUGAUAAUUUAAUUAUGUUGCAUUUUGGUCCCUAAAUUCAAGAAAGUGUGCAAAAGAGCCUUAGUGGCAUUUUCAUAAAUAUGCUUAGGGGAGUACGCUUUACGUACGUGUGUACGCUGAGCGUACUAGGGCGCGCCCUAGUAUGCUGGGCAUAAAUGUUGUACGUUGGGCAUACUUUCUAGAUUUGGAAACCCUAAUUUUUAGGGUUUAGCUCGUGUUUAAACACCCUUAUGCAGUGGCGAGUCUAGAACGUAAAACCAGGUGGCUCACUAUUUAAGUGAAACUGAUAGAAAAAACGUAAAAAAUACUAGUUACGUGUCCGGGUUGGGUCGUAAGACUACCGUGUGUUAAGCGGGAGAAGAAACGACAUGGUGAAACACCUUUUUUUGCCUUGUUUUCCUUUAUUUAUCUUUAACUUGUAUUGAGCUAUUUUUUUAUUGGAUUAUAUUUUAAAUGAAUUAGGUAUUUGAAAUAUAAAGUGUUGGCUUUAAAAAUCUUUAUUUAUACAUAAUUUUUUUUGCCAAGAACAUUAAAAAUUUUAAGGUAGUUCACUUCAAAUAUUUAAGAUAUGUCACAAUUUAUAUAUAUAUAUAUAUAUAUAUAUAUANNNNNNNNNNNNNNNNNNNNNNNNNNNNNNNNNNNNNNNNNNNNAUAUAAACUCUUAUAGGAAAAAUUAAGUGGGUAAAGUGACCCACUUUCAAUACAUACAAACUCGCCCCUGCCCUUAUGGUUUCAUUUCCCCUCACCUCAUCAGCCUUCAUCCCUCUUGAUACGUUUUACAACCCUAGUUCACCAUAAGAAUCUAUUUCAAACCAAAGAGUAUGUGUUUUGUGCUUAGAAGAAGAAGGAAGGAGGCCAAGCUCAUCUUGGAAGGGUGAAACACUUUGGAUAUGGGGUUUCUACGUCAUUUGCUACCUUUUUAAGGUAUAAAGCUUGCAACUUUACCCCUUUAUCAUAUAGAUGUAGAUUUGGAUGUUUUAAUGAUGCUUUUUGGUCCCAACAAUGUUAGAUCUUGAACAUGGCUUGUUCUUGACAAUUAAGUUGUCCUUUCCAAUGCUAGGAGGGGUCUUAAGUCAUAAAAAUGGAGUCCAAAUGGUCGGUUUUGUCCCAUGCAUGUUAUGGAGAGUCUUAAGGCGUUAAGAUGUUGGGUUUUUAUGGAUUAAGCAUUUAUUGAGCAUGCAAGGUCAUAAAGUUGGAAAAUUUAUGACUCCUAAUUACAGUUUGACAUUGGAUUUGCAUUUAGACGUGUUAAUACGUUGUAUUAAGCACUUAAUGGAGAAAAAGGAUAGUAUGGGGUUACGUUGAGCGUACCUGGGCUACGCCCAAAAUACACGGUCAACGAACCUAUUUUUGGACAGCGGCGGAGUACGACUAGCGUACAUCUAGAGUACCCCCUGCGUACGCAUACUGAGUUGACUCGGCAGAGUUGACUCGGUGGGAUUGAAUCAGUUGAUUUAUGGAGUUUGACCUCGACUGUAACAACCCAAAUUUUCAAUAAAAUUUUUCAUUUUAAAAUAAUGAAAUCAUUUCCAUAAGUUAUAAAAUCCCAAUCAUAAUUGUUUUGAAAAUCCAUAAGAUCAGAUGAAUUAUUCAUAAAAUCAAAGUGUCCCCAAACAAAACGCCAAAGAGUGCAUGCCACGCCAUCACGCCGGACCCUUGCCCUUAGAUCCUGAAGUACCUGAAACAACCAACAAACUAUAAGCUAAUGCUUAGUGAGUUCCCCAUAGCUAUCCCACAUAAUCCAUAUAAUCACAAAAGCCAUAUCAGUCACAUAAGCAACAUAAUCCAUGCAUACAAAGAUAUAAGGAUGCCCUGGAAACCCUCCAGGGUCUUACUCUGGGUGCCAUGGGAACCCCCACAUGGUCUUAGCUCAAUGCCUCGGGAGCCCCCUAAGGUCUUGACUAGAGAUACUAUGGAAAAACCCUCCAAGGUCUUAUACCCUAGUGCCUCGAGAACACCCCGAGGUAUUUACUUAGGAUACCAUGGAAACCCUCCAAGGUCUUACACCCAAGUGUUUCGGUAACCCCCCGAGGUCUUCCAUUCAAGUAUCACAAACUAGCCUACCAUAUAGCAUAUAAACAACUAGUAUACCACAUAUCAUUACAUCACUAGUGUACCACAUAUCACAACAUGGGCUGGCCUUGGUGCCUUUGACCCAUUGGUAUGGUGAGGAGACUCACCACUGUCUACUGAACUCGAAAGCUGCUCGCCUAACAAUCUGAAACCACCUGUGUUGAACAAUAAUGCCAUUCACCCAAAAUUAGGAUUAAGUACAAUCUAAUUUAAAGAGCCCAAUUUCCUAAAACCAAGCCCUUCCAUAAUGGCCUAAAAGUCUUUCCUUUGCUAAUGGGCUUAAAGUCCAUGUCCAAAGCUAUUAAUGGGCCACAUGGCCCAAUAAGGCCCAACCAUAGCAACCAUGGCCCAAAAUAGAUAAAUUGGACCACUAACUCAAAACCUGACCAUGCCCAAUAACUGAUUAAGGCCCAAAGCGCUUACAAGCCCAAACCCAUCUGAGUGCGUACGCCUUGCGUAGCACUCCUAUACACUCAGUUUACUUGCUCUUUUUUCCGUAUGUGCUGUGUACAUGCUUCUACGCGCGGCAUACUGGUCUGACAUGCAUAAAUGAGCAUUAAGUUCUUAAUGCUUGGGAUAUAAAAUCAAGCUUCAGAUCUGGGUCCAAUAGACGUUCUAAGGCAUAAAGUUGGAAACUUUAUGCCCUUGCAUGCUCCAUAUACUCCUAACAACCCCUUAUAACCCAUUAAGACCUUUCCAAGGGUCUUAACUCAUGUAGGAGGUCAAAACACCCAUCACAAUUGCAUUUUUAUGGUAUGAAUGAACUAAGGGACCUCAGAUCUACUCUUCCUAAGCUCUGGAGUUGCUCAAACUCCCGUGAGAUGAUCUACGAACACAAAUGGGACAAUAAAGCAAACCCUAGCUCAAUCUAAUGAAUAAGAUGGCAAGAUUAAAACUUUAUACCUCCAUAAGCUCCUCAAAGUGAACUAGAUGCAUGAUCUUGAAGCUCAACACCACACCAAGCUUGCUCACUAACUUCUUCUUCUUGAAUAAACUCUAAAAUGGCCACAAAUACACUCCUUAAGCUCAAGUCUCACAAGGAAACUCUGGUGUAAAAGGGCGAAUUGAAGCUAUGGAGGCCGAUUAGGGUUUGAUCCAAGAGGCUUAAGGAUUUUUAAAUAGGUGUCAAGUCCAAUAAUUAGGGUUUUGCUCCUCUAUCGCGUACGCCCCACAUACCUCUAGGUACGCCCCGCGUACACGGCCACCCUCCACAAUCAUUCAUCUUUAGUACACUAAGCGUACUCCUGGAGUAAGCCCCACGUACUAAGGGGUUAUUAUGUUACAUAAUUUCAAUUCAAGGGUUCAAAUGGUAAUACCUGAUUUGGAGUGUUACAUUGACUUUGACCAAGUUUGACCUUAAGCAUAUUUUAGGAUUUUGAUGGAGAUUGUGUUGGAUUAGGUGUCUAAGCCCAUAACUAUAAUUGGUAUGUACUUGAUCCGAUAGUAGCAUGGUCCAUUUUGGGUUGUAUUCACCAGAACAAUUUGAUAGAAUGGAUAUUUGAGAAAGAGGCUAUUUGUGAUUUAUUUAUAUAUUAUAAGUAUAAUAUAUUAACUGAGAAAUCAUAUUAUUUAAUUAGUAUUGAUCAAGAAUUAAUUUGGAAUUAAUUUAGUUAUAAAAAGAGACUGAUUAAAUUAACGGGGACUGAUUAUGUAAAUCAGUGAUACAUAUGGUUUGGGCUAAUGAUCCAUGAUUGAUUUGUGAGGGACUAAACUUAUGAGACAGUCCAUGAAGUUUUAGUACAAAUCAAUUGUUCGAUCAUAAUCCUAAGUGUAAGAAUUAGGGUUUACAAGGGACUUUUGGAAUUCUACACUAUAUAUGUAACCUCUAAGCCCCUAAAAUUGACACCAAGAGUAUUGUAAUAGGAUAUAGCCAAUUUUUUGGCGCUCCAAGCUCUCUCUCAUUGUCAUCUAAUUGUUGGUGGUGUUUUGUGAAACAUUUGAGGCACCACACUUGAGGUGUUAAGCUCUUGAAAGGACAACUUCUACAAGCUACAACAAGGGGUAAUUAUCUAACUUGUUUUUAUGAUUCCAAUAUCAAAUUUUUAUGCGAGUUAGGCUUCAUGCUUUGGAAAAAGAAUAUUAUAUGUAUAACUAGAGAAAACUUAGAUACAAAGCAUUAGGGUUGUAUGUGCACAAUAGGGAUGUUAUAGUGCUCAAAACUCAUCAGUCGUAUCAGAGCUUAGGCUGUUUUCUGUUAUAUUGAUGCAUGGCUAAUUGUUCAAAGUUGAAGCAAAAAUGAAUACUGUUUUCUGCCAAACUGAACUCGACGAGUCCCAUGAGGAACUCGACGAUUUCAUGAUGAUCUCGACGAGUCCAUUACUUGACUCGACGAGUUGGACAAUCUGUUGGCAGUUUUUCGGGGUUUUUUUUGGCCUGAAUUGGAUUAGGAUCAUUACCACAAACCGUUUUGUAUCAUAAAAUCUGUUUUUUAUAUGGUAGUGAUUAUCCUCAUCCAAUUAAUAGAUAAUUGUCAAAAUUUUAAGAUAAUUGUUAGUUUAUAUGAUAAGCUAAUCAUUUGUAAUUUUUUGAUUUGAAAUUAUCUUGCCUUAUGAGUUAAAUUAGGUCAAUUUGGUAAAUAAUAAAUUAUAUGAUAAUUUUAUUAGUUAAAUUUGAUCUAAAUGUUUCUAGAAGAGUUUCAUAACUUGUCCUUAUGUUAUGGAAUAUGAAAAGUCUCAUUCAUGAAACAUUAACUCCUUAAGUUAUGGAAUUCAAUAGGUUUUGAAGAGUUUCGAAACUUGCCCUCAAGUUUUGUAACUUGAAAAGUCUCAUCUAUAAAACAUUAAAUUCCAAAACCCUAGUAAUUUGAAAAGGUUCAAAAAUGAACCUCUUGGUUUUGUAACUUAAAAUUUAAUUAAGUAGCCUUAAUUGUGAAAUCUUAAAUUUAGAACCUUGAUAUUUUGAAUACUUCAAAUUACACCCUUAUGGUUUUAUUAAAUUAAUUAAGUGGUUAAUUAAAAAAGAGAAUUAAUAAAUCUAUAAUGACAUGGUUUAAGUUUAAUUAAAUUAAAAGUCUAAUUUAUUAAUAGAUUAAACCACUUAGUAUUUUAAAUGUGUAAAAUACAUCCUUAUACUAUAUAAAACUAAAAGUCUAAUAUAUUAUAUAUGUAUAAGUUGAAAGUCAUUCAUACCGUUAGUAGGCCUCAUUCACGAAGCUGAUCUAUAAGGAGUGUUAAGCGGCCUAUAACAUGACCACCAUUGUGUAACACCCCAUUUAUUAAAUAAAUAAACAGAUUAAUUUAAUGGAUGAAUAGUAGCCAUAAAGUCCAUAAUAUUUAUCAGGGUGUUGGUUUCGGGGAGUCGAAUGACAUGAUUUAGAGUUUUGGGGAUUGAAGUGUAAAAUCUGGACUUAAUUUGUAAGUAUUAUUGAAGGCAGGGACUAAGUGGUGAAUUAUUGGGACUCAAAUUGAAGAGAUUUUGGAAGCUUAGGCGUUGAAUGGUAACAUAUAGACUUCAUUUGAGAACAAUUUGUAGAAGAGAGGCUGAUUGGUAAAUUUUGAACUUUAUUUGUAAGGGAUUUAUGGCAAGGGGUUAAAUCGUAUUUUCCAAAACUUGUUUUGUCAUACGAAUCUUAAAUCAGGGUAGAAAUCGCCACAUUAUCAAAUCCUUAGGACCAAUUUUGCCAAUUUCAGAAUUUGGCUUGUCUCAUUCUCCCCAAUCGGAUGCAGCUCCUGCUGGGAAUAUUUCUUACUCAUUUUCGGACCAAUAAUCUCAAUUGCUUCAAAAGAUCCCAACACCCUUCUUCCACUUAUAUAUUCAUACUUUUCAUGGAUUAGGGUUAAGAAUGAGUGAGGGUCGCUUGAGAGGCUGCAUCAUGUAGUUGUGUUUGUGAACUUUGACUCACUCCCUUAACAGUCGAUGACUGCUAUCAUCUCUGGUGGAGUGAGCAAGUGUGAUUUAUUUCAUUCAUAAAAUUAAGGUAUGAGAGACGAAGUGCAUCGCUAGGAAUGGGUGGCAGGGGAUAUGAAGCCCGACGACUUGGGAGGAUGUUUAACGAGAAGUUGACUUCCGACAGCAGGUUUCCGGUGGGUUUUAGAAGCUAUGUUGAGUAUCGUAUUCACUCUAGGCGUUCACACUAAGUUUCUUGAUGAGAUUUUGUUCCAGUCGAAGGGAGGCUCAAGCGAAUAUGUGGAGAGUUAAUGCGAUAACCGGUUGUGACUAGUGAUCUGUUAACAUUCCAAUUUCUAAGCAACUCCAAUGGCGAGGUUUAAGCACCUUUUCAGCUAGAAAGGAGAGUGGGGAGAGAAAACUGAGAAGGCAACUCUAGUAGGUCGGUUCUUGCAUUCAACGAUCGUCGUAUUAGACGGUGCUAGAGGGGUUGUCGUCGGAGAAGCUUAAAUUGUCGGAAUUGAAGAAGGGCGUCGAUUGCCGAAUGAAUAGGUGUCCUUCUCGUAUCUAUGUGAGAGUUCGGGAAUCUGUCAGCCAGCAGCUGGGGUCGAGUAUGUGGGACUUCAGCAAGUGUGUGAUUAUGUCUUCGGGACUUCAACAGUGUGAGGUGAGUUACCUUCCAAUAGCGGUGGGUCUAAGGCCACAAUGUCGGCCCACCAGUAGGAGUUGUAUGUUAGAUGAUUGUCUUUGUGAUAUCAUCUAGGUUUGCUACUACCUGAAAUGUUAUAUGCUGGCAUGAUAUGUUAUAUGUGAUAGUAGUAGAGUUCGGUUGUUAGGACCGAAAGGUAGGUCAAACACCCCAGAUAUGUCUGACAGUAUGUGAUGAUAGGUUUAUAUGCUGGCAUGAUAUGUUAUAUGUGAUAGUGGUAGUAGGAUGAGAAUAGUCCCCAAGUUCGGUUGUUAGGACCGAAGGGUCCCCAGAUAUGUUUGAUAGUAUGUUUAUGUUAUGAUAUAUGUGAUAGUAGCAGUAGGGGGUGGAAUAGUCCCCGAGGGUCGGUUGUUAGGACCGGCGGGUAGGUCAGCACCCUAGAAUUGCUUGACAUGGGUCCCAGAAUGGCUUGACACAGGUAGGUCGGCACCCCAGAACGGUUGUACCGGGUAGGUCAGCACCCCGGAAUGGCCGUACCGGGUAGGUCGGGCACCCCAGAAUUGCCCGGCAGUAUGUAUGCUUUGUGAUUGUAUGGUAUGUGGUAUGAUUGGGGAACUCACUAAGCUUCGUGCUUAUGUUUUUCAGCUUGGGUUUUUAGCUUUGGUUUCAGGUAUUUCGUGUUUAAAGGAAAGGAGUCGGCUUGAUCGCAGCGCAUCAGACUAUGUUUUUUCGCACACGAGAUCUUGGGUAUUACACUCUGAUAUUGUUUUACGAUAACAUGUUUUGAUUAUUCUACUUUGGUUUUGACAUGACAUGAUGUUAUGGAUGUUUUCUUAUACUGUUGGUUUUAUAAUAAUAUAUUUAAAAAUAAAAAUUUUGGCCUGUAAUUUUGGGAUAUUACAAGUUGGUAUCAGAUCUUUGGUUUGAGGGAUUCGGGAACACUCUCAGGUGUGUCUGAACUCAAACUAAGGACUUGGUAUGAAAAUUUUCAAAAGUAAAAUGAUUUUAUAAAAAGAAGUUUGGAAAGAGAAAAUGACUUUGAAAAGAACAAGGUGUGUGAUGCGUGCAAUCAGCCGAGCUCAUGUAAGUUUUCCCCAAGAUACCCAUUCAUGUUAUGAUAUUUUAUGAUAUGAAAUGGUUAUGAGAACUGAAUGCUAGAUUAGGGUUGAGGAUCUUGGAGGAUGCCUUAUAUGCCUAUUGUAUGUGCUUGUAGACUUGCAUGCUAGUACUGAUCAGUCAAUGAUAGGACAGCCUGUUUAGGUUACGCCUGAUUGUAUGAGCCUUUGAAUUGUAUGUACAGAUUCUUGACUAGAGGAUAGAAUGGUUUGACUGGAAUAUGAUGGUUAGAUUUUCCUUUUUGUCCGAAUGUUGCUUGCUCUAUGCUUUGGGGGACUCUGAGUAAUGGGAGUUAGCUAUUAGGUGAAUACGUUAAGUCACAUGUAAUCAGGGUUGAAUAAUCUUAGAGUAUUGGAUUUGACCCUAUUGCGUAGCUCUCGUUUGAGUCUUAACCGUUGUAGGGAUGAGUUCCUUACUUAAAGGAUUAUCCGAGUCUCGUUACAUGUGAUGGUAUUCAGGUGAUGGCUAAUUGGCAUUACGAGGAGGCCUUCAGCAGCUGAGGACUGCUUUGGGGUCGGAGAUUUCCCUAGGGUAAGCCUAGGAUAUGUAUCAGUGGGUUAGUAGUGAGGCUUAGUGAGACUUGGAUGUACCAGUUUGAGGAAGUGACUUGGAGGAUUCAGGAGGAUUGCUGAGGAAAGUAUGGAUAGGUGUGGAAGGCAGUAUUGGGCCCGUACUACUGAAAGCACAGGAUCCAUACUCGAAUCAGUGAGAGUCUUGGAGAAUCUGAGAAGCUUCAAGGAAGAGUUUGUGACCCAGUUUAGGGACAAAGGAUGUUCCAGUUGUUGCAGCUUAGCCAUUGGCAAGUGAGUUGGUGAGCAUGGCAGGGUGUCAGACCCUGGAGGAUAUGAUUUCCAAGAAGCUGCAGAUGCGAGAUCAAUUUGGAGCACCCUGGAAAGAGAGGGUUCUGCCAGGUGCGUAUAGUAGAGGGUCCAAUGAAGAGACCCAUGACUUCUGAUCAUCGGGUGAAAGGCCAGCAGGGCCUGAGUCCGUGCAGCACGUACAUGACAGUGCACAAGGGAGUUUGUCGCUCUGAGGGUUUAGGCUACUACAGGGUAGUAGGGUUGAUCAUGUCAGCAUAAGGUGAUUAGUAUUCCUCCAGAUCUUGCGGGUAUGUCAUCGUCUAUUGCUACUAGAUGGAUGUUAGGGAUACGUAUCGCGUUGGAGUUAUGAGUAAGUUUGGAUAAGAUAGAUCUCGAGACGGUUUCCUGCUAGUGUUUAGGUUAUCAAGGAUCAUAUAUGCCAUCCUGCAUGCCGAAAGGUCCUUGACGAACCCACAGUUGGACGCAUCUUGUAGAGUGGGUUCUGCGUGUACCGUUAUCAUUCCGGACCUUUGUGGAGAAUUAUUUAGAGGAUACUCGGUCAGGGUUAGAGUGAUAGUUCUCCAAUGGAGUCAGCGUUUAGGGUUCUAUCAUUGUUCAAGUGUGGUCGGUAAUUGUCUAUGGAUGAACUUUGGAGUUCAAGGCACUACCGUUGCUAGGACAGAGCUAGUGACAUGAAAAGGGUGGUGUCAGUCGCGGGUGUUAGAUGCACAAGUGGUUGGUCAUCGCAUGUUCAAGAGAAUUGUAUUUUCGCAUUGGAUAUGUUCGGCUAGAGUUCAGUGGUACUGCAAGAUUGGAAGUAGGAACGAGGAUUCGUCAGCCAGAGUGAAGCUUGAGACUUUCAAUUGACAGCAUGGGAGAUGGAUUGAGGUGUCAGAUUGGACCAGAUUUCAAGAGUACUCUUCAAGAUUUCAGAGGAUGAGCGAUCUUAAGGUUUGAUUGGUGAUGGAUCGCUAGCACUGGUAAGUACAGGUUAUCGUCAGUGAAGACUUAGUCGAAUCUAAGUGGGGGAGAGACUUUAUAUAAAGUUCUCCAAAUGUGAGUUCUGGUUGCGCGAGGUGCAAUCUCUUGGGCACCUUGUCAACCAGAAGGGUAUUCUAGUUGAUCCGGCCAAGAUAGAGGCCGUGAUGCAGUGGGAGAUUCCGAGGUCUACAUCCGAGAUUCGGAGUUCCUGGGUCUAGCGGGUUAUUACUGGAGAUUUAUUCGAUACUUCUCCAAGAUUGAGGUUCCCUUUGACCCGACUGACCAAGAAGUCGGUGGCCAUUUGUUGGGGGCCUGAGCAGCAGGCAGCCUUCGAGACUCUCAGACAGCGGCUGUACGAGACACUUAUUCUCACCAUGCCAGAGGUUUUAGAUGAUUUCGUGGGUUAUUGUGACGCUUUGAUCAUGGGUAUGGGUGCGGUACUAAUACAGUGGGGUCACGUGAUAGCAGGUUUCGGGAACCAGGUUAGAGUUCCAGUUAGGAUUCAAGCUUAGUUGUGUGUUAGGUCGAGUGCGUGUUCGACCGGUAUGGAAAGUGUUGUAAGACUACACAGGUAGCCAUAGCAUUCAUUAGCGAUCAGAUNUUCAAGCUUAGUUGUGUGUUAGGUCGAGUGCGUGUUCGACCGGUAUGGAAAGUGUUGUAAGACUACACAGGUAGCCAUAGCAUUCACUAGCGAUCAGAUGGUAUGGAAACUGUUGUAAGACUACAGGGGUAGCCGUAGCAUUCACUAGCGAUCAGAUAUUAUGGAAAGUGUUGUAAGACUACGGGGGUAGCCGUAGCAUUCACUAGCAGUCAGAUAGUAUGGAAGUGUUGUAAGACUACGGGGGUCGCCGUAGCGUUCACUAGUGGUUAGUUAGCAUGGGAAGUGUUGUAAGACUGUGGGUAUAGCCGUAGCAUUCACUAGCGGUCAGAUAGUGAUAGAGUGUUGUGAGACUGUGGGUGUAACCGCAGCAUUCACUAGGUUAGUAGAUAAGUUUGAGCGCGUUGUUAGGACGCAAAAGGAAUAAUAGUACCCACCAAUUCGGGUGUAGCAUUAAGGAUAAGGAAAUCCACGAAUUGGAUUUCGGAAUUACCCAGAUGGAUUAGUUAUGGUUGAGCCAGUGAUAGGACUGUAGGAGCGCCACUACAGUUAUGGGAUCAGGAAAGCAAUGGACUGUAUAAGAUUGUGUGUGAGAUAAGGCUACCGUUGGUCAUGGAGCCAUCACUUUUAGCCUUGGAUUCGGUAACGUUAGGAUUCGACGCAUGGACCCGAUCAGUUGGAUCAGGAGAUUGUUAGAACCACAGUGGCAUGAUAACUAGUGGCAACUAGUUCUAGAGAAGGAUUUCAUUCAGAAGUCGACUAAGUGUGGAGCCCUUUGGCUCCGCAGCCGACCCGGAACCUGGUGUUCAGAUGAUUGGGAACGGAUUGAGACCAGAAGAGGUCUCGUUAGAUUUUGGAAAGCAGCCAUGUGGCAACAUUCUGCUUGAGGCAGUUUCAGCACUUGGGCAGGGUUAGUAUUUGUGUUUUAGGUUGCAAAUACAGACGUAAUAGCCGGUUGAUUAGGAAGUGACAAGUCACUCACAACGGGAUUAUCUGUGCCUUGGUCAAGUAAUAGUGGUCUGCAAGGAUAAUUGGGUCUGUGACCUUGUUUUAUAGUGUGAACCUCGAGCUAUCAGAAGUUGAGUAGUCAGUUGAGGGAUAAACAUGCUAGAUUCAACGAUAUUGAUUCAGUAUAAGUGGCCUAUUAGGGAUUCAGACCAUCCCGAGACAACAAAUUUCAGAUGAAGUAGAUGUGAUCUUGUUGCAAGGAAUUCGUUCAUCUGCGGAUUUUAGAGCUUUGCGAAGAUUGGUCACGGCUACCCUGGGAAGGCUAGGGUGUGCCCAGGAUGCUGACCAUGUUUAUAGGGUGGUUCGGCGUGUAUGGAAUUGUAAGAAAUGAUUUCGAGGACGAAAUCUAAUCUAAGUGGGGGAGAGUUGUAACACCCCGUUUAUUAAAUAAAUAAACAGAUAAAAUUAAUGGAUGAAUGGUAGCCAUAAGGUCCAUAAUAUUUAUCAGGGUGUUGGUUUCGGGGAGUCGAAUGACAUGAUUUAGAGUUUCGUGGAUUGAAGUGUAAAAUUCAGACUUAAUUUGUAAGUAUUAUUGAAGGCAGGGACUAAGUGGUGAAUUAUUGGGACUCAAAUUGAAGAGAUUUUGGAAGCUUAGGCGCUGAAUGGUAGCAUAUAAACUUCAUUUGAGAACAAUUUGUAGAAGAGGGGCUGAUUGGUAAAUUUUGGACUUUAUUUGCAAGGGAUUUCUGGCCAGGGGUUAAAUCGUAUUUUCCAAAAACUGUUUUGUCAUAAUAAUCUUAAAUCAUGGUAGAAAUAACCACCUGAUCAAACCCUCAGGACCAAUUAUGCCAAUUUCAGAAUUUGGCUUGUCUCAUUCUCCCCAAUCGGAUGCAGAUCCUGCUGGGAGUAUUUCUUACUCAUUUUAGGACCAAUAAUCUCAAUUGCUUCAAAAGACCCCAACACCCUUCUUCCACUUAUAUAUUCAUACUUUUCAUGGAUUAGGGUUAAGAAUGAGUGAGUGUCGCUUGAGAGGCUGCAUCAUGUAGUUGUGUUUGUGAACUUUGACUCACUCCCUUAACAGUCGAUGACUGCUAUCAUCUCUGGUGGAGUGAGCAAGUGUGAUUUAUUUCAUUCAUAAAAUUAAGGUAUGAGAGACGAAGUGCAUCGCUAGGAAUGGGUGGCAGGGGAUAUGAAGCCCGACGACUUGGGAGGAUGUUUAACGAGAAGUUGACUUCCGACAGCAGGUUUCCGGUGGGUUUUAGAAGCUAUGUUGAGUAUCGUAUUCACUCUAGGCGUUCACACUAAGUUUCUUGAUGAGAUUUUGUUCCAGUCGAAGGGAGGCUCAAGCGAAUAUGUGGAGAGUUAAUGCGAUAACCGGUUGUGACUAGUGAUCUGUUAACAUUCCAAUUUCUAAGCAACUCCAAUGGCGAGGUUUAAGCACCUUUUCAGCUAGAAAGGAGAGUGGGGAGAGAAAACUGAGAAGGCAACUCUAGUAGGUCGGUUCUUGCAUUCAACGAUCGUCGUAUUAGACGGUGCUAGAGGGGUUGUCGCCGGAGAAGCUUAAAUUGUCGGAAUUGAAGAAGGGCGUCGAUUGCCGAAUGAAUAGGUGUCCUUCUCGUAUCUAUGUGAGAGUUCGGGAAUCUGUCAGCCAGCAGCUGGGGUCGAGUAUGUGGGACUUCAGCAAGUGUGUGAUUAUGUCUUCGGGACUUCAACAGUGUGAGGUGAGUUACCUUCCAAUAGCGGUGGGUCUAAGGCCACAAUGUCGGCCCACCAGUAGGAGUUGUAUGUUAGAUGAUUGUCUUUGUGAUAUCAUCUAGGUUUGCUACUACCUGAAAUGUUAUAUGCUGGCAUGAUAUGUUAUAUGUGAUAGUAGUAGAGUUCGGUUGUUAGGACCGAAAGGUAGGUCAAACACCCCAUAUAUGUCUAACAGUAUGUGAUGAUAUGUUUAUAUGAUGGCAUGAUAUGUUAUAUGUGAUAGUAGUAGAGUUCGGUUGUUAGGACCGAAAGGUAGGUCAAACACCCCAUAUAUGUCUAACAGUAUGUGAUGAUAUGUUUAUAUGAUGGCAUGAUAUGUUAUAUGUGAUAGUGGUAGUAGGAGGGGAAUAGUCCCCAAGUUCGGUUGUUAGGACCGAAGGGUAGGUCAGCACCCCAGAAUGGCUUGACAUGGGUCCCAGAAUGGCUUGACAUGGGUCCCAGAAUGGCUUGACACGGGUAGGUCAGCACCCCAGAACGGUCGUACCGGGUAGGUCGGCACCCCAGAAUGGUCGUACCGGGUAGGUCGGGCACCCCAGAAUUGCCCAGCAGUAUGUAUGCUUUGUGAUUGUAUGGUAUGUGGUAUGAUUGGGGAACUCACUAAGCUUCGUGCUUAUGGUUUUCAGCUUUGGUUUCAGGUACUUCGUGUUUAAAGGAAAGGAGCCAGCUUGAUCGCAGUGCAUCACACUAUGGUUUUCCGCACACGAGAUCUUGGGGAUUACAUUCUGAUAUUGUUUUACGAUAACAUGUUUUGAUUAUUCUACUUUGGUUUUGACAUGACAUGAUGUUAUGGAUGUUUUCUUAUACUGUUGGUUUUAUAAUAAUAUAUUUAAAAAUGAAAUUUUUGGCCUGUAAUUUUGGGAUAUUACACAUUGGGUAUCCACUCUUACCCACCACACCCUUGACUAACGGAGGGUCGUUAGCCGAACGGGUUUGAUAGGACACUUAAAUCCUCAUUAAAAGUAUAAUGAAAUACCAAGUAACUAAAUAUUUUAUAAAUUCCCAAUCUUAGUUACUUUAGGAAAGAUAUGAAUUUAAUGCUAACCUAUGAAAUUGCACAUUGCACCUUAUUGGUCGUUAGUGGAGCGUGUGCGAUAAAUCAGCACACUAAUAUGGGACUAUUGAAAGAUGGAAAUGGGUAGCUCAUGAAUUAUCAUCGAUCAAUGAAGCGUGUGUGGUUAACCGACACAUUGAUUAGGUGAUUAAUGACAUUGAGAGUGCCAAGCUGAUUUGCAUGGUUAUUCACACCUUGUUUGUGAUCCUCGGUAUCCCAGUCACAAACUUGAAGGCCAUAAUCGAAAUUAAACAUGCCAUUGAAAAAUUCAAUGAAUCUCAAAAGAUCUAGGAGUUUCAUUUAAAAACCUAAUUCAUUUAAAAAAUUUCGUUUUCGUGGUGGAAUUGGUAAAUCGUCAUUUACCUACCGAUAAAUAGUUUGCAAUUGGAUUACGACAUCCCUCUUCCGAAUUAUAAAUUAUUGUGUCGGGUCGUAGACUUAAUAUUUCAUUUGGGUUUUAUAUUAAGGAUUGAAUCAACUAUCUUGAAUUCCACCCCCCCCCCCCCUUUANCCCCCCCUCUUGUAGAUGUCUAGUUUUCACAACUAUGGUCUACCUUAUCCUUUUGGAAAAAACUUUCCACAUGAAGAUAUCGUUCCACGUUUCGAUCGAGGAACUAGAAAUCAUUCUUCACUUCCUCCACCUCCUCAAAUAAUUCUCCCCGACCCACAUGUUCGUCGACUUGAAAAGUUCAUGGUCACUCAAGCCCUAUUGGUCAGUAAACACGAAGAUGGAAAGUCUUUCUGUGCUCACGUCUUGGAGAUGAAGUUGCAUAUUGAUAGUCUGCUGGGAAUGUUGGGUGUCGCUUUUUCGAGGAAGUUGGCUGUUGACUUGGCUCUUCAGCCACUUCCCAAGUUGUAUGGUCAAUUUUUUAGAGACUACUAUAUGACAGAUCACGAUGGGACCCUUAUUGAUCUUACAUAUUUGCUAAUUGCUACUGAAUAUCAACAAUGAUUUGGCGCACUAGUCAAGCGAAUUUGAUUAGAAGAUCUACAUCCCAAAUUGCCAUGGACAUACUCAAUGACAUAGACAUCCCAAAAAUGAUUCCUUCUCCUAAGCGAAAGGAAUUAGAUAUGGUCAAAAGAAUUUACCAUAAGAGAAAAGCCAGUUCUGAGAUAGUUUCAUAUGCGAAUGCAAAAGAGUCCACUUGUUUCUACUGCCAUUUAAAGGGACAUUGGAAGCGAAGCUUCCCUGACUACCUGAGAGAAGAGAGGGUAAAAUCAAGUUGUAUGGUUCUACUCCAGGUAAUUCUACUAUCUAACUAUAUUAAGUUCCUAUUUAUAGAUUCUUAAUACAUGAUGUGAUAAGAUUGCAUUUUGAUGUUCUGUAGGAUCGAAGAAAAGAAAGGAAGCUUAAAGGAAAAGUGAGUUGAGUCUGGUCGCGAAGAGAUGGAUUUCGAUCGCAUGGUUCGAUGAUUAGAUUUUUGAGCUGCUAUUUAGAAGUUAUGAUAGAUUGCUUAAGAAUAUUUAGAAACAUAGUUUUCAUACGUAUUUGCUUUGUAAGGACAAGUUUUCCGCAUUUUUUAUAAAUAAAGAAAAAUCUUGAUUUUGUCUUAUUUUAUAUUAUCCUUGCAAUGACAUUGGUGAAAAUUGGUGUUCAUAUAUUAAUAGCAAAGAUGGAAAUGUUUGAUUCUUAGACAUAUCAAGUGUGGUAGUGUCGUGAUUUUCUAAGUAAGGAAAGAUUCUCAUCGCCCAAGCUUCAAUUGGAAAGAAACUUGGAAUAAUAUGAUUUGAAUCAUGUGAUGCAUGAAAAUCUUGGUACUUGGGAAAUUGAAACUGAUUCCUUGUUUACAUAUGUAUGUAAGUCAAGUGAAAGAUGAAAGGAUCUAGCACACAUUGAUGUGCACUGGUCAGAUCCACCACAAAGUACGAUAAAGUCUAUUCGUCAUGAUUUACGGGAAGUCCAGUGAAUAUGGUUAUGCUUACAAGAUUAAGUGUAAUUCUGAAUCAUUAAAAUUUUUUCAAUGUAUAGCAUAACAAAUAAGAAGAAUCAAAUAAGGCAGAAAGAGAAAUGUUUCUCCAAUCUGAAAGGAAAGGAGAGUACUUUAGUAUCGCUUUUUUUAUCAUCCUAAUGAUUAUGGAACCAUGUGACAAUUGAUCCUCAAAGUACACCUUAGUGAAUUUGCAUGACUAAGAAGAGGUAUCGUAAAUUGUUGAAAUGGUUAAAUGAAAAAAAUGUGAGUCAUACUUCGUUCCAAAAUCGAGUCUUAGAAUCACACUCCAAGAUUGUGACUUGACUGGCGUAUCUUAAGUAGGUUUAUAACACAUCGUGAAAUGUGGAGUAGAAAUGUUUUCUAAUCUUUCAUAUUUCAAAUUGAUAGUUGUGAUGUUUGGCUAAAACAAAGACCAAUCAUAUGACGUGUCAUUCUUGAUAAGAAUCCAUACUAACUCUUGAAUAAUUGUUUAUCAAGAAAUGCUUCUUGAGAAGAGAAUCUUUUAUGUCAAGUAUAUAUAUAUAUAUAUAUAUAUAUAUAUAUAUAUAUAUAUAUAUAUUUAUCAACCAUUAUAUCCGUCAUCACAAUCCUUCAUGAAAUGGUGCCUAUUUUUUCAACUAAAACAACAUUUCAUGUUGUAUGAUGGAUUGUAGAUUACAACUCAAAAUCUUGUCUUAACCCAAACAUGCGUAAUACAAAGUUUUACCUUAUCUUUGAUUUUUCUUUCAUACACCAAAUUUUACUUUGCUUUGUUGUCAUAUAAUGCUUACACAUAUCAUUUUUACCAUCCAAACUAAUUCCCUACACAUGUGUUUAUAAGAGAAAACAUCAUUCUUACCAAAAUCUUUUUGACUGGUGAUCAUUAUUCUUUUCUUCAGAGCCUUAAGCAUUUAAGUCAUUAUCGUAUAAUACCUAAUAGGAUGUAGCAUCCUAAAAAUACAGGCCAAAAAUUUCAUUUUUAAAUACGCCAUUAUAAAACCAACAGUGUAAUAAAACAUCUGUAAUAUCAUGUCAUGUCAAAACCAAGUAGAAAUAAUCAAACAUGUUAUCAUAAAACAACAUCAGAGUGUAAUCCCAAAGAUCUCGUGUGCGGAAAACCAUAGUGUGAUGCGCUGCGAUCAAGCCGACUCCUUUCCUUUAAACACGGAGUACCUGAAACCAAAACUGAAAACCGUAAGCACGAAGCUUAGUGAGUUCCCCCAUCAUACCACAUACCAUAUAAUCACAUAACAUACAUAUAUUGUUAAGCAUAUCUUGGUGCCCGACCUACCCCUUCGGUCCUCUCGACCGAAUACUGGCUAGCAUAUAUGGGUGUUGGCCUCCCAAUCGGUCCUCUCGACCGGAUACUGACUAGCAUAUCUGGGUGCUAGCCUCCCCUUCGGUCCUCUCAACCGGAUACUAACUAGCAUAUCUGGGUGCUGGUCUCCCCUUCGGUCCUCUCGACCGGAUACUGACUAGCAUAUCUGGGUGCUAGCCUCCCCUUCGGUCCUCUCAACCGGAUACUAACUAGCAUAUCUGGGUGCUGGUCUCCCCUUCGGUCCUCUCGACCGGAUACUGGGGACUAUUUCACCCCUAUUACUACCACAUAACACAUAUCACAUAAUCUAUCUAGCAUGGCUGGGCAUGACUACCCCUUCGGCCCUAUCGAUCAGUAAUCUGGGGACUAUCUCCCCUACUGUCACUAACACAUAGCAUCAUAUCAUAAUAGCACAUAAACAUAUUAGGUAGUAGCAAACCUAGAUGAAUAUCACAGAGACAAUCAUCUAAUCAUACAACUCCUACUGGUAAGCCGACAUUGNCCGUAGACCCACCGCUACUGGAAGGUAACUCACCUCACACUGCUGAAGUCCCGAAGACACAAUCCCACACUUGCUGAAGUCCCGCAGACUCGACCCCAGCUGCUUGCUGACAGAUUCCCGAACUGUCAACACCAAAAUAACACCCAAUUAAUAAUUGGGUCCCAAUACGUAACCAUACAUACAUUCUUUGGGUAAAUACAUUACCCCUAGCUUGGCUUAUUCAAGCCUAAGGCCCAAUCCGUAAGCCCAAAGUCAAUUAGGAAUCAAAGCCCAACACAUGGCCCAGUUUUCCAAAUUGGGCCUGGGCCUAGGCCUAUACAUGGUCUCAUUCUAAGGCCCAACAUCAUAUAAUCAUUAAGGCCCAAACUAUGGCUUAUCUAUGGCCCAAUUUUCCAAAUUGGGCCAAACCCCUUACAUGGGCCUUACCCUAGGUCCAUUAAAUUACUCUAGACUAUUUGCUUGAUCUUGGAUAGCCCAUUUAAUAACCCAAUCAUCAAGGCCCAAUAGAAAGACGCAACAAUAAACCCAAGUGAAAUUAGGGUUUCACAUAAAAUGAUGAUUAGGGUUAAGUUUCCUACUUAACCCAUUAAGGACUUAAUUCAUUAAGUCCAAUAUUGCUUAGAUUAAUUCCUGCCAAUGAUUAUUAUUUAAUAUAUCAAGUUAUUAAAUAAUUCUCGUGUGUGUGACCCGAUUAAUUCUUAAAGUUAGGUUUUCACUGGCAUUAGGGUUUUCCAGUCCAAAUAUUAGCCCAUUUAUCAAUUUGUUGGCCUUUUAUGUCAAUUAGGGCUUUCUUGGGCCUAUUAAGCCCACUAAAAUCUUAAUAAGCCCAUUAGGGUUUUAUUGGGUCCAUUAGAGUCCAUUAAGCUUCAUUGGGCCCAUUAGAGCUCCUUUAAGCCCAUUAGAGUUUCACUAAGCCCAUUAGGCUUCAUUAGGCCCAUUAGGGUUUCUAGCACCCCAAACGAAUCAAUCACAAGAUUAGCACACCGCCACCUGACACGNGGCGGCAGCCACCACCCUAAGGUGGUGGUUUUCAAGUUCCUUUCAUUAUUCCAUUUUUUGUUACAAUUACAAUGAAAAUACCAAAGUAACACACCCACUAACUAAGCUAAACAUACACACACAUAACCACCUUGGUUGCCGGCGGUGGUGAGUGGUGGCUGUGGUGGCUUUUCUUGUAAAUUCCAACUAAGCAAAACACACAAACACACCUGCUGCUAACAAAACUACAACCACACCCACCCAUGCUUCGUUUUUCAAGCAUCCAGCCACCCCUUCCGGUGGCGCACGACGGCGAUAUCAAUAUCUUGCCAUAACAGCCACCACCUCAUGGUGGUGGCGGAGGAGUUUUCUUCCAAUCUUCAACCAUGAAACGAUCCUCUAGACCUCACUAGCGAAACACACACAUACAAAAAUUGGAUCCCACUCACAGCUGCCCAUACACGGCGGUAUGCGGCGCUUGGACGACAUGGAGGCAUCGGAACAACGGCUGGAGUGGCAGUGGCGGCGUAGCAGCAACACAGAAUGGAGCGGAGAGGAGAGGAGAUCCGUCGCUGGGAGCAGUGGAGGAAGAACCAAAUGACGGCGACAGUGGCCUCCGGCUUUGUCAUCUGCGGCGACGGUUGAGAAAACGACAUCAGCCCUGAUGUCGAGCUUCGAUCCCUUCGUCGAAGUCGUAAUGGCAGUCGCUCUUGGCUCACUGGAGUGUUACGGAGGCGACGUCGGAGGUGAGUGAAGGAGGGGUGACGGCUGGAGGGAGGGGGGGUGAUGGGUGCACAUAAGGGGGGGGGGUUAGGGUUUGCUAACCGGUGAAGCAAGGUUUUAUACUUGAGGCUAGUAAACAUUAUGCCAUAACGACAUAAACAGUCCCUCCUUCCCAAUCUCUUUUCAAACUCGGUCCUUAUUUUACCAUUUCAACCCCAAUCCUGGAAAUCCCUUACAAGUGAAGUCCCAUACUUUACUAAUCAGCCCCUCCUUCCAUAAAUCUUUCCAUAAUAAAUCCCAAAACUUACCGACUAGUCCCUGCCCUUAGAAAACUUUACAAAUUGAAUCUGGAAUUUACCAUUUCGCCCUUGUUUCCCAAAAUCUAUUCAAAUUAAAUCCCGAUAAUGGUAUUUUAGCCCCUUAAACUUUCAAUUAUGAUUUUUUAACCCCCGAAACUAACUUCUUGCCACACUAUUCCGCUUUUAGGGAUAUUAUGUAUUUAUUACUUUACUUAUUUAUUAAAUAAAUAAAUAGGGUAUUACAUAGGAUGUCAUCAUACAACAUUCUAAUUAUCACAAUAAAUGACUACUUUAAUCUAAUCACAUAAUCUUACACUAACAUCACACAAACAUCCUGCUAUAAAAAGGACAUAUAUUUUCACACACAACAUAAUGAGAAAACUCACUUGAAGCUAGAAAUCUAAGUCUCACACACAAGAAUCCUCAAAUGAUUCAACUAGCACGAACCACUAAAAUUUACCAAUCAGGGGUCAAACCUUAGCCCGAAAAUUCAUGUUCCUGAAUGUUUGACCAAAAUUCAAAUUUGUCAAAUGUCAACGGUCAACAUAAAACACAUUGCAACCAACAUUUGGUCACAUCAUGACCAUUAUAAUCCAAAAUAGUGUUGAACCAUACCACGCUUCGCACUGCAACUAAGGGUUGGGCGUGUGUCACUUCUUGGGCAGAACACCCACGUCUAUGAAGUGCUUAAUCCAUUAAGCCAGGGGCUAUAACUAUACAAACACUAUCUUGGAAAGUGUAUAAUGGAGAAAAAUCCAAAGUUUAUCAACAUGCAAACCCCUACCAUCCCAAACACUAACCCUGGGUCAAAACAAGGUCAAAAAAGGCUAAGACUUUUUUCCAUGGUUCAAUGAAAGCUUAGCAUGCACUCUUUUUCAUCUUAUUGAGUCCAAAAAGCCAUCUAAGACAACCCACAAACCUAGAGUUUUCCAAACUCCAAGGACCACAUAGCAAAAAGGACCAAACAUACUUAAACACUAGAUCUAGAUGCCAAAAAAACAUAAAGAUGCAAACUUUAACACUUACAGAGAAAAAAUAGAUGACAAUAAGUUUGAUACUCUUCGAAUCUAAACUCCUUUGCACCAAAGCCGCCUUCCUUCUUCUUAGAACUUCACUCAAAUUGCACUAAAUCUCAUUAAUCCAUGAAGGAAGCUAGGUUUCCUACUCUAGUGUUUAUGGAGGAUGGAGACUGAGAAGAAAGAAAACCCUAGGAGUUUGUGCCUUUAAAUAUGGUUCAAAACUCGAGACCUAAGAUUUUUGGUUGUGGAUGCUACACAAUGUGAACCGUUAUAGAACACAUCAAUCGUCAUGACUUAUCGAGUUGGCAAGUGUUGCGACCAUCAUUUGGCUGCGUCACAAAGUUAAUUCCUUCCUAAACCAUCAUUCUUAUUUCCUUUAAAUCAAUAAAUAAACACACACAAAAAAUAAGUGUUAUAGAGUGAUUCCCUUGAGUUAUCAGGAAGUAGUUCCCUAAACUCUAAAGAAUGGAGGGAGUGAUUCCCUUGAGUUAGAGGAAGUUAUUUUGUAAACUCUAAAACUUUGGAGGGGGUGAUUAUAAUGAGUUAUAAGGAAGAUAUUUCCUAAACUCUUAAGCUAUAUUCUUAGCGAUGGAAUUUUCUACAACCUUCCAUGAGUAUAAUGGUAAUAGUCACAUGAUUAUCUACAUGUUCCAGUAGAUUAGUUUCUCUUACAUGAACUUUGUUGUCCUAAUUGACUUACUUAUUUUGUUAAUGGCAACAUGUUAUCCGUGGGUAGCUUCAACUUAGGAGAAGCCAUAGAUCAUUUAGACCCUAGAGUGUGAGGGGGCUUAUUUAAGAGUAGAGAACUCUGGUUAGGGUUUAGGGGUAUAUGCAUUUUCAUAGUAUAAAAUUUUAUGGUCGUUUACUUAUAUUUCUUGAAAAUCUUUUAUAAAAUGUUUUGAGAAUUAAGACAUAGGAAUUGGGUCAUUUCAUUACCUAAUUUCAUUCAAAGAUCUGAUUCUGAUAUUGCUCACUGGGCUCCCUAAACCUUAACUAUUUUGAUAUGUACUUGAAAAUAAGGAUGAUAUAUUUGAAUGUUUAGAAGGCCAUAACUUGUUAUAAUUCAUUAAAAUUUUGUAAUGAUAUUUGAUUGAUCAACCUCAUAUUUGAAAUUAUGAUUUUUCAAACAUUAAUCGUUAAAUUGAGCUUUUAGGAUCAAAUUCUGACACGUUGGUUUCACAAAUAUAUUAAAGUUUUAAAAGAACAAAUUAAAUCUUUUAUACCAUACGAGGCGUAUUUAAAAUGCACACUAGGCCAAACGUCUCACAUGUUGGUAUUGUAGAUUUUGAAUUGCCAAACAUCUCACAUGUUGUUGGUAUUGCAAAUUUUGAAUUGCCAAACAUCUCACAUGUUGUUGGUAUAUACAAGGGCAAGAAAGAAGUUGAUGUUACUAGUUAUUUACAUGAUAAUCUGGCUAGAUAUGCGAUGGACAUACGAAGUACAUGAGCUAUGGUAUCUAUUUGUGUGAUAAUUUGGUUAUUUGUGUGUUUGUAAAACAAAAAUAUGUGGCAGUCUCUUCAUGUGGGGCUGAUUUUAUGGCUGCCACAACGACUUGUUAAGCAAUGUGGAUUCAUCGUCUUCUCAGUGAAAUAACAUGUAAAUGUGGAUUCAUCGUCUUCUCAGUGAAAUAACAUGUAAAUGUGGAUUCAUCAUCUUCUCAGUGAAAUAACAUGUAAAUGUAGUGGACAUGUUAGCAUUUAUUUCGACAAGUAAAGUAUAAAUCUUGUAAAACACACGGUGUUCGAGGAUAAGAGUAACCAUACGAUAGAAGAUUUCACUCCAUUGGCACAUAUGAAGUUCAUGAAAGUGUAAGAGUUGUUGGCCAUGAAGAAUAUAUCAAAUUCUAAAUUAGGGGGAGGGGGGGGGGUAUUGUAAUAAUUCACAAAUAUGGAAAGUUUCCUUAUUUUGUUUUUAGUCUUUAUUCUUUCCUCAGUGUUUGUAUUAGAUUAGAUAUCAAUUCCUUUACUAUACCAGAGUAAAUCUUUGAUGUUUCUCAUUAAGUCUUUCAUUUUUCAUGAGUAAAAACUUAGAGAACAAGUUUAAUAUUUAUGAAGGUUCUAAAUAACGUUAAGUGAGGACUUGACGACAAUGUCAAGCCUUAAGUUUUUACAAGAAAUGACGAGCCACGUCAUUUAUAAGGCAUGACUUAAGAUGACAAAUUUAUAUAUAAUUCAUAAUUCCAUUUGUAUUUUCUAGUUUUAUUCAUUUUUAUAUAAAUAUAUGACUUAAGGUGACAUUUUAUUAAAAUUUGACGAUAAGUACAAGCCUUGGAGUCAUGACAAGCUCAGGGCCGGUCCAGACGGUGGGCAACCCGGGCGACCGUCCAGGGCCCACGUCUCCAGGGGACCAAAUUAUUUUUAGGGUCUAAAGUUGGUUCAAACUCAAACUAGCUCAAAAAAUAAACAAUUUGACUUGCUUGUUAUUGCUAAUUAUACGCGUUUAUAGGGAAUAAUAAAUGAUAUUUUUUUAAUCUUUAUGAUAUUUGUCUUUAAGGGUCCUUUCUUUCUUUUCGCCCGAGGCCCCAUAUACGUUUGGAGCGGCUUGGACAAACUUUUUAAAACCUUAUAUUUACCGGUGUUCCUCUGUUAUAUUUCUCGUGUUAACUCCACCAUUCUUUUGUUCUUUUGUUCCUCUAUUACAAGUUUUUCUUAUGUCCAAAGGCAUAAGCAGAUGAAUACAAUAGGUUUGUUUGUUUUAGUUCUUUUGUUAAAAUUUUCUAUUUUGUCUGUUUUUUUUUAUUUUAUUUAUAAUAAAAAAAAUCAAGGCUGAAGGUCAUUAAUUGGCUUUCUUACAACUCGCGGUUUGUUGAUGAAAAGACGUUUUGUUUAGUAAAGUUAUAGCAUAAGAUGAGCAAGCAAUUCUUCCGUAAAUUAGAAGUUACCCAAGAUCACCAAGUUAAUAAUUUCAGUCACGAAAAUGAACCUUUCAUGCAAGUCACGCGUUUCAGACAGUGCCACCUUGCUUUCGUCCUUAUAUAUGGAUCUGAAUUUUUGCAAUUAAAUUUAAAAUAUGAUGCAAAAUCAUUGUAUACAUAAUACAUAUAUCAUAAAUGUACAUGAAUAUUUUCUUAUUAGAAACUAAUGCAGCUAACUAUGAGUAAAAGGAUAAAUCCUAUCAAUGGCGGCUAUGUUACAAACCAUCCCGGCCAAUUCACACCCAGUGGUUAUCUCCUGACCUAAAAUAUGAUCACUGAAGCAACAACUAGUCCAAGGCUGGUCACAACCCAUAACACAUUGAUCUACCUCUUAAUUAACAAAAUCGUUUAACGGAUGUAAUUAGUUAACCAGCUGGAUAUGGAGAAAAUUGUCCACAUACGUGUAAGAUUUUAAUGUAAUUCAUCGAACAAAAUUGAUGCCGUUAAAAGAUCUGAUAUGAAGUGCUUAAAAACCACAAUAAAUGAACAAUUUGAGAACACAAAUUACAUUGGCUAUAUAUGCAAAUCGGUCCAUACAUUAAUUAGACUUGUUUGCAUGAUUAAUUAAAUACUUAAAAUUAAAAAAUAUGUCAUAAGUUACUCGCUAAUUUUCAUAAGCGGCCAUAACGGUGUACCGUAUAUGAUUCGAAUCUUUGUUAUAUACAGAGACUAUUCAUUUGCGAGAUAUAGAUUUGUUUAUUGAUAAAACGAAAAGAGAUAAAUAGAUGUAUUAAUCAUAAUAUUAGAACCAUAAAAUAUUGGAAUCGCAAUAGAGACGUAGAACAAGUAAACCACAAGUAACAACUCCCCAUAACCCUGCACCUAACAACCAUACCUUAAACUUAAACGGCCAAAAAGACAAACGGAUGACAUCGUACUAGAAAAGUAGAGUAAAAACUGACAUGCAAUAAUAUGUGGUACGUACGUCCACUCCAAAAUAACGGUAAAAUCUAAAACAAUUAAGGAACUAUGAUACCGCCUCCGAUUCCACCACCUUUAACUAAGCCAACACCGCCGCCAAGACCACCAAGCCCAGCACCACCGACGCCACCUGCACCACCACCAAUACCACUUGCACCGCCAAGACCGCCAAGUCCACUUGCACCACCAAGUCCACCGGUACCGCCGAGCCCACCAACACCACCAAGUGUUGGAAUUACACCUCCACCUACACCAGCAAAGCCACCAACACCACCGAAUGCGAUGAAGUUCUUCUCGUCUUUAACACCAGCUCCUCCACUUGGUACAGUGGCAGUAGCGACAUCAACGGUGGUGGGAGUCUUGUCACUCAGGGUGGUCGUGGGCAUGUCUCUUGCAUUGCUUUGCACAAAAAGUACAAGUGCACAGACUGCUACGAAGUACAACUUCACCAUCUCUAUCUCUCUCUCACACACACACUCUCUAUCUCUCUCUCAGACACACACACUCACUAACACAGAAAAACCGAGGGGAUGUUUGAGGUGAUGGAAGGUGGUGGUGGAGGUGGCUAUUUAUGGAGAAAAGAAACGGUGGUGGACAGUUGUAAUGGCUGAAAGAGUAAAUUAACGAGGUGCAUGGAAUUAAUGUACUUUGUUUUGGUUGUGUGAGGAAUUAAAUAGUGUUGCAUGGAAUCAGAGUUAGGUGGCGGGAGAAGUGUAUGAAAAGAAGAGAAAAUUUAAGAUGGUGAGAGUCAUAAGUCAACACCUUGUUCUUUACGAUAGCACCAGGGUGAGUUCAUUGGGUAGUUUGAUAUGUCUUUUUCAUAUAAUCUUAAGAAAAUUCGAGUUCGAUUUGAAAUUUCAAAAUUUCUUAUUAAGAUUAGGGUUGACCACACAUUUUUUUUUAAGGGAAAACAAAUUAUAAGACGAACGAAGUUUCAAAAUCAUUAAAAAAACACCAAUUAUGUUUUGUCUAUUCAAGAAAACCCAACGAACUUAACAUUUUGUCUAAAAAACCCAACUAACUUAUAUUUCUUAUUUAGGGUCAACCGGCUAAUGAAAGUCAACGAAUGACAUGACUUAUGACGUGUAAUUAAAUAUCGGAAAAUGGCUUGUAAGACCAACGUAGUUUCAAAACCGUUCAAAAACCCCCAAUCAUGUUGAAUGAUUGGGGGUUUUUGAACGGUUUUGAAACUACGUUGGUCUUACAAGCCAUUUUCCGAUAUUUAAUUACACGUCAUAAGUCAUGUCAUUCGUUGACUUUAAUUAGCAUGUUGACCCUAAAUGGGAAGUGAACGAGAGUGUAAGUUGAGUUUUUUUAUACAAAAUGUUAGUUUGUUGGGUUUUCUUGAACAGACAAAACAUAAUUGAUUUUUUGAAUGGUUUGAAAACUUCGAUAAGCUUUUAAGUCAUUUUCCCUUUUUUUUUUAUCAAUCAGACACCUUGAUUAUUAUUUUUUCAUGAAAAUCAACAUUAAUAGAUAGAUAACCGAGAAACCGACACUACAAGAAAAAUAACCAUUACCGGCGACAUCAAAAGCAGCGACAUGGUCCUUUAGCGGCGACAUAUCAAUUUGUCACCGCUAAAGGUCAAUGACACGGAUCUGCGUUUUCAUAUUUUGUUAAACUACGUUUGUUGGAUCGUGUUUCUAAUCCAAUGGUUGGGGUACUCGUGGAACGCACAAAACCAAUACCGGCGAGACAGGUGCCCGCUAAAAACCUAAUCAUGUCGCCGCUAAAUAUGGAAUAAAUGCCGCGUUAAAUAUAAAAAAAUGGCGCAACAAUAAUUCUCUCCUAAGUGUCGACUCUAUUGAUAACUGUCGCCACUAAAGCCCAUUGCGAUGCCGACAAAGGUAUCGCCGGUAAAGGUUGACGUAGUUAACAAAAAAAAAAUCGACCCCUUUUCCUUUUUUGCUUCUAUUUACUUGCAUCCGCCUCUGCGUAUUGUUCUUUCCCUCUUCUUUGUCGAUUCGAAAACAUUCAGACACCAUCAUUAGGGCUGUAAACGAAUUGAAUGUUUGGCGAACAGUUCGUGAACCGUUCGGCGGGAAGUUCGUUUAGAUAAUAAACGAACGAACAUGAACAAGAUAGCUGACUCGUUUAGUUAAACGAACGAACACGAACAAUGCUCUUGUUCGUUCGUUUACGUUUGUUUACAUUCAUUUAUGUUUGUUUAUGUUCGUUCGUUUAUAUUCGUUUGUUUAUUUAUGAUUAUUCGAUUAUAUAUAUAUAUAUAUAUAUAUAUAUAUAUAUAUAUAUAUAUAUAUAUAUAUAUAUAUAUAUAUAUGUAUAUAUAAUCAAAAUAUUGAUUAUGUAGAUUUGUUUAUGCGCAAUAAUUAGUGAUUAGGUUUAAAAAAGAUAAAUGGAUUUUUUUUUGUAAAAGUGCCUAAGUUAAGGGACCAUCGGUUACAAGUUUUUAAAAGUAACGUGGCCAAUUUUCAUUAAAUGAAUCAGGUCAAAAUAUUCAUUACGUUCUUUUUGUCGUCGUCCAAUUAGUCAGGGUUUGCUUCCUUACACGCCAUCUCCACCACAUACGAGACAAUUGAAUUUGUGUUCAAGCCGUCUCCACCUCAAACGAUAGAACUUCAUCACAAGACCAUCAGACUUCAGGUCACGCCGCUUCUGGACUUCUUAUCAAGCUUGAGCAUCGAUCAUAGACCACCGUAUCAUACUCUGUUUUCGACUCCAGCAUAGACACACAAGAGGUUUCAUCAGCAGGUAAACAUCUACCGAAGCUUUUUAAGCUCUAUAAUUAUGUUGGUUAUUUUCUUAACACUUUCUUGAUAAGAUUUGAUUAUUAUUGCAUGGUAGAUGUCCGAUGUUUCUUGUAAUCGACCGCCUCUUUUUGAUUAUGAUCAAUAUUUAGACUCACACUCACCAUUUGAAUCGACAUAAUUUGAAUCAAGUACAACCACUCCAGUGAUGGAAGACAUUUCAUUGCCCUGAUGUUAUUGUUAUUACAGCUGAUGAUGGAGAUGUCAAUAUAGCUACAACAAUGGAUGACCUUGGUGGUGGUACAGAACAAGCAAAUGUAGCUAACAAUGAAGAACAAAUUCCAUUUACUAAAAGAAAACGAAAAAAGACUUCAGAAGUUUAGGAACAUUUUCGUGAUAUUAAGUUGGAGGACAGAACUAAAAUGUGUGAAUGUAUCCACUGUAAAGAAAAAAUAAAGAAACUUAAAGAAGAAACAACCACACCAUUGCUUAGGCAUGUUUCAAAAGAUUGCCCGAUUUUAAAACAAAAACGAAAAGUACAAGGUCAAUUAAAUUUAAUGAUGUUUCCAGGAAAGUUGGAUGCUUUGUCAAUGGUUAGAACUUGGAAAUUUGAUAAUGCUCGGAUGAGAGAUGUUAUUUCUCAUAUGCUUAUGGUCCACGAGUUGCCUUUUGACUUUGUUGAGUAUGAUUUGUUUAAUGUGGUAAUGAAAGAAGCUAAUCCCCCGUUUAACAAGAUAUCACGUGCAACAAUUAGAGAAGAUUGUAUUUCUAGUUAUGGAAUUGAAAAAAAAGAGUUCAAAAGUUCUUCAAUAAUGUCAACCGAGUGAGCAUUACUACGGAUAUAUGGACAUCAGGUCAAAAUAUUCAUUAUAUGGUAGUGACAUGUCAUUUUGUAGAUUCUGAUUUUAAGCUUUAUGAAAAUAUCUUGAGUUUUGUUGAUGUGCCUCCACCAUAUUCGGGAGUACAUAUUUUUUAUUCUCUCUUUAAGCUAAAAGAGUGGAAUAUUGAAACAAACGUUGCUACGUUAACGGUGGAUAAUGCUAGAACUAAUGAUGUAGUGGCUAAGAAGUUGAGGGUAAACUUGAAUCUUCAAGAAAAACUCGUUCUUGGUGGAACGUUAUUCCAUGUACGAUGUUGUGCGCAUAUACUCAAUUUGCUUGUUCAAGAUGGUCUAGCAGAAAUUGAACCUAUUAUUCACAAUGUUCGUGAAAGUGUGAAACAUGUGAAUGCAUCCCCGGGGUCGAUCAUAUCUUUAGUGAGCUAGCGAAACAACUUUUAAUGUCAAAGAAGCAUUUAAUUCAAGAUGUUUCUACUCCAUGGAAUGCUACAUAUGCUAUGUUGUCUAAUGCUUUGGAGUUCAAAGAAGUGUUUGUAAAUUAUGCCGAUCGAGAGUCCACAUAUAAAUUUUUCCAAGUGACGAAGAUUGGAAGAAAUUUGAAGAUGUUUGCUCUUUUCUAGCACUUUUUGAGGAAACUACAAAAAUCAUUUCAGGUAUUAUUUAUUUUUGUUGUUUUAGUUUAAUAAUCACUUUUAGAUUAAAAACUAAUAUGAUGCCUAUAUCAUACAUCUAUGUUUAUUUUGACUAAAUAGCAAUAUGAUGGAUAUAUGUAAGUUUAUUUUUUAUAGGUUCUGAAUAUCCUACAUCCAACUUAUUUCUUAGCGAGUUGUUUGGUAUAAAGGAAGCUUUGGAUGCAAUAGCUUUAGAUGGAAGUGAAUAUAUGAAAUCAAUGGCCAUUAAAAUGAAGACAAAAUUUGACAAAUAUUAGGGUGAUUGUAAUUUGUUGAUCUCAAUUGGUGCGGAUUUGGAUCCAAGGUAUAAAAUGAAUUUAGUUGAGUUAUUUGGUUUUAUUAGAUUUUUUUUUAAUUUUAAUUGUUACUCUUUUUGUACUAGGUAUAAAAAUGAAAUUGAUCGACUUCUCUUUCAAGGCCAUAUAUUCUGACAACGAGGCUCCUCGACAAAUGCAAGUAGUUUGUGAUACUUUGUAUCUAUUAUUCGAAGAGUAUGUUAUGACCAUAAAACAUCGGUUGUUCCUUCAUCAAGUAGUGGAACAAACGGUGGCGUUGAUGCUUCCAAGAGUAGUUUUGCUUUGUUAACCGAACGGUUGGGUAAAGAUCUUAAAACUGGGACAACUAAAUAUGAUCAACAUAUUACAAGUGUCAAUAGUUUUACUACUUCAAAGUCAGAACUUGAUACUUAUUUGGAAGAUGGAGUUUACAUUGGUGAACCAGGUGCAUAUUUUGAUGCAUUGGCAUGGUGGAAAGAGAACAACUUGAAGUUUAGAAUUCUAUCCAAAAUGGUUGCUGAUGUCUUGGUAAUUCCGGUCACUAUUGUGGCGUCUGAGUCUGCUUUUAGUGUUGGUGGGAGGGUUAUUGAUCCACAUCACUGUUCUUUAGGAACAAACAUGGUAGAUAUGCUUAUUUGUGGAGCUUAUUGGUAUAGACCUUAUUAUGGGUUAGAGAGAAAAAAACAAGGUAUAUUUUUUAUUAUUAAUUUUUUAAUAUUAUGGAUUUCUUGAGCUAAUAACUUUUUGGUGUGUAAUAGAAAAAUGAGGAUAUUGUAGUUAUUGAACUACCUUCAGGACGAAGAUGAUAAUUGAUGUUCUUUAUGGUAAAGGUAACUAAAUUGUUUAUACUUUAACCCUCAUUACUUUUUUUUUAUAUAGCUUCAAUAAUUUUGAUAUGUUUUAUGUUUUUUUUGUUAGUAGAUUGGUUGUUGAAUUGAAAGAAUGGAUGUUGGAUUGAAGGAUCGGAUAGAAGGGAAAUGGUUUUUGUCUUUUUGAAGUAUUAUUUUGUUAUUUUUGUAUGGAAUGAGAAAGAACUAAGUAAAACUUUAUUGUGGUGUUAUGUUUUUCUCGAACAAUUAAGUAGAACAUUAUUAUUGUAUGGAAAUGUUGAACACGUGUUUGUUUUCAUUUGAGUUAAUGGUUGUUUAUUUAUGUUCAUUUAAGUUUGUUUGUGUUCGUUCAUAUAUGUUCGUUUAAGUUUGUUUGACUUUGUGUUCGUUUAUGUUUGAUUGUAUUCGUUUAUGUUUGUUUGUGUUCGUUUAUGUUUGUUUGUGUUCGUUUGUGUUCAUUUAUGUUUGUUUAUCAACUACACGAACAAACAUAAACGAACACGAGCAUAGUAAAUUUCUUAACGAACGAACACGAACAUAAAAAGUUAGUUCAUUUAGUUGUUAUUAUUCUUUUUUUGUUCGGUUAAAGUAAAAAAAAACGAACAUGAACAAGCCUCUGUUUAUGUUUGUUUAGUUCGUUUACAGCCCUAACCAUCACUGUCGAAAUUGAGGAAUUCCGGCCACGGUGAAGUAGAUACUGGCGGGCAGUUUCACCGGCGAAUGAGGACGAAUUUUUAGCGACUGAAGACGAUACUACGAUGAAGGUAGGUAUUUCCAGGUUAGUUCCCUUUCCCUUUUCUCUUGUAACAUUGUUUUUGAGUUGAUUUUAGUGAUUAAUUGCAAUAGGAACCCAAGACAAAGAUGUGGGAGCAUUACCCUGAGUUGUUCACAACAACGGACAUUGAGGAUGGAGUCUAGUUCUAAUGGGAUAGAGUUGUAACAUCUUUAAACCCUAAGUAUGAGAAUUAAUUGCAUUUUAUCCCUUGUAUGUGAAUUAAUUGCAAAAUUGACCCAUAGUGGCAUUUUCGUAAUUUUGGGCAGAGCAUGUGUAUUGUUGGGCAUACAGAUUGGUACACUGGGUGUACAUGUGUAAAUCUUAAGCCAUAAAAUUUAGUGUUUGGAUCCUAUUUAAACAUCCUUAACUCCCAUAUCCUCUUCUUUUCAUCAGCCUCUGGCCCCAUUUCUACCAAUUUGCAAACCCUAAUCCAUUUUAGAGCAUUCGUGAGCCUUUAAGUGCAUUUUGGUGACCUUGAAGUAGGAAGGAUGAAUAGAAUAUCCUCUUGGAUAAAUGGAACACUUUAGAUCUAGAAUCAUAUCAUCUUUUGGCAUCUUUUAGAGGUAAAAAGUUGUGAACUUGAUUAAGUGUUAAUUAGAUCUUGUUUAGCCAUGAAAUGGUGUUCUUUUGGUCCCAUAAGCUUCGUAUUAUGGGUAUCGAUUACUCUUAUCCAUAUAAGUUGUCCUUUUAGAUUUUUUGAAGCAUUUGGAAGCACAAAAAGGUAAUAUAGACUUUUAGUUUCCUUCCAUACAUGAGUUACAAGGUCUUAAUGGGCUAAGUAGUUAGGGUUUUUGUUACUGGCACUUAUUAGCCAUGCAAGACCAUAAAGUUGGAAACUUUAUGGCUAAGGAUGUUAGUUUAGGAUUAGAUCUGGACUAUUGGCAAAAAAGCUUAAGGAUUAAGCUCUUAACAAGAAGAAAAGGACUCAACCGCGUACGCUGGGCGUAUUGAGUCAACACAUCACGUUUUGGUCAAGCCUCGUGUACGCCAUGCGUACCAAAUGAGUGCAUUGGACAUACUCAGCUCGGUUGACCAAGUUUGACUUUUGACUUUUUGAUUUGGACCAAGAUUUGACCAAGUUUGACCUAAGGGUAUUUUGGGUAUUUUGAGUUGUAUUUGAGAUUAGUCGCUAUUGGAUGAAUAGGUGUUGGGUAAAUUUGAUAUUCAGAGCAGAGACCUAUUCAACUAUUCGUUGGGACUGAAAGGUGAGUCUUCCCACUGUCCUUAUGGGUCAAAGGCACAAAGGUCAGCCCAUUGGAUUAGAUAUCAUGUUUUGUUGUGUGUUGUUAUGCCAAGAUAUGUGUUCACUGGUAAUGUGAUUAGACUCGUAGAUCUGUAGGACUACCUAUGUUUGUUUGUUAUUGUUUAUUAUUGCAUAUGUCAACAUGUUACAGUUUAUGUUGGGUUGAGGCGAUCCUGCUUUAUGCUGAAGGUAAAUACACCCAGGGUGGCCCAGAUAGACUGAAGGCCUUUAAUAUGGUCCGGUCAGGAUGAAGGCCCUGAGAGUGGCCCAGAUAGUCUGUAGGCUUGCGAGGCGGUCUAAUCAUGAUGAAGGCCUAAGUAUGCAUGUUAUUGUUUGUUAUGUUGUGUGGUGGUGCGUUGGGGGAACUCAUUAAGCAUUGGCUUACAAUUUCAUCUUGUUAUUUCAGGUACUUCAUAGGAUCGCAGGAAAGCGAAGACGUGAUGUCACACCCCGCUAAAGCGAAAACACGGGACGCGACAGUAUAAAAGGUCUCAUAGAAAAGUUAAAAGACAACACCAACCGUAAUACUAAAAAGUAUUAAAAUUUACAAUGUGUUUGAACAUAUUUUAAAAGAAAUUACAAUGCAAUUAAAAUACAACCCAUGUGAAUGCUCCUAAAAGUGAUGUGUCCCUAAGUGCCAUCUUAUAGACGAGUUCCUGAAAAAGCAUGUAAAAUGAGUGGUCAACUACUGAAAUAGUUGGUGAGUACUCACAGGUUAAAAAUAAUACUAGUUGAGUGAAUCGUAAUCAAAGUUUUAAUAGAGGUUUCCAUAAAUAAAAGUACAUUGCUAAAAUGAGUAAAUAAGUUUGCAUAAACAAAGUUCGUUGUCAUCAUGAGAAAUAAAGUAUGUUGCCAAAGUGUGAUGCAAAGUUCAUAUUCUCCUGGGAAAUAAAGUUCGUUGCUAAAACGAGUAAACAUGUUUCGUUGUAAAAUGAGUAUACAAGUUUCGUUGAUAAAAUGAUUAUACAAGUUUCAUUGCUAAAAUGAGUAUACAAGUUUCGUUGACAAAAUGAGUAUACAAGUUUCAUCGCUAAAAUGAGUAUACAAGUUUCGUUGCUAAAAUGUGAUGUAAGAUUUGUAUGUGCAUCAAGUUUCCAUUCAUGCGUUCACAACCCCAGCCUAAUGACAGAAUCGUGCCAUAUUGACUACAAUGUGUAUCGCAAACAUAGAUAAUAAAAUCGCAAAAUUCACUCAAGAGAAUCGUGCGAGUGAGGAGUUGUCUACCUCUUGAUAGCGUUAUCCAUAAUAACCAUGGGCUCAAAAGAGUUAACGAGUUGUGUCAAAUGAUUCCAGGGAAUUAACCGCGAUACAGUCCUCAUGAAUUAGAGUAACAUACACAUACAUACAAAAUAUACCAACCAAGUUUGAUACGGUUCAAAAUAAAUACAACGAACAUAAAUAGUUUAGGACAUGUUUUUCCACCCCAAAACAUUUAAAACCGAAAAUAAGGGGAGUCAUGAAUACUCACAAUCUUUUGAGAUCUGCAAAUGGUGCCUUUAACUACGCUUCACUCGUACAUACCACUAUCGAUUCCUACAAUGAUGUUACACACUAAUGAGUCUCUAAUUGAAAUCUAAUACUUGUAUACUUACGACUACAAUAGAAUUAUGUCACUAAUGUGUCAAAAUUUUGAUAUUGAUAAGUUAUAAACAUUUUUCUAUGAAAUUUAAAUUUCUAUGAACUAAUUUGUUGUAUUACAAAUUCAAGUGGAAUUUCCCAUUAUUGAAAUGUUAAAUUUUAACAUUUUAGGAGGUCUUCCAAAGAUUAAAUAUUUAAAAACUAAGUCAAUUUAGUUCUAAAAGUUCUAAAACUUUGCAUUUCAGUUUUAGAUAAAGUCAAAGACCUUAAGAUAAGUUUUCUUGCAUUUUUUAUUUGUCUAGCUAUUUUUCACCAUUUUAAUUUCUUGAAUAAUCAUAAAAUCAUGAAAAAUACUAAAUAGUUAAAAAAAUUACCAAACUUUUGAUUUUGGUUCAAAAUAUAUUGAGAAACUUCCAGAUACAUUUUCAUGGAUUAUAGAUAUGUAUAGCCAUUUUUCUUAUAUUUAAUUCUCUAAAUAAAUAAAAAUUCUUGAAAAAUAGUAGUCAGUUAAGAAAAUUCCCCAAACUUUGUGCACUACUCUUAUAAAACAUAUUCAAUCUGGAAAAAAAUAUAAAAACUGAUUUUCAAAUAGUUUAACAUGAUUUGUCAGAUUUUUGUUUAUUUAUUCUAUCAAAAUAGAGAUAAAUAGAAAACAGUUUUAAAUAUUCUCCAAACUUUUUUUACUAGUGUGAUUAGACAUAUAAAAGCUGCGAAAAAUAUAAAAGUUGGUUUAUAAAUAGUUUAGAUAAUUUUCUUUGUUUUAUUUUCUUAAAUAAGAAUUAAUUCGUGAAUAAUUAUUAAUCGGUUUAUGAAAAUUACAAAAUAUUUUUUAGAAUUCAUACAUAGUGCAUAUAAGGUGGGAAAAAUAUGAAAAUGGAUUUCUAAAUAGUUUAACCUGAUUUUAUUAUUUUUUUGUGCAUUUAUUUUAACAAAAAUGGAGAUAAAUGGAAAACAGCUUCCAAAAUUCCUCAAGCUUUUUUUUACCAAUGUUAUUAAGCAUAUAUAAGCUGUGAAAAAUAUAAAAGUUAUUUUUCAAUCAAUUUUGCUAUUUUUCUUUGGUUUAUUCACUUAAAUAAUCAUUAAUUCGUGAAUAAUUAUUAAACACUUAAGGUAAAUUACAAAACUUUUUUUAAAUUUCAUACACAUUGUAUAUAAUCUGGGAAAAAUUUCAAAGGUGAUUUUUAUAUACUGGAGUAUGUUUUGUGGAUUUAAGUAUAUUUAAUCUUAGGAAGAUAGAAGAAAAACAGCUUACUGAAGAGAAAAUUAUACAACUUUUUAUGUGGCAUCCUAAUAUAUUAUAAAGUUUUCUGGUAAAUUGUCAUGAAUUUUGGAUAAGUAAAUCUAUUUUUCCCAUUUUUAAUCCAUUAUAAACACAAAAGUCAUUGAAAAAUAAGAUAUGCAUUAUAAAAAAUUCCCAAAAUAUUGUUCUGUGUAUGAAACAUGACCUAGAAGAAGCUAAAAUUAUUAAAUGCUCUUUUAAUAUCUCGGAACUUGGUUUUAUGUUUUAUUUGACUUAAUCAUAAAGAAAAUUAAAAAUCAUAGAAAACAGUAACAAAAAUUGAUGAUACUUCAUGAGGGAUGUUUAUUCAUGUAAUGGGCAAUCCACUAAUUUUUAUAGGGUUUAUUGACCUUAGUAAGUAUUCUAUGUGAUAUAUGGCCUCAUUUCUUGCCAACACUUACAAUAAAUCAAGAAAAAUUAAUAAAUACAUGAAACUUUCAAGAUCAUCUUAUUAUAUCACUGGGUUUCUAGGAAAAAUUAUUUUUGUACAUAAUCGAAGUAUUAUCUAUUUAUUUGGAUUAAAAUCUUUUAUGAACUUAUUUAAAUGUCUUUUAGCAAUGAACUUUGAACAUCAAGCAUUUAAGCUUGAUUUCAUCGCAUGCAUUAUGGUUUGAAGAUCAUGCAUUAACUUGAUUUGUUCAAAAUUGUGUUUUUAAGAAGAAAAAUCGGAUGCAUGUGAUUGAUGAACAUCAAAACUUAUAGAAAUGUUCAUUUCCUUGGUUUGACAUAGGUUUAGGUCAUGGAUGUUUACCAUUUCGUAGCAUGCAAGAUGUUUUUUGUGAAAAUCUACUACCAUCAUCAUCAAAUCCGAAAGGUAAAAAAAACAGGCAUAAGAUUUUUCUCAUGAAGAAGAUACAAAAAAAUAUGUCGAAAAUAAAGAGGAAUAACAAGAAAACUUAUAAAAAUUAUUAGGGAUCUUCAAAAGAUGUAUAUGCUUUGCCUUUUAUAUGAUUUGUGGCUUCAAAAGCACCAUCUAAACAUGUAAAUUCCAUGGCUUUAUGGAUGAUUAAUGGAGAAAGAAAAUGGGGUUUUUAGAGAGAAGAAAAGUGAGAAAAGAGAGAGUAUAUCUCUCUGGAUAACUCAUCUCUCUCGUCAUCUUUUUAGGGUUAUACUCCACCAAAACCGUAAACUAAAAUACAGAAAAGUAGUUACUCUCCUAUAUAAUCGAGUGACAAAAUCUCUCCCAUUGAUUCUACUUCAAACUUCGUCACUUCUAGAGAGAAGAAAAGGAGGAGAUUUUUUAGAGAGAAGUAUAGAUGUGGAGUGUAGGAAAAUGAAAAAUGAAUAAUGGUUUGGGGAAAUGGUGUAUUGGAGAGAGGGGGCCGAAUUUUGAGGGUGUAAUGACCUCCCUCUCUUUUACUUUUAUAAAAAAAAUCAAUUCUUUUAUAUAAAUAUCAAACUUUUUAUAAAAUAUACACCCUAACCUAAUUUUUAUUCAUGAAACCUUGAUUUUUGACUUAUAAAUUAAGGGUAAUUGUUAAUGACUUAAAUUUUAUUUUCCUUGAUUAUAUUUCCCUAAAUUUAGUUAUUUUAAAUUGAUAUUGUAAGGUUCAUAAUUAUUUUAAUUGAAUUUUAGAGGUCAAAUUUUAUAAAUUUAGGUUUUUAGGGCAUUUAGGGUUUUUAAGAGUUUUUAAAUCUUUGGACAUCAAAAUUACUUGAAUUUUGAGACUUCAAACUAUUUUAGAGUUUCAUAACUCUUAUUAAAAUUAGAAAUAAUGUUUUAAUUUACUUUUAUUGGUUUAUUGGCAUUCUAUGUAGUGAUUCUAAGAUUAAGCGAAAUUGAGAAAUCAAGUAUACUAGUCCUAGUUUUCAACUUUGACUUAAGAUACUAUGAGACUCUGACCUAAUUUCUACUUAUAGGUCGAGUGCAUGAUGUGUGUAUAUGAUUCAUGAAAAGGUGUUCAAGUCAAGGAAUAACCUGAAUUUGAAUAGUCGUUACAGUUAAGUAGUGGUAGAAUUCGCAUAUCAAUGUGAAAUCUAAGUACACUAUCCUUCAAUUCUACUUGUUUCCAAGUUUCUAGUAGGUUAUAACUUAGCUUCUAGUUACGAAGUCUAGAAUGUGUCGUGCCUAUACGUGUAACUAAUUUUAUUCAAAUCUAGAGCUAUCUUGAAUUUUAACGGUUGUCACACGUGAUCAUACACAUCUUCAUGUUUCAUGAUAUUGGAUCUUGGGAUACUCUAAUUAUGAUUAUACUUUUAAAAUAAUGGGUUUUUUUAAACACUUUAUGGUUAACGGGUUGUUUUUGAAAAAUUUAAAUUUCUAUGUUUUUUAGGAUGUUACACAAGGACAAUAUACAGGUAAAACCCGAAAUGCAACUCGUGUCACUUCCAUCACUCCAACAACUGCAUGCAUUGUACCAGGUGCAAUCACAUAGGGCAUACUAUAAACUAAUGUCGACAACACGUGACUACUCCUACUGCCAUAACCAACCCGUUGGUGGAUGCCUUGCUAGACAAUCGAGUCUGUUUUGAGUGUGGGAUUAUUUGGUACAUCAGGAGAAACUUCCCAAAGCUGAGGAACGAGGGAAGACACGCUCGGGGAAGAGCAUUUGUAAUUAGCAUAAUGGAAAUGGUGUAUUGGAGAGAGGGAGGACACGCUCGAGGAAGAGCAUUUGUGAUUAGGACCCCACUGUAGUAACAGAUAUAUCUCCUGUUAACGGUUUAUAUGCAUCUAUACUCUUUGAUUCUGGUGCUGAAAGAAGUUUCAUUACACCUAAGUUUAGAGAACUUUUAAUCCAUAAGUUUAGGAACUUAGAUGAGCCUUAUAUAGUAGAAAUGGCUAACAAAGAAUCUGGUAGUACUCAAGAAAUGCUACAAACCUGCCUUCUAACUCUCAAUAACCACACCUUUCAUGUGAACCCCAUGCCUAUGAUCAUCGGUAGCUUCGAUGUCGUAAUUGGCAUGGAUUGGUUAUCACCACACCGAGAUGAGAUCUUAUGCUACGGCAAGGCAGUAUGAAUACCUUUACCCAACCGGGGAGUCCUUAGUAAUCUACAGAGAUAAGACCAAAAAAGUCUUAGAAUCAUCUCUUGCAUGAAGGCACAAAAAUACCUUUAGUUACAAAAUCUCCUUUCCGAUUAGCCCCUUUGGAAAUUCAAGAGUGUCAUAUCAACUUCAGAAGCUUUUGGAUAAAGGCUUUAUAAUACAUGUGGUCAAAGAAAAAGGUAUUCACAGAGACCCUUCCAAGAUAAAGGCCAUAAAGAAUUGGGAAGCACCCAUAAUGCCAACAAAGGUGCAUUAAUUUCUAGGAUUGGCAGGCUAUUGCAGGAGAUUUAUAGAAAAAUUUCAAAGAUAGCCAAACCCCUCACAAAACUCACACAUAUGGAUACGAAUUUUGAAUGGAAAGAACAACAAAGAAUUUGUGUUUCAGAAAUUGAAACACAUGUUGUCUAGAGCACCAAUUCUUUCACAUCUGGACGGAACUGAAGACUAUGUUGUCUAUUGCGACACAUCACACCAGGGCAUGGGAUGUGUACUUAUGCAAAGUGACAAAGUGAUCGCUUAUGCUUCACACCAACUCAAGACUCACGAGAAUAAUUACAUCACCCUUGACCUAGAAUUAGGAGCUUUAAUUUUCACCUUAAAGAUCUAGCAACACUACUUGUGUGGCACGAAGUGUGUCAUAUACACCAACCUUAAAAGCCUUCAGCACAUGUUCAACCAAAAAGAACUCAAUAUGAGACAACUAAACUACUAAAUGACUACAAGUGCGAGAUUUGAUACCACUUGGGCAAGCACUCACUCUAACCAUUCAAUCAAACCUCCCUAUCCAAAUCUGAGAAGCACAAGUAGAGGCACUUAAAGAAGAAAAUAAUGUAGAGGAAUGCUUAUGAGGUAUGGAGAAACACUUCGAUUUCAAGGAAUGUGGAACCUUACGUUUCAUGGACCGAAUUCGGGUACCAAAUUCGGCAAUAUCAGGAGCCUAGUAUUAGACGAAGCUCACAACACGAGAUAUUCAGCUCACCCAGGAACUGAUAAGAUGUAUCUUAACUUAAAGAAAAGGUAUUGGUGGACGAACAUGAAGGCAGAAAUUGCCACCUACAUGAGUGAAUGCUUGACCUAUGCUAAGAUCAAGGAAAAAUACCAAAAAUUGUCGGGUUUACUUCAACAACCCAAAAUACGCAAGUGGAAGUAGGUGCAAGUCGCCAUGGAGUUUUUCAAAAAACUACCCAAGAAGCCUAGCGUUUAUGACACGAUUUGGGUAGUAAUCGAUCAUCUAAUUGAGUAUGCCAAUUUCAUACCCAUUGAGGAGACAGAAAAAAUGGAAAAGUUACCCAGGACAUACGUUAAGGAGAUAGUCCGGCUCCACAGCGUACCCACAUCUAUUAUCUCAGAUAGAUAUAGCCGAUUUACAUCCCGGUUUUAGCAAGCAAUGCGGCGAGCAUUGGAAACCCGACUCGAUAUAAGCAUAGCCAAUCACUCGCAGACAUAUGGUCCAAGCGAAAGGACCAUACUAACCUUGGAGGAUAUGUUCAGAGCAUGUAUGAUAGACUUUAGAGAUGCUUGGGAUACUCACCUACCAUUGGUUGAGUUCUCCUAUAACAAUAGUUAUUGAACAAGCAUAAAGGUUGCACCAUUUGAAGCACUUUAUGGUAGAAAGUGUCGUUCACUGUUAUGUUGUGUAGAAGUCGGAGCUACCCAACUAGCAAAGAAACAUUCAGGGAACAAUUUGCUAACCGAACCAAAGAUUAAUCACGAAACCACCGAGAAGAUCACGAUAAUUAAGGAACGGUUAAGAACAACUUGUGAUCGUCAAAAGAAAUAUGUCAACUUUCGACGAAAAGCACUUGAAUUUCAAGUUGGAGAUAGAGUCAUGCUAAGAGUAACUCCUUGGAAAGGAGUUAUAAGAUUUGGAAAGAGGGGCAAACUUAACCUGAGAUACAUAGAACCUUUUGAGAUCCUUUCUAAAAUAGGCCUAGUAGCCUACCAGCCCACUCAAUCCCAAGAGCUCAACUACGUGCACAAUGUUUUCCAUGUGUCCAACCAUAAGAAAUGUCUCUAUGAAGACAUGCUAGUUGUACCUCUCAACGAAAUCCUAAUUUAUACAACACUCAAAUUCAUCAAGGAACCAAUCAAGAUUAUGGAUCGUGGAGUCAAGAGGAUUAAACAAAGCCACAUUCCUAUAGUCAAGGUACGAUGGAACUCUAAGCGAUGAGCAGAAUACACAUGGAAAUGCGAAGAUCAAAUGAGGAACAAGGAUUCCUAUUUAUUUGAAAGCUCCCCAACUACACGUUAAAUUUCGGGAUGAAUUUUUUUUAAUAGUAAGAGGAUGUGACAACCCAGAGAAUACGUCAUCAACCGCCAUUAGUAUUUACCGAUAGAUUGUGAAAAUUUAAUAAGGACAACCCUAUAAUCAUCUGGUAUAUUUUAAUAUAUUCGAAUUUUCCGUCCUUAAUUACGUCAACCUCUAGGCUUAUAAAUGAGUGCGCAAAACUCGUGUCACUUUGAGUGAGUGUGCAAAAAAUCGUGUCACUUUGAGAACAAGUUAGCAUAUUUAGAAUCAUUAACCCACCACGAUUCUAGAAAUAUAAAUUUCAUAAGAAUCCAACUAAGUAUAGGUGAGAUAUGACUUUUAUAGUAAAUAAAUAUUUGUCGUUAUUAAAAAGUUACAACAACGAAAACUAUAAGGAGAAUGGUUGAUCUUUGGAAAAAACUCACCAACUAGGAAAUCGUGGUACUACGUAAAUUAGGAAAUAUGAGACAAAAAAACUUCUAAAAUAGAAUCUGUAUGAGAGAGUUAUGAUUUUUAUAAAAUCAGAACUGUAAUAAAACUUGUUGAAAAAAAAGUUAAAACUAGCCAAAACGACCAAAAGGAAAGUUGUAUAGGACGACGAGAAGUACACGGAUAUAUAAGAUUCGUUUAAAAUGGAGUUCGUAAGCGAGAGUUAUGGAAUUUCAAAUUUGGAUUUUUAUCGUCACGCGCGUCGUGCAGUCCGCCGCGCGCAUUCUGACAGUCGAUCCGUCUGGAUAUGAGAUGACAUGUCACAUAGAGAUGACGAGACAUGGCAGCCCUACGGCUCAUGCGCAAAAGUGCAGCGCGUAAUCCAAACUUGUUAUAAAGAGCAAGCUUCGACAUAUUAUUUUCCUCACCCCUCACACUCUUUCUCUCUUUGUAUCGAUCCGCUUGUCAUUGCCUCAAGCACCUCUCAAAGUGUUGACUUGUGGUUUCUACACUACAUCAACUUUUUCAUAACUCACAUGUGAGUUCACAACCCUAUUUUCCAAACCUUUUCUGGGGGGAGGGAAUACAUGUUAAAAUACAAUUAUAUGUAGUUAUUAAUAACUGUAGUUAGAUAAUUAUACUCAAAAUAUUAGGAUGAUAUUAUGCCUGGUAGAUACUCUACCCAAACUCUUUAGCUAAUAUUGUGCCUAGUUGUUAUACUAAAUCACAAUGAUAGAUAAGAUCAUACCUAGUGUUACGUUGACCAAUUGCCAGGAAAUACUGCUACUUUAUCACUACUAAAAAAACACAUCUUUUUCCGAGGCACAAUUUCCUCGGAAAUUCCUAGGAAACCGGUGUUUCUGUGGAAAUACCGAGGAAAAGUUGUGCGUAGCUAAAACCCUCCUAGGAAAGUUUUUGUGAGGUAUUUCCAAGGAAAUUUUCAAGGAAUUUCCGAAAAGAUAUUUUUGGUUGGAAGUCCCGAGGCAUUUUCGAGGCUAUUUUUUCCCGAGAAGUUUCCAAGGGAAUAUAUUUCCGAGGAAUUUCUUAGGAAACGUUUUUCCGAAGAAUUUCCUAGGAAAUAUAUUUCCGAGGAAUUUCUUAGGAAAUAUUUUUCCGAGGAAUUUCCUAGGAUAUAUUUCCUAGAAACUUCCUUGUACCAUUCACUUUUGACAGUUUUUGUGACACUUUUGUUUCCAAUAAAUUUCCUAGGACCAUAAAUUGUUGACACUUUUGGUGACAGAAUGUUCCUAGGAAAUAUGCAACACAAAAAUAAAAAAAAUUGAAAUUUUAAUGCCCAAAAUGCAGAAAUAUUUUAAUACAAAUUACCAACACAAAAACAAUAAAUCUAAAUCCAAAAAUUAUACAUUACAACACAAGUUUUAACAAUCUUCUGAACUACAAAACAUAAUAAAAAUGUACAAAUAUUUACAAAAAUAAUCUAAGGAGCAAUCGGUGAAUUAGUUGGAUUGUCGGGAGGGUUAUUCCUGUUGCAUCUCAUGAUUUAGAGCAUUUGUCCUUCCAUUUGUGCUUAUCUUUCGACCAUUUUGGCAUGUCUUUUGGUAUUUCUUGAUGAACUAUAUUUGUACAUUACAAUCGCUACAUACAACCCAAUUCAUGAUAAAUAAUCAUAUUCUCUUAAAAUCAUCUCCCAUUUUUGCUUGUAUUCUCUCUUCUUUCCUGUCCAUAAUAGACCCAAUAUUAUCAAAAAAGUUUUUUGUUCAUAAAAAAGACCAAAAGUUAUCAAAAAGUUUCAAAUCAUUUUUUGAUAUUGAGAAUUAAACAUCAUUAUCAUUACAUCAUAAUGAGAUCCUAUUUAAAACCUAUUUCAAAAGUUGCAUCUUAAUGAUGAAGCUAUAUAAUGAACAUGGUCCCUCAAACAUAUGACAUUAAAGGUGAACCUAAUAUAUAUGUUAAUCAACAAUACCUUAUGUGAGCAAAUAAGCAAACUUUUGCAAGAAAAGCAAAAGACAAAAUACACAUACAUAAGGCAAGUUGCAUAGAUGUUCUUCUCACCAUUCAACUAUAAAACAAUGCUUUCAAGUAGUACAAGUGAAAACAAUGAUAUUGAAUAGUUUUACUAACAUCAUACUCAUAUUUGGAAGGCAAGAUGACUUUUAAUAGCCUAGUUGUGGAACUUAUAGGAUUUCUUUAUAGAAUCCUUAGAUAAUUUAUACUACAAGUAACUAGAUCAACUCUAAUUAUCUAUUAGAACAAACUUCAAUGAUUUGAAUUCCAAAAUAUUAAAAAACUAAUCAAAAUUUUACCUUAAGUCUCAAAACAUAGAAUGUUGGAACUUUGAACUUGGAUUUUUCUGGUUCUGAACAUAUGGUUCAACAAUCACUCAUUUGAUUUAUCAAUUAUACCUAAAUAGUAAAGACUAAGUAAGGACCGAGAAAUCAAAAAGACGAAAAAGGAUUAGAAAAAAUCCAUUUUCUUACCCACCUGCUACCAUCUUAAUCACUACUAAAGAAUUAACAUAAACCACCACAAUCGGAGCCACUUACCUUCUUGCAGAAACCCUUGUCAUCACCGAAAAUCACAACAAAGAACCAUCACUACCUUCAACUUUAAACACACCUAGAACCACCAAAAAACCACAUCUCGCCACCCUAAUAUCGCCAUACCAUAAUCCGAAACCACCAUCGAGAACCACCAAACACCACCCCCUUAAAACCACAACCACCUGUUCAUCAUCUUUCUAAACACCCACAUAAACCUUCGCCACCAUCCAUUUCAGCCUUUGUCCUUGGUCGUUUUCUGCCAUUCUCGAACCACCAUAAAAACGCAACACUGAACACUAGAUGUUACUACCGGAAACAACCAUCUUUAUACCACCAACAACCACCGCCGCUUCCAUCUCCAAUCAUUGAACCACCUCCAUCACCGAUAAUCUCAUUGCCACCUUCGAGUGCCCUUAUAAUAAUCAGAAAUAACCACGUAAACCACCUGCAAGUUAGAAGAAAAGAAGAAGAAGAAGAAAAGAGGAGGCGGUUGUUUGGAUCGAUGUUUGCUGUUGUGAAAAUGCAAGGAAAGAAAAAGAAAAAUUAGGCCAAACGAUAUUUAAUGGGCUAACACAAACAAUUGGGCUAAGCUAAGGUUUUAAUUGGGCUAUGAGUGGAAAAAUAAUAAAUAAUAUUCAAUUUUCUCGGAAAUGCAUAGGAAUUUCCGAGGGAUUUCCUAGGAACAUAAUUCUUUUUUUUCAUCUUCCAGGUUUCAAAGGCCACGGUUGUACAAAAUACAUAAUAUUAAAAAAACAACGUUUUAACUCCAAAAAAACAAAAAAUGAGUUUUGAUCCUUGGAAAUACCUACGUAGUUCCAAGGGAUUAGUGAUAAAUUUUGUAUUGCGUAGGAAAUCCCUCGGUAUUUCCUAUACAUUUCCUAGGAACAUAAUUCGUUUUUUAUUUUUUGAUGUUCAAAUGAUGUUUUUUUUCAUUCUAUAUUUUCUUCGAGUUCAUUAUACAUCAAUUACUUUUAUUUGAUCAAGUUAUACACAAUAUAUACAUACAUACAUCCAUCUGCGCCAUCAGAAUCCAUUACUUAUAUAAAACAUUUGUUUACCAUUGUAAAUAUAUAUGUAUGUGUACAUAUAUGUGGUUGUGUAUGUGUAUAAUAUGUAUAAAUUUGUAAGAUAAAAGUAUUUAAUGUAUAACAAAGUUAUACAAAAUAUGAAACACAAAAACAACGUUUAAAACCUGAAAAACCAAAAAACGAGUUUUGGUCCUAGGAAAUCCCUAGGAAAUACCUACGUAUUUCUAAGGGAUUAGUGACAAAUUUUGUAUUGCAUAGGAAAUCCCUCGGUAUUUCCUACGCAUUUCUAAGUGAUUUCCUAGAAACAUAAUCUGUUUUUCAUUUUUUUAUGUUCAAACGUCGUUUUUUCGUUUUAUAUUUUGUUCAUCUUCAUUAUACACGAAUUACUUUUAUUUCAACAAGUUAUACACGAUAUAUACAUAUAUACAUGCAUGUAUACCAUCACAACCCAUUACUUAAAACAUUCAUUUGUCAUUAUAAAUCUAUAUGUAUGUGUAUGUGUAUAAUAUGUAUAACUUGGUAAGAUAAAAAUAUUUAAUGUAUAACAAAUUUGUAAAAAAUAUGAAACGAAAAUAAAAACGUUUGAACCUUGAAAAAAAUAAAAAAACGGGUUUUGGUCAUAGGAAAUCCCUUGGAAUUACCUACCUAUUUCUAAUGGAUUAGUGACAAAUUUUGCAUUGUGAAGGAAAUCCCUCGGUAUUCCCUACAUAUUUCCAAGAGAUUUCCUAGGAACAUCAUAUGUUUUCCAUUUUUUUAAUGUUCAAAUGACAAUUUUUGGUUCUAUAUUUUCUUCGACUUCAUUAUGCAUGAAUUACUUUUGUUUCACCAAGUUGUAUCUGGUAUAUACAUACAUACAUGUGUGUACACUAUAAUAACCAAUUACUCAAAAAAACUAAACGGUACCAUAUCAUUAAACUAUAAUAGUAAUACUCUAUAUUGUAUUAACUAUAAUCUUGUUAAUAAUAACAAUAAUAAUAAUAGUAAUAGUAAUAAUGAUAUGAAUGUUCAUGAUAAGAACUAGUAAUAACAUGAUAAUAAGAAUUAAUUUUUUGUGUUUCCUAGGAAAAUCGUAGGAAACUUUCAAGAAACUUCCUAGGAACCACUUAAGCAAAACACUUCCAACAUAAACGUGAAGCUCUUUGGCAUGCUAAACAAAUGAUAUGACUUGUUUAAUAUUUAAAUGUUAGUAAAAAAACUACCGAGAAACUACCUAGGAAUGUUAAAAAUAUAUUAUUUCGUAGGAAAAGCAUAGGAACUUCUGAGUGAAUUCCUAGGAACAUUAAAUGUAUAUUUAUUUCCUAGGGAAAGUUUAGAAACUUCUGAGGGACUUCCUAGGACAAUUGCUAAAUGUUUGACAUGUUCGGUGGGAAACCUUCGUUCGAAAAUUUCCUAGGAAAUCCCUCAGAAGUUCCGAGAAACUUCCUAGGAACUACUUAAGCAAAUCACUUUUAACGUAAAUUUGAAUCUCUUUGGCAUAAUUGAAAAAAAUGAUAUGAUUUGUUUAUAAUAAUAACUUGGUAAUAAAAAAAACUACCGAGGAACUUCUAAGGAAAUGCCAAAAAGACGUUUUCCUCGGAAAUUCCUCGGUAAUGCGUAGGAAGUAGCGAGAAAUUUUUGGUCCUAGGAAAUUUUUGUAGGAAACUCCACCUUUUUCUAGUAGUGUAUUCGUUAUUAUAGCCACCGUUUGGAUAAGCUUAGUACCUAGUGGUUACUCUGCCCAAAUACUUGGCUAUGCAAAACACGAUAAUUAUAUAUACGUAUAAGAUACAUAAUAUAUAUAUAUAUAUUAUGUAUCUUAUACAUAUAUAUAAUAUAUAGUCAUCACAUAUGAACAAAACGAGAUAAAAAACAAGACUGACUGGGGGAGGCCCGCAUAAUAAGAGCUAGAUGAGACAUGAUUCAUCAACACGCUGAAAGAUUUUCAGCUAGCUCCCGGCCUAUAAUCAUUAAAUAUUAAGUGAGCGGGGAAGAUAUGUAUAGAUUUAUACUGGAUUCACACUCCCACCUGUGAUUUCUAGGUACAACCUGACGGCAAGUCGAAGCAGGAAUAACAUUCUAAACACAUAUGUGACGUCCGAUAAAGCGUCGCAGUUUUCAUGAUCAACAAUUAUAGCUCGAUUAUAGGAACUCAUCGUAAAUUUGUUAAACUAAAACUAAGUAUCUUAGAAUACUACUAUGAAUCAACCUAAGAAAGUAGUGAUAGUACAUAAAAACUCAAGGAAGUGAGUUUAGGAUAAAUAAGAUAGCUAAAAUACCCACACAACAUUUCAAAAUAAUAAAACUUAUGGACUCACCAACAUUAUGUUGACCUUUCAAAAACCACAUGUAUUCUCAGCAGAAUGAACUCGGGUGAAGGAGGAGGUAACCCCGGUGAUGUAACUCGAAGUCUUUGUGCUUUACUAUUGUACUUUUCUUUCGUAACUUUUCUGUACCUCGAACAAUUGUGUAACAUAUUUUAUUUAAUGAAUCAAUAACAACGUUGUUUAAUAUAUCAGUGUAUUAUUCAAUAUAUGUCUUUGGCCUAAAAUCCAACAUCCUAACGUCACACAACCUACGUUUCCACCGUCAAGUAGGGGUAUGACAAAUUCUGUGGCUUGAGUUUGGAUAAUGAAAUGGUGUGGGCUUUCUCAUCAACAAUUUUUUGGGUUAUACGAUUUCCUUGAUUUCGUUGCAUGUUGGAGAAACUGCCCUAGGAAAGGGGAAAUUUUAAUUUAGUAUUUUACUCUUUUAUAUGGAGUAUAUGGAUGGCGGGUAAUAACAAGGUCUUUAAAAAAUCAUCUCAUCCCUUACUAUGGUGGCUGACAAUUGUAUCUCAUUAUCUUUCACUUGGUGUAAAUAUAGUGGUGAGGAUGGGGUCAUAAGUUGGGUGCAAUACUGUUGUAAUCCCUUAUCAUCUGGCUUCUAGUAUUUCUAAAUAUUGUACCUUGUUUUCCCACGUUGUAGUGGGAAAACAAAUUUAAGGCAAACUAUGAAUCUAUCUAAUUUGAUUAAUUUAACACCAUCAUCACUCAAUCAUAUGUAUUUUCGACUACCAAUUAGAAAUUCAUGGAGAUUAGAUUCACAAAUAAAUUCAUCAAAGAUAUUUGAGCUAGACGAAUUGAACAUGUUAUACGAUUCACGCAUCUCACUAAAGUGUACUAUGAAUAUGCAAAUACUGGUAAAGAACAUUUCAAUAUGAGGAGAUUAUCUUGGAGUAUUAUUUUUUCAUCUAUGUGAUAAGUUGUGUAUAUGUUUACCACUAUGAAAUCGUUAUCAAUCCCAACAACUAAGCCUACUUUUUUAACCAAAGAAAGUUUUCCCUUUAAUGCCUUUCAUUUUCUUGAAAAUUUUUGUUAUUCCACAAGUUAAUCAAACCACCGAAUCUCCAAUUAGCAUCCAUAAAAUCGAAGUUGUAAGAACUUUGUGUUCUUAAGUCAUUUUUUACGAUGAAAAUGAAUAGAAGUGGAAAAUAAUGUGUAAAGAGUCAUGUACCUCAUUUCUAGCAUCGAUAAAUUCGAAGUUGUAUGAAUGUUGUGUUCUUAAGUCAUUUUUUUAGAAAGGAAAUGAAUAGAAGUGGAAAGUAGAGUGGAAACAAUCAUGUUUCUUAUUUUUUAGAAAGAAGUGGAAAGAAGAGAAAUAAAUAUUUUUUUUAACAUUAUUCAUUCCUAUGUUUCCUCCAAAAAUUGAGAAUUUGAAUAGAAAAUAAUAUUCUACAAAUAGAAGAUUUUGCCAUUUACCAAUUUUUAACCUUCAAUCUAAAUAUAAAAAGAUAACAAUGCCUCCAUAACCAUGAUUUUUUCAACGCCUCUUAUGUAUGAUGUGUUCUCCAUCGUUAGACAACUACAACAUCUCCCGAUUCACUUUUUUAUUUAAUGUGGGAAAAAGAUAAAAACAUUAUAUAUUUCUGUUCCCCUACUUUCCUUUUCACUCUUAUUUUCCUUCACCAUCUUUUUCCUUUCAUUGGUUAAACUAAGGAAAACAACAAAAGACAAAGGAAAAUGAUUCGUACACAACAAUUUUUUUCAUACACAUCAAUUUAUGCUUUAAAUGAUUGUAUAAUACAACAUUUCAAAACAUAAAUAGUAGUAUAUAAAGAAAAACUAUUGUGUAUCGAUCAACUCCUAAAAACAAAAGAGUAGUCCCAUAAUUUUCAAAGAUCGGUUUUACUCAAGUCCGAUAAAGGUGUGUCCUAGAUACCACAAAAGUUAAUUUGGCGGGAUCAUUUAAUUCUCUUUAGUGAAUCUGUAUAUCUUUUCUCACCAACACCAUUGUGCCCUUGAUAUUAAUAGUAAAAAAAAAAUCAUUAAUUAUUCCUCUACAUAGCUUCUUCAAUCACUAACUUCUUAAUCUGAUUCGGCCCAUGUUAGUUGAAAACCAAGCCUUUCACCAAUUUUUAUUGUUUCAUUAACUUCAUUUGAAAUUAUGUCCCUUGAAUCAAAUUUUUCGACGAUUGAAAUCUAAGUCUUUUCACCAAGUAUCAUUUGUUCCACAAUUGUUUAUCAUAUUGUUCGAAUUGAUUAAGUGUCAGGAUGAAUUAGAAAUCAAUGGUCUUGGAAAAGAAUUAUAUUGGGAAAAUCCAUUUUAAGGUCUGAUGUGGGCAUUUAGAGGGUGUUUGGGAGUGUGUCUCAAAUUGACUCAUUAACUUAUUGGCUUUUGAAAAAUCCAAUAAGCUAAAAAAGUGUUUGGAUUGUUCAAAUGACUUUUUGGCUUGGCAACAAAGGGGAGUUUCAAAAAGUCAUAAAAUCUUGGCUUUUUUGUGACUUAUUGGCUUUUUGAGCAUUUUACUCCUAAAAAGGUGAGACAAAUACUUUUUAAAAUUAACUUAUUGACGUUUUAGUUUUUCUCUCCACAAAAACUAAUCCACACACUUUUUAAAAACUCUUUUUCCAAGAAGCUAGAUGUCAAUAAGGAUUUUUCUCUAAAGCACUUUUGAGAUUAAAAAACACUCCCAAACACCCCAUUAGUGGACCAUCAUCUUUUCCCAAUCCAUUUUAAUCUGAAAGAUAGGAGAAAUCGGAUGGAGAAGGUGUAAACAAAAUGAGCAAAUUCGAAUUGUAUUUAUAGGUUGCAAGAUUGGGAGGCGUGUUGCACCAUUGCUUAGGCAGUAACGGUGGCUUGUGGUGCUGACACGUGUCGCAUGAUGGUUGGGGCUAAUUCGCAAUUAGUAAGUAAAAUUCGUAAUCUUCGAAAAAACAUAAAUCUUGUAUAUGAGCUCCAUUUUCAACAUUAUUUAUGUCCCCGAUUUCUUAUCGAUGAGUACUAUAACUUUACUUUAGACCUCAACAACUAAAUCACAUUUUAUUUUCAAUUUUACAAUCUACCAAAAUUACAUUGUAAAAGGAUUUGCGAAAUUCAUAACUUCUUCAUAUGACCUUCGUUCGACCUUCUAUAUACUAAAGGAUUCAUAUGUAAAAGUACUUCGAUUCUUCUUUACAUUUUUUUGGCUAAAAAGCAAUUGAUCUUCAUUUCACUUUUUAUGACACACAUUGAUGUGGACACGAAACUUCGAAAGAUCAUAACCUCCUAAUACGAAGUCGGAUUCAGGCGUUCAUUAUGUACACGGGUUCGUAAUUACGAUUACUACAACUUUUGUUUAGAUUAGUUAUCCUAAUUACACUUAUGUUUUUAAUUUUUUAUUUAAGCCAAUUUUGUUAUGCUUUAGAAUAAGCUUAUAUACACAUAUUAUAUGCACAUAAUAUAUGUCCAACUCAAUACACAUAAUAUNNNNNNNNNNNNNNNNNNNNNNNNNNNNNNAUAUUGAAUAAUUCUUUAUUCAAUUAUUCAUAAGAAAAUCUACAUUUGUCAACUGACAUAGAUAUAGAUUUUCUAAGAAAUGUUUAGAAAGAAAUGCGGGUGUUACAAUUAUCUCCUCUUAAGUUGACUUCGUCCAGGAAUCAUGCAUUAACAAACAGAUUUGGAUAGCGACUCCUCAUUUCACAUUCUGUUUCCUAAGUGAGGUUUGAUCAUGUUGUAUGUUUUCAUCAUACAAACACUAAUUCGACUAUCUUACGUCGUAACUUCUUCCUUUUAAAGUCAACAAUUUCUUCAAGCCCUUAAUCCAUCUAUUGAUCUCAUCGAUUCUUAAUUCCGAAAGUAGUGUCAUAUUGGGAACUUUUCCCAAGAAUUUUCUCAAGUAACAAACAAGAAAGUUGUUAUGGAUACCUUCCAGUUCAACUUACAACUCCAGCUUGUAAUCUUGGUUCCCAAUUUUCUAAAUCACUUUAAACAGUCCAAUAAACCUUGGACUUAGCUUUCCACGUUUUCCAAAUCUUAUAAGUCUCUUCCAAUGAGAGACUUUGAGCAAUACCAAGUCUUUGAAUUUAUGUCAGCAUCGCUUACACUUAGCCAAUCCAUUCCCAGCACUACGUCGAAACCAUUUAACUGAAUGGGAAAUAAUUCCUCAUGGAACUUAUUUAUAUUCAAGUCAAUGACGAUGUUUCUCAUACAAUCACUAACAUGUACAAUCUUACCACAAGUAACUUCUACUGACAAGGCAAUAUCAAGUUUGUGUAGAGGCAUUGCAAGAUUUCUACCAAAUUUAUGAGAAAUAAAGGAGUAGUUUGCUCCCAAAUCAAAUAAAAUAUUGGCAGGCAAAUCAUUUACUAGAAAUAUACAAUAAGCGACAUAUGCUUCGUCUUUUGUUACCUUGAGAGUCAUCUGGAAAUGCUCGUACCUUUGGUGUGAGUUGUAUGGCAGGCAUUGCAACUCUUUUCUUCAUUGGACAAUCAUUCUUAAAAUGCCCUUCUCCUCAACACUCAAAACACACUUUCUUAUUGGAUGUACACUCGUUAGCAUAGUGACCCAUUUUUCCACACUUGAAGCAUGUCACCACCUCAUCACAUCUCCUAAAAUGCUUCUUCUUGAACUUGUCACAGCACUUCACCUCAUUGUUACCUCCAUACUUCUUAUCAUUAGGGCUAAGCUUAGAAAACACACUCUUCUUAUUUGAUUUGGAAGAUCCCUCAGACUUCCUUUUAUCUCUAGUCCUAGUCUUUUUUGGAUUCUUCUCCCUAAUAUGGAGUUCCACAUUCUUAGCUGCCCAGAUGGCUACUUUCAAAGUAGUUGCUAACUUCACCGUUGGACCAUACUCUGAUGGUAAUCCAUUACCGAAUUUCUUAAUCUUGGAUAGCUCGGUAUGGACCAAAUAAGAGACCAAUUUCAUCUUCUCAGAAAAAAGCGACAUCAUACUCAACAACGCUCCUUGAUUAGUUAUUAGGAUGAAUUAGAAAUCGACAAUCUUGGAAAAGAAUUAUAUUUGAGUAAUCAAUUGUAAGGUCUGAUACCGCCAUUUAGUGGAUGUUUGAGAAUGCGUUUCAAACUGACUUAUUAGCUUAUUGGCCUUUCAAAAAACCAAUAAGCUAAAAAAGUGUUAAGGUUGUUGAAAAUACAUUUUCAAAUACCUUUUGGCUAGGACAAAAUUGACAGUUUCAAACCCUUUCAAAAGAUCAUAAAAUCUUGGUUUUUUGUUGACUUAUUGGCUUUUUGAUAUUUCACCCUAAAAACUAAGUAAAACAUUUCUUAAAAGGACAAAUUACACGAAUGGUCCCUAUGGUUUGGUGUUUGUUACGCGCCUAGUCCCUAACUCCAGUUAAUAACCCUGCCAAUCCUUAAUAGUUUGGUUUAGUGCACGCCUGGUCCCUCAUCAAACCUUCCGUUUGAUUUUGGAGUUAAAACCCCCACGUGCCUUGCACGUUGAGGGUUAUUUCCAUUAUUUUACUUAUUCAUCCUUCAAAAACCCUGGAUCGGUGCAUCCCUCUUUUCUUCCUCUACGUUUGUUCUCUCAUUUCAUCUCUCGUUUCUUAAUGGACAAAAAAUCAACAAUGGUGAAAUGUAAUUGCGGGCAACCAAGUGUUAUACUGACAUCAUGUACCGAUGACAACCCCGGAAGAAAGUUUUAUGGCUGCACAAUGAAGGUAAGAUCGUUUUGAUUCUAACUCAAGCUUUUGUGAGACAAUGACCGUAUAUCUGUUGGAUUUGAACUUGAUGAAGAGUCCAGUUAAUGGUUUGGUCUAGGCUUUUAGUGUAUUUUUGUUUGGCACGAGUCUGUAAUACAGUUUAUGGGUUGUUUAUUUCUUUUUAGUCAUUUUGUGUGUUCACAACCGUAAACAGAGUUUACGGUCGUAAACAUGUUUACGACCGUAAACCUUGUUUACGGUCGCAAACACAGUUUGCGGUCUAAUCGAGUAUAAAUAGUGGAGGAGUUGGUCUUUUGUGGUUGUUGAUACCAUAGAGUUUAUAGAUCAGUCCAUCGAGUUGUACUUAACGAUUUAUUGAAUAUAAUCGUGUGCAAGCUUGGUUUCUUUUCAUCUUGUUCUUAUUCUGUGAUUGUUUAUUGCUUGAUUGCUGGUAAAGAUCCUUAUUUGGACCUUACAAUUGGUAUCAGAGCAGUAACUGGUGUCAAGCUUCAUUCAAUCGAGAUUUCGGGUGCUUAAAACUGAUAUUCUUAUUGUUCGAACAUUGGUUUUGGUAUUCUAAGUGGUUAAAAGAUCUGCAUCUAUUGCAAAAACGUGUGUUUGAGAGCUUUCUGGGAGUUUACUGCCAACCGUAAAUACCUUUUACGGUUCUAAACUCAAGAUCUUCAUCAACCGUAAACUGUGAAUAUUCAAAAACCACAAACAAGGCUUCAAGAACUUUAAGAUCUGUAAACUUAGAAACCGUAAACUCAGAAACUGUAAACCCUGUUUACGGUCGUAAACUCAUCAACUGCAAACACCUUUGUGAUUUUAAAUUGCUUUAAUUUCAAAUGGAUUCUCAAAGUCAAAAUCAUUUUCACUAACUUGAUACUGUCAUGGGCACUACUACACGUAUUCCAAGAUUGAUGUCUGCAGAUGAUUUUCCCGAGUGGAAGUAUAGAAUUGAAAAUACAUUAAGAUGAAAGAUUUCAAAGUCUAGAGAAUCAUUCUUAGAGGCCCUGUUAGAAUCACUAUGACAGUUGGAGGCCAAGUGAUUGACAAGGCUGUUGAAAACUACACUGAUGAGGAGUUUGAGAAAAUUGAGGAGCAAGAAAGGGCUUUAGCCACUUUAACCAUGGCAUUAUCUUCCGAUAUUGAUCAAGGUUUUCGUGAGUACACUUCUACUAAAGAUCUAUGGGAAGCCCUAAUUGAGGUUUAUGAGGGCAAUGCAGAUAUGAAGGAAAGUCGACAUGACAUGUUGAGACAAAAGUUUAAUAUGUUCAACUACAUUCCAGGAGAGACUCUUGAGGCUCAGCUACAACGAUUCACAACUCUCACGACUGACAUGAACAUAUUUGGGAUUUUCUUAACCAAGUCAGAAAUCAACAAGAAGCUUCUGAAUGCUCUUCCUAGAUCAUGGGAUAUGAAUGUUGCUGUAAUUAAGAAAACCAAGGAUUUAAAUCGCCUCACUCUUGCUGAAAUUAUGGCGAUCAUCAAAACUUGUGACAUUGAUGAAAAACAGAGAGAAGUUAAUCAUGUGAACUCAUACUCUACUACAAAUCUUGGAAUCUCAUCCAACAAUGCUUUCUCAUCCAUCAUGUCCUCCUCAGGUCAAUCCUUUGCAGCUCAACAACCUCGGAUUCAGAUAUUCGCUGCUGCAUCAUCCAUCCCUCACCAUCAAACUCAGCCAUAUGUCACUCCACAAGCUGUCCCUGCUCCAAAUGUGUCAGCUGUAGCUUCUUCUUCAAACUCAAAAGACUCUAAUGAAAAUCUGACUCUGGCUACUGGCUAGUUAAUUGCUACAAUGCUUUUGUAGCUGGAGAUCUUCCACCUUAGCUGUCAUUUGCUUAUUAGGAUCAGAUUCAUCCUGAAGACGUAGAAGAGAUGGACAUUACAUGGCAGAUUGCUACGGCUGUUUUCAGGGCCAAAUAGUUUGCUAAGAAGAUAGGGAAGAGCAACUGGGGCAUGAAUGUUGAUAAGAAGGUGGGAUUUAACAAGGGCAUGCUGAGAUGUUUCAACUGCCAUGAGUCGGGUCAUUUUGCUCAUGAAUGCGCUAAGCCAGAUCGUAGGAUCAACAACAACAGGCAAAUGGUAGUAGUGGGAAACAACCGUGCAGAUGCUGCAGCUAAUGGUGAGAAUGCUAUGGUCGCUCAAUCCUUUGACUGGGAGGACCAGAUUAAGGCUUUCAAUAUCUCUGGGCCAGAAAAUGAUCACCUAGCUCAAAUUGAUGAUGUUACCUUGAAGAACGAUGAUGUUGAUCCCGAAGCAGAAAUGAUGGAGCUGCAGUUUGCCCUAAUAGUGUCUACUUCUUCCGAGCCCAAGAAUAGCAAGGUAAACCUACCAUCUUGUUCUCAUGCAUGUAAAGAAUAUGUUAAAGUUCUUCGUGAUGAAAUCCAAUUAUUACGUAGAGAAGUAGAGGACCUUAGAUAUGAGGGCUACCAACUUAGGAAAGGACAAAAACCACUUAAGGCCUAGUUAGAAACUAAAAUAAAAGAUUUUAGAAGAAUUCAAACAUAAUACAGUGAAAAAUGUGAAUUGUAUGAUUAUAUUAAGAGACAAAAUGAUGAGUUAAUUACUAAGCUUGAUACAUUAAAAGGGGAGUUUGAUUCUGCAAACUUUUCAUUUCAAAAAUUUGAUGGAUCAAGCGAGGUAGUUAACACCAUGAUGUAUCAUUGCAUGCAAUUUAAACGAAAUCAGUCUAAGGGUUUAGGAUAUGAUAGUGUACCUCCUGCUUAUAAUCAUACAUAUCUGUAUCAACCUCUAUCCAAGGAGGAGAUUGCCAACAAACCAUUUAUGGCUUAUGGAAAGCCAUCUGGUUUUAUUUCAGGCGGAUUUAUUAACAUUGAAAGUACUAACAUUUCUACUACCCCUGCAAAUCAACCCUUAGACCAGGCAAAGCAUGGAGUCAGAGGACCUGUUUCUGUUUUUGUUUCUAAUUCUGAAUUUUCUGUUUCAAAUGAAAACGAUUAUGUUUCUGAUGUUAAUACUGAUAAUGUUUCUUGUGAUGCUUCCACAUCUGAUUCGGUUGCAUUUAAUUUCUUUGAUAUGUUUGAUGAACUGUUUGGUAAUUCUGAUGCUUGUGAUACUCAUGAAACACCAUCAAUUCCACAAGUCACAACAACUGAGACACCCUCACUUAUCUCCCAAUCUAUUCCUCAACCAUGUUCUUUUGAGAAAAGUGAGAGUGUCUGUCAAGAAAAUAAAUCUGAAAAAUAUAGUACAAGUUCAAAUAAUAAACGAAUUUGUUUUAAUUGUGGUGUUGGUGGUCAUAUAGCUAGGAAUUGUCAAAACAGGAUCUUUGUAAACUACUUGUCACCAAGAGGAGAGAACAAAUCUCGAGGAAGGUCUUUAAUUAGAAAAUCCUCAAGAACUCGUUCUCAAAAUGAUGAUUGGAAAGAUGAUCGAAGCAGAAAAGGGCUAAUUUUCAAAAGAAUAAAAAGGUUUUUACUAAAAAAGCUCAAAAUAGUUUGCCAAAACCGAACAAGGCUCCACCAAGAUCAGUUUCAUCAAAAAGCAAUUUUGGAUCUUCCACCACUUCUGGUAGAAAAUCCAGAGGCUCUGUGCAAACUCCUAAGAAACAUAUUUCAAAACCACCUGAGAAUGUUGUAAACCAAAUUACCAAUGGAAGCCCAAAUCACUUUCUAGUCCAUCAUUAACAUCUUCUGAAGUGAUUAAGAAUGAGAAUUCCAAUUUGAAAAUAUUGAAGGAUAAAUCAGAGAAAGCGAAAAGGAAACCCAAUACAGUGAUGACCUGGGUUUCUAAAUCUAAAUGAUUCCGCUCAUUUUGCAGGGACAGUUGCGGAGGAUUGUCGUUCGUCCUUGGUACGUCGACAGUGGCUGCUCCCGGCAUAUGACAGGAGACAUCUCCCAACUGAGCGAAAUUCAAUCUUUUAAUGGGGGUUAUGUUUCCUUCGCGGUCGUAGAUGGUGGCAAGAUCACACAAAGAGGAACCGUUACAAAUGGAGUGCUAAGCUUUGAGAAUGUCAACUUCGCUCCCGAGUUAAAGCAUAGCUUUUUGACUGUUUCUCAAAUCUGCGACAAAGGCUACUCUACCCAUUUUACCGAUAAAGAAUGUAUGAUUCUCAAGCCAGGCAUUGUCAUCCCGGAAGAGUGGAUUCUAGUCAAAUCUAAGCGGGAUGGGAAUGCUUACAUUAUUGAUAUGAAUAGUAACCUACUUGAACAAGUCACUUGCCUAUUCUCAAAAGUUUCCGAACAAAAUGCAAUGUUGUGGCACCGAAGGCUCGGUCAUGCUAACGCGAAAAAUGUGAAUCACCUUGCUAAGAAUGAGAUGGUCCGAGGCCUACCCGUCAGAGAUUUUAUUACAUUUGAGAAGUGUGUUUCCUGUGCUCAAGGCAAACAUCAUCGGAAACCGCACCUGCCCAAGCAAGUCAACUCAAUCAGUCAAGUGCUCCAAGUAUUGCAUAUGGACUUAUUUGGUCCGGUCAACGUCCUGAGCAUCAACAGAAGCUCGUACUGUCUCGUUGUGAUUGAUGAUUUCUCUCGGUUUACAUGGGUCUUCUUCUUAUCCAACAAAGCGGGGGUUGCUGAUCUGAUAAAGAAGUUCAUUGUGAUGAUUGAGAAGCAAACCAACAACCAAGUGAAGGCGCUUCGUACUGACAAUGGAACUGAGUUCAAGAAUGCAGUUCUUGACCAUUUUUGCGUAGAAAAGGGGAUAGUGCGUCAAUAUAGCUCUGCUCACACGCCUCAACAAAAUGGUGUUGUUGAAAGGAGAAAUAGAAAUUUGAAAGACGCCGCAAGGACAAUGCUUUGUGAUUCCAAACUACCUGUUUUCUUUUGGGCUGAGGCGAUUAACACUUCUUGCUACCUGCAGAAUCGUGUUCUAAUCAACAAAGCACAGAUGAAGACACCGUGCGAGAUUCUCUAUGGACACAAGCCUUCUGUCAGCCAUUUCCGUGUAUUUGGAUUCCCUUGCAGCCUUCUUCACUUGGAAUCAAACCCUAAAUUCAAUGCCAAAGCCUAUGAUUGUUACUUUGUAGGGUAUGCUGCGCGUACCAUGUAUAGGGUUUACAACAAAAAGACUAAGCAGAUAGUAGAAUCCUAUGAUGUGAGCUGGUUGGAGGAGAAUGAAAUAGCCACUCGAGUGGGUCCCGACUAGUUAUUUGAUUAAACAUCACUUUUCAAAUCUUUAAAUGUGUCUACGGAUAGUUCAAGUGGAUCCUCUUCUGGUUCGAAGAUUGUUUCUGAAGACGAAGAUGAAGAAGUUGUCUACAGACCUCCAACGGUUGAGGGGGAGUCCUCUGCUUCAUCUGAGGGGGGGGGGGGUUUCUGCUCCACCUGAGGGGGAGUCAUCUUAUCAACCAAAUAGUCCAGAGUCUAAGGUUACAAAUGAAACUCCUGAUGUUGAUGUUACACCUCUUACACCUGUUGAGAGAGAGUUCAUGUCUAGACAUGCUUCCGCUGUUAAUCCAACUUUUAUGGAACUACUCUUUCCUAAAGAAAUUGCUAAUGAGUUUGUAGCAGAUUCAUCUAAUGUGAAUCAAUCAGUAAAUGAUGGAAGUUUCAACAUACACCAUCUUCCUGUUUCACUCAAUGAUAUCAGCCAAGACAUACCUUCAAGAAUUCAACGCGAUCAUCCGAUCGAUAACAUCAUUGGUCAGCUGGGUGAUGGAGUUAAAACCAGAAGUCGGAGUGGAGAUGUUAAUGCAUGUCUCUACUCUUUCUUUAUAUCUCAAAUAGAGCCCAAGAACAUUGAAAUGGAUUUGAAUGAGCCCAGAUGGGUAGAUGCAAUGCAUGAAGAGCUAAAUCAGUUUGAAAAGCUCGGGGUUUGGAAGUUGGUCGAGUUACCAAAGGGCAAAAGGUCUCUUGACACGCGUUGGGUCUAUCGUAAUAAGCAGGAUGAUUCUGGUGUAAUAGUGCGUAAUAAAGCAAGGUUGGUGGUUCGCAGGUUUCGAAAAAUUGAGGGUCUUGAUUAUACUGAGGUGUAUGCUCCCGCGGCUCAUUUGGAGGCUAUUCGUAUCUUUCUCGUAUACACUUCCUACAUGAAAUUCACAGUCUUCCAAAUGGAUGUCAAGACUGCCUUCUUGUAUGGCAAGGUGAAGGAAGAAAUUUAUGUUGAUCAACACCCUAGGUUUGUUAACUCAAAGUUCCUUAAUCAUGUCUACAUGUUGGACAAGGCAUUGUAUGGGUUACAUCAAGCUCCUCGAGCAUGGUAUGCGACCCUAACAAAGCACUUGCUCGAGCAUGGAUACUCUCGCGACACUAUUGAUCAAACUUUAUUCAUCAAGCAUGUGGGUAAUGAUCAGAUACUAGUUCAGAUCUAUGUUGACGACAUUAUCUUCGGGUCUACUUGUCCAAAGCUUUGCAAAGAGUUUGAAGGCGUGAUGAAGAAGCGAUUCGAGAUGAGUUCUCUAGGUGAAAUGACCAUGUUUCUGGGGCUUCAGGUCAAACAAAGUUCAACCGGAAUCCUGCUACAUCAAGCUAAGUAUGUGGAGGAUAUUCUUGAGAAGUUCGGGUUUGAAGACGCAAAGCCUGCAUCGACACCAAUGGCAGAAAGGCCCCUGCUGAAUCCAGAUAUUGGUGGCAAAUCCGUAGAUCAGACUCACUAUAGAUCGAUGAUCGGUUCCCUGAUGUAUCUCACUGCAAGCCGUCUUGAUAUCAUGUUUGCAUUGUGUUAAUGCGCUCGCUAUCAGGCUAAUCCUAAACUUUCACAUCUUAUUGUUGUCAAAAGGAUUUUUCGGUAUAUCAAAGGAAGCCCAAAAUUGGGUCUUUGGUAUCCGAAGAAUUCUGAAAUUAAUUUAUAUGCUUUUUCUGACAGUAAUUAUGGAGGUUGUGAGCUUAACAGGAAAUCCACAUCAGGAGGGUGCCAAUUCCUUGGUGAUAGGCUAGUAUCAUGGCAGUGCAAGAAACAACAUACUGUCUCUACCUCAACAACAGAAGUGAAAUACAUUGUUGCAUCAACUUGUUGUUCUCAAGUUAUCUGGAUCCAACAUCAGCUGUUGGACUAUAGUUUGAAUUAUCUAGACACCCAAUUCAUUGUGAUAAUGAGGCUGCUAUUCAAAUCACUAAAAAUCCGGUCCAACAUUCCAAAACCAAGCACAUUGACAUCAAAAUUCACUUUAUCAGAGAUUGUUAUGAGCGUUCAAUCAUCUGGCUAGAACAAGUUCCCACUGCCAAUAAUGUGGUGGAUCUAUUUACUAAGCCUUUUAACAAAGCUCGAUUCGAUGUGCUUGUGGGAUUUUUGAAAAUGAUUCGUUUUGAGGAUUAAUUUUUGUUAUUAUUUAGGUUAGUUUAAAUUUGAGCAUUUCAGUCAUUUCUUUCUCUUCCAUGCACAAAUUUAGGGGGAGAAACAAACAAAACCAAACAAAAAUUAAAAAAAUAAUAAUAAAAAAAAUUUAAAAUUAAAAAAAAUUAAAAAAAUCCAAAAAACAUUCUGCUUCUGUUUUUUUUUUUUCAGAAAACAUUCAAAAAUCCAAAAGCAUUAAAAUUCAGAAAAAUUAAAAAAAAAUUGUUGCAUAAAGUUUUGCUUGUUGAUAAAGGACUGGGAAGUGAUAUUAUCAAGUGAUAACAGGCGGUGUAAAUCUACGUAACGUACCCAAAGUUGAAGGGUCUAUGCUCUGGGUUUGAUGCGUCGGUAGGCACGAAAGAUUUUAAAUGGACUUGACUAGGCACAGAUGAACUUAAGAAAUCAAAUUACUUAGCAAAUCUUGACCUAGAUAUAUAUCCGUUUAGCCUGACAAUACAACGCUUGGAUAGGUUGAGCAGGGAGAUAUACAUGAGAAUCCACCAGUUACAUUAAAGAACCCGUAUCUAGAACUGUGGUUUUACUUUUCCUCGAUGUACGGAUUCUGUCCUUAAUUCCGGUAUUGACGGAGCGACUGGGGAAUUCCAAUAAAGUAGGUCUAUAGAAAAUUGUUUUCUUUCUUUCUUACUGUUAGUCAUAUGUUGCCUCCUUUACGUGAUUGGAAGAUAUCCGACCUGGACUGCAACAUAUGCAAAUCUAUUUCUCUGCAUAUUAUAUCUAUGAAAUUCUUCCUAUCUGUUAGCCAUAUGAUGUCUCCUUUAUGUGAUUAACAAUCCGACAUGGUACACAGCAUAUGCAACCUUCUACUUCUCAAUCCCUCUAAAACUAUAAUUAAUAAUAAUCUGAUCUAUCCUCUCUAUGAAUAAUAGUCUGUUCACCUAAAGUAAGGAGUAUCUCGGAAGUUCUUGAUUAUUGGGGUAUAUCUGGAAGCGGGAAACACGUUCUAGUACAUCUAAAAUUGAACAAUUCAAGAUUGUUUGUAGAUCUCGCUGCUCAAUUUAGGUGGACAACAAUAUUCUUGGUCGUCGUUAGAUAAAUGGACCUUAGGAAUUUUAUCUAGUAACUUAGGAUCAAUCUAUCCUGUCACUGAUAGCGUUCGUAAAUCUGUCACAAUUUUUCAUGUUUAAGUGGACCACAAUACCGACGAUCGACUAGACAAACACGUGAAGAUGAACGGUACCGACAAGUGAAUUAAGAUUGUCUAACAACUUUGAUCUCAGCGUCACAAGAGUUUGUCAGUAAUUUGAGAUAAAUUUUGUCUAUGCUUAUUCAAAAUUUAAAUUUUUUAUUUUUUAUUUUUGCUUUUAAGUUUAAUUUUAUUUUUUUAUUUUUAUAAUUGUUAAAAAUUUAAUAUUUUAAAAUAUUUUAAUUCUUAAAUUUUUAGAAAUUAGUUUAUUUUUAGUUUUAUGUUAAUUUUAUUUUUAUUUUUAUUUUUAAUAUCCUCAAAAGGUUUUAUUUUUAAAAUUUUAAUCGGGAUUAGGACUGAGAUUUUAACUGUGUGGGAGACAGGUAAAAGUUAAGGGAGUAUAAAAGGAAGAGUUUACUGCUGUAAACCCUUUCCUCUCCCACUUCUCCCUUUUACAGCCGCAAGCCUCCUCCCUCCACUCUCUCUCUUUGGAUUUUUUUUUUCAGUUUUUAUUUGCGAAAUCAACUAGUUUGCUACGAAGGUACGUCAAAACCGACUGGGAAUAUGCUUUUUGUUCAUUGAUCCGACCAAAAAUGGAGGAGUAAUCUGAGUUUAAAAGUUCGUAGUCGUUUACUGUUCCUGAGGGUUUACAGUUUGGGGAUAUUCAAGAACCGUAAACUCGGUUUGGCCUUACGACCAUAAACUCG